CUCCCCUCAGCACUUGUGGAGUUGAGUGGAAGCUUUCUCAGCGCUGUACAUGCAAGUACCUUGAUUUCUUUCAAAUACAGAAAGGGCAAGGCCUUAUCAUGUAUGCUACUCAGUCGUGGAAGCGAACUCAAAAUCAGAAUGGUAUGUUUUCCAAAAGGGUUCAGUUCUUGUACCACAUUUCCAACUCCAUCCAGUCUUUCCAGAUUGAUUAUUUUCUCAAUAUCAUUGCAGUCAUCUACACAUAAAUGGCUGAGAUUUGGAGCAAAAAUGAGCCAAGUCAUGUCUAUGAGAUCUAGGCAUCGUGAUACUUCUAUGAACUGAAGGCAACGGAAGCAAUUUUGUUUUAUCAUCAUCAAAUGCCGUGUUGGAUAGUGGCCAAAAUUAGUGGCCAACUUGUAAAUGCUUUUUGAUUAAAUAAAAGAAAAAAAAGGUGGACAACAUCAUUGUGUCCCUUCCUUGUUUUGGGGAGAAAAAAAGGCACCUUGUCUAAAGUCCUUUUUAUUUGGCCCUUUGUGAAAGCCACGAGAUAGUGGCUAGGUUUUAAUUAGGGCAGCAGCUGCCAUUUGGGAAGAGUAGCAGAAAAAUAAAGGCAGCAGCAGAGACGAGAAAGAAGAAGAAGUGCAGCAGCCCCAUUUUGAAGAGAAGAAGAAUGUGCUCUUCUCUUUGGUUAGUAAUCAUUCAUCAAAGUUGUAUUUGUUGUAUUAGCUUUGAGCUUUAUAUAGAGAGAAAAUUAUUCAUAUUAUUUCCUUCUCUAUUUGGUUAUUUGGUGUGUGAGAGCUAUUGGUUGUAUUAGGGUUUUGGGUUAUGAGAUUGCCAACACUUUGUAAACUCCCAUUUGGUUGAUAGUGGAUUAUUGGGUGAGCUCCUACUGCUCCGAGGACGUACUCCAGUUAAACUGACUGUUGAGGAACCUCGUUAAAUCUUGGUGUCUUUAAUAUUUUGUUCUUGCAUUUCAUUUGAUAUAUUUCCUGUGGGUUGUCAAGAGUUGGUUCCAUAAGGCUUGGUGCUAUCCUAGCACAACAUGUCGGGGAUCAUUGGGUGCUCGUCCUGCCCAAUAAACUUCCAAUUGUUUCCAAUUAGGAGUAUCCCGAAUAUAAAGGGUAUCAAGAUGUUUCAUAUGCACCAAAGAAGAUAUGUCUAAAAAGCUUGCUUGGUUCUUGCCAUCCGAGAGCUGUAGAGUCUGAAUGUGGGUCACCAAUUUGUGGUAUCCGAUCAAUUUUUGCAAACAAGAGCUACUUUGUACGCUCAAAGUCAAAACGUCAAGGUAUUCCAAACUCUGCAUUUCGUCCAUCGGGGCUCCUUCACCGCCAACAAGAAUUCCAUCUGAAAAACUACAUGCUAACUAUAGAAUCUGAACUUUGACUGUGAUCCUUUCUGAAUUGACUGAGACGAGAUCGUAACUGAUGAAUGUGAGCAUCGGAAACUCCUCCAAAACGUAAGAAGCUUAUAUCGGCGCAAAAUUGGAGCAAAUAAAGCACGCCAUGGAAGAUAAUUGGAGCGUUUAAGUUUGAUAGGCACCAUACUUCCAAUGUUUUGAAUCGUAAGAGAGGCAUACGAAUUCGAAGAAAACGAAGAAUUUGAGGGAUUAGGGUUUGGAACCUGCACCGACGUACGAGGAGAAGACGAACCAGAUGGAGACGCCAUGACAAAUCACAGAAAUAGAGACCAAAUUAACAACACAGAGGUUGCGAUUGAGGAAGAAUGAUGAAGAAUUUCAGGAAAAUUGAUGAAGAAAUCAGAGAUUGGGAGCAGGAGCGAAGAGGAUCGAGAGGGGGAGAGCCGGGAGGCAAGAACGGAAUGAUACCAUAUAGAAUCUGAACUUUACUCUUUUAUUCGAUGUAAUGAAUAAUUACAACAAUGUUAAUAUAUAUACUUGUGGGCUAUCUAACAGAUUACACUAAUGCCCUUAACCAAUCUAAGAAUAUACAAAUCUAUUUAACAACAAACUUAAUGUCUAAACUUUAGCUUCUUUACUAACAUCCUCGGAACUUUUAGCAUUGGAAAACUUGAUAUUACAUUUUGUGGAACAAAAUGAAGCUCAUCCAUAUGCUCCAAAUUCAAAUAUUUUAGCCUCACACAAGCCUUUAAUUCAAUCUGCAGCGCUCUUACACCAGCUCUUGACAAAUUUAGAUGUUGUAACGAAAUCAGGUUGGAAACGCCAGACGGCAAUUUGGUUAUGUUCAGAUUUUUAGACAAAUCCAAAACUCGCAGAGUAGGCAUAUGAUCGGAAAAGCCAUCAGCAAUCAUAUUCAAAGGACCUUCUCCACCUCUAAGAAAUAAGGUCAACAGAUUUGGAGAUUUUGGUGUUUCAACUAGGCUUUUAAAAUGACUACCAACCAAUGAUACCCUUCUAGUGUUAUUCCAUUUCUUCACAUGCGGUGUUCCCUGGAGACCUGUAUGCACGAGGACACUCUCAUUUUCUUUCCCGCAGUCACAAGCUAACCACAAUGCCAUGUCAUGAAUUAAGUCAUGCAUUUUUACAAAAUUUCCUUCUUCUUCCAACAAACAUACUCUUCAAACAUCUCCUCACACAUCCAAAAAUAUAAUAAAUCAUCUUUACUUAUCAGGAAAUCUUCCGGAAAUAGAGCACAAUAUAAGAAGCAUGAUUUGAUUGUCUCACUGGGUAGAUUAUCGUGACUAAAUUUUAAAGGAGGAAAUACCUUGCCUCCCAUAACGGAAAACUCUGAGGCAGAUUCCUUUAGAACUCGAAUUGCAUGAUUCCAUUCGUGGGGUGUUUUCUUGCACGUCAUGGCUCGACCAACUGUAAUCAAUGCAAGUGGCAAACCGUCACACUCAUUCGCCACGACUUGCGCAAGUUUGGGGAUAUCUGGAUGACUUUGAAGAGCUUCUUUGCCCACCUUCUCCUGAAACAAGGUUCAUGCUUGGUUCGGCAUUAGGCACGGCACUUUAAUCGUUAUUUGAGCAUCCAUACAACUACAUAUAUGCUCCAAACGAGUUGUGAAUAUGGUCUUCGACUUCUUAUUGUCAGCUGGACCAGUAAUCGCUGGAUUAGGAAUCCCAACUUUAGUCAUUUCAAUUGGCUCCCAUAUAUCAUCCAAUAAUAGCACAAAUUUCUUCUCACUCAAGAACUUGAAGUUUGUGGUCUUUUGAGACCACGAUCCAAAUCACAAGAUCAAAAUGGUAAGAAGUACUAAAGGCGAACUUGUAAUGGAUUUUGGUAAGGAGGGUGGUCUUGCCCACCCCUCCCAUUCCAUAUAAUCCAAUUGCUCCCACCUGUUCAUCUUCAACAUAUCUCCAGACCUGAUCAAACAUUGACCCCAUCCCCACUGUUGGUUCAGUAGGCAUUUCAUGGACUACACCUACCGGUAAGCUUUCUGUUGCCACCUCUUCAAAGCUUCCCUUGCUUUUCAAGGAAUCCACUUCCACCAACAUUUUAAACACUUUUUUCCGUACUUGUAGCUGGGAAAGUAGUUCUUGGAGCAGUAAACUCCGCUACAUGAUUUCUGAAUUUCUCGAUCUGCACAAUUUUGAACUUCUCUGACUCAUGUCUCAAUAGUUUCCGCCCUUUUAAUCCAUAGUUGUACCUUGUCCAAGUGCUUCAUUGAUGUCUGAAGCUCAGCAACCUGAACCCUUCUCACGACAUCAUUCUUUAAAGCGGUCAGUUCUUGCAAAGAACGAUCCAGAUUCCAGAGCUUCAAGGUUUUGUCCGAGCUUGCUGAUGUAGUUUGCUUGUUGACUAAGGAACCCCCAGCAGCAGAAGUUAGCUGUGGGAUCGCAAGAUAUGGAGACUGAGAAAAUGUUCCCCAUGGCUUGCAGGAAUACUGAAAAAUGAAAAGAUGGUACUUUUGUUUGGGAGAGGAAUUAGGUAAGUGUUUUGUUUUGUAAACAGGAUGAUAUGUGGAAUGAAUUAUUUCAAUGCCUGUACGUCUACGUGGUGUCGGUCGGGCUCACCAGAAACUUCAAUGUCACUUUAAUCCGAAGACCCAAUAAUUCACUCUAGACUUCCAGAUACUUUUUAGGAUUCAUGUUGUGAAUUGAGUUCUCGUAUCAACAAGGAAAUUUGCAAAUAGGGUUUCCUUUGAGAUUUAAUGUUUUAUCGAGACAAGUUUCAGGUCAUUUGAAAUUAAAGGAAUUGGAUGUUUUCAUUUUUUUAUUUUUUUUCUUUUCGCAUCAAGUUAUGUGUCGGUCGGGCUCACCAAAAACUUUAUGCCACUUUAAUCAGAAUACCCGAUAAUUCCGGUUUUACCCCCGAGUAUUUGGCCUUUAUUCCAUCUUUGCCCAUUUGUCUUGCUGUGGAGAUGGUGACACGUGGGACUCCCAACCUCCUCUACCUUGGCCACAAGUCUAGUGUUUCUAAAUUGGUGUCUCUUAUGUGUCUUAUUUCUAUCAUUUUGAUAUAUGUCCUCAACCUUAACCUCAAAUUUAAUAGUGUUAAUCUUUCAAGAAUGAAUUAAAAAAAAGUAAAAAUUGAUAAUUAAAAAAACAACGCAUUCUCGAUGGUCAUUCACCGCCAGCAAAGCCUCUUUUACUCUUCCCUCUCUUUCCGAUGAACUCACCCACUGAUUAUUAAUUUUACUCUUGGGUUUCCUUUCCCCUCUUUGUGUGUUCACUUUCCCUUUCAUAUAUAACCGUCAAAUCCUCCCCAAAUUUCUUUCAUUAUUUUCAGGAUUUGUUAGAACUUUUACAGAAGAUAUGUUCUAUUGGGAUUUUCAACCAAAACCCAGAUUAUAUCCCUAAUCAAUGACAUUAUUCCUAAGAAAAUUAGCAAUAGAUUCUACCCAAAAAUUAAUCUGACAGAAGUUUGAUUUGACUGUGGAUAUUGAAAGGGAAUAUAAUUAUUUCAAUCUUGGGCCAAGAGAGAAAGAGAGAUAGAGGGAGGAUCCGAGGGGAGGCUUUGGCGGCAACGAGUAAGAGUGUCCAGAGUUGGGUUACUGGCGGCUAAUGAGGUUUAUCUGGUUGCGUGGACAUCAUUUGCUAGUUCUUUGUUUUUUUUUUCUUAAGUGUAGAUGGAAGAGGCUUUGGCGACAUGAGUUGGGGUAGCCGCUCCUGGAAUGGGGUUGGCCGGCGUGGGUGACUGUCUGGGUUGCUAGGGCGGGAGAUUUUCGGGAUCCGGGGUGGGUGGGAAGCGGUGGUUGCAAAUUUCUUUAUUUUUAGUUUUAAUUUCUUAAUUUUAUUAAAAGUUAACGGGGUUAAGGUUAAGUUUAAAUGGUUGGACACAUGUCAAAGAAAUAAGAUAUGAGACUCAUAGGAGACACCAAGUUAGGGACAGCAUACCCGUUGCCCUCUACCUUUUUUUUGUCGCUCACCGCUUCAUUGCAAAAAAAUUAAACCAUUUCCCUUUCAAAUUUCAAGUUUGAACCACCGCUAGCACAGUUUUCCUGCACCUCAGCUUUCAUCUGAUUCUAUUUCUUCUUCUUCUUCUUCCCUAAAACCCUCUAAUUUCCCCAAAACCCACCCUUCCAAAUCCCCCACUACCCCCUCAUCCCUCACAGAGUUAGAUUCCCCCCAAUCCUUCCAACCCAACGGUCCAAAUUUUCAAACUUUCCUCCCAGUAUGCAUCCAUUUCCCAUUUUGAAUUUUGAUCAUUUAGGUCAAAUUUUGAACCUUUAGACCAUCUCCAACUCUUGGGCUAAAAGCCAAAUUUUUUAGCUCGAAAAAUUUAGCUUUUAGCCCAUAAGCAGCUUUUCUGCUCCAACUCUUCUGGCCUAAAAUUUUAGCCCAGAAUUAUUAAAGAAUGAACUUAGGCUAAUUUUUUCUUAAAUUUAUUUAAAAAAAAAUUAUGUAGACUAUAUCGUAAAUUAAUUUUAUGAAAAUUUUAAUCUAAAAAUAUUUAAAUUUCGAUAAAUAUUGAAAAAUCACUAAAUCGAUACAUGUGAAGCACAUACAAAACACAUGUGAAGCACAUACACAUGUGAAUCACAUAACCUUCACUCAUCCUCUAUAUAAACACAGGUUGAAUAUUAAUUGAUCACACAAUCUUUCAACCUUCAAUCAUCCUCUAUAUUCACCAAUCUUUCAACUUUCAAGGUAUUUUUGUUUCCUAAAAAUCCUCAAUAUCUCAUUAAUGGGUGAUAGAAGAAGGCGUAGUAGGACAAUGAAAAUGUGUGGAGUUCCAUAGUUUCUGAAUUUUAUACACCUUUUUCUAGUCGUGCUCAUUUGAUUAAACUUUUAGACUUCUCUUUUUAUUUAAUCUUGCUUAAAGGGGAACAUUUUUAUUUAGCUUAGGUUAGCUAAGUUUGGGUUGAAAUUAUUUGACUAUGAACCUUAUACAAUUUUUAUUAACCCAUUUGGACUAGGAAAGUGAGGACAAAUGGCUUUCUUGGAGUGGCAAAGUUUGCCACGUAGUUCACUCACCAUGCCGACCCAAGGACACUAAUCUGAUCAUUAGCUUGUUUGGUGAAAAGUAUGUAGCUUAGAUGUUAUCACAUAGGGCUUUUAGAGUGCUUAGUAAGCACUUUAGGGUGAUGACUAUUGAAGCCUAGGUUGACAACUAAUCAAGCCUAUAGCUAAUGUGGAAUGGUGGAUUAGCAAUUGAAGUUGAAACUUAUAACCAAUGAGAACAACUUUUGCCGCCUUAUUUAUGGUAUAAAUAGGAGCAAUGCUCAAUCUGUGCUUUUUUUUUUCCUUUGGCAAAAUGCAAUACGUACCGUAUGUAGAAAGUGUGUAAGAGAGUGUUAAAGGAGAUAAGCAAAAGAAGUACUCAUGGAGUAAGAAGAGAGGAUUCGAGGUAGGGGAAUUUGGGGAAUUAAUUGAUUGCAUUUGUUACUUGUAUUACGUGAAAUAUUGUUAUGUGAACUUGAGAUAUAUUCAACUAUUGACUUAGAUGUGCUUUAUUAUGUGAUAUAUUCAACUAGUGAUCAUUAUCAUUUGUCAACGAAGUAAAGGAGUUACUUAUGUUAUGGGAAAAUGUGGAAAUUAUAGCUUUUGUGUAGUUGAGUUUGUUCAUUGUGAAACCAGUUUCAGGCAAGCCCAAUGUGCACAGUAGAAUAGGAUAUCGACGGGAAUUGUCGAUGUGGGUGAUUUGGGUUGGAGAUCAAUGAAUCAGAUAAGAUGACUAGCAAAAGGGGUUAUGAACUUGGGUUAGUUGAUGUGGGUUAUUCUAUAUAUUAAAGCACUCGGGGCCACAAUAGUAAAAUGCAUGGUAUGGGACAUGCAGGUCUGGUUGCUUCAAUAUAUAGAUUAACGGGUUGGGUCUUGCAUUACAUUACUCAUAAAAUAUUCAUAACAUUAAUAAUAUUAAUCACUUGAGACUUUGGGCCCCUAGUGAGCUUUUAGCUCACCCCUUAUUAGUUGUGUUACAGGAGAUGAGACAUGAAUCUAGUGGUUGACUUGGAAGAAAGAGACUGCUUAUAAAUAGUUUUAAACUUUUUAAGGAGUUGUUGUCGUUUUCUUUUAUGUGUAAGGACUAUGUAAAUUAUUUUGUUUAAUGAAACAUUUUAGUUCAACACAAUCACAUGUUAUUACCUUUAAGUUACCCAUUUUAUUCAUGUCCAAAAAAAAAAAAAUUAGGGUGUGACAAGAUGGCACAAUACCAACCAAGCCUUGACAUUAAGGGUGCAUAAAUGAUCAACGCAUAAGUUGAAUUUGAAAACUCGCUUAUGCAAUAUGAGCACCAUGCCGAAUCUAGCUAUCGUGGUUCUGUCACGGGGCGGUCAUUUGUGCAGCGUGAUAGAGAAGAGUGUCAUGACCGAAUGAUGAAAGAUUAUUUCAUCGAGCGUCCGAGAUUUCCUGCUCAUGAUUUUCGAAGACGGUUUUGAAUGAGGAUAGAGCUUUUUGAAAACAUCUUGAACGUAGUUGUUAAUCAUGAACGUUAAUGUGUUCUUGUGUUAUGUAAUAAUUUUAAGUGUACUAUGUUGGUGUAUUAAUGUGUUCUUGUGUUAUGUAAUAAUUUUAAGUGUACUGUGUUGGUGUAUUAAUGUGUUCUUGUGUUAUGUAGUUAUUUUAUGUAAUAAUUUUAAGUUUUCUUGUGCAAAAUUAUUGAAGGCAUCUGGAUGUGCAAAAUUAUUGAAGUGGCUUCUUGUGCAAAAUUAUUGAAGUGUCUUAUUUUGUCUAGUACGUUGUCAAAAUUAUUGAAUGUCGUUUGAAUUAUUGAAGGCAUCUAUUGUACAUCAAAGUGUGCAAUAAUAAUUACAAUAAUUAUUAAAGGCAUCUAGAUUAAUAGAAACAUUAAUUAAUAAGCCAUAAAUUUAAUACACACGACAAUUAAUAAAGCACAUAAACUUAAUACAAACGACAAUUCAUAAGCCACAUAAAUCACAUAAACUUAAUACAAUCGAUAAUUCAUAAACUAUAUAAACUUAAUAAUGAUAUCCACCAUCUUCACUUGGUGGUGGACUUGGGAUAUAGGGUUGAGAUGAUUCAUCAUCUUGAAAUAUACUCUUUGUGGCAUUCUAUCGUAAAAUUUCCUUUUGCUUACCACACAAGAACUUCUUCCUCUCUGGAGUGUAUUUGUUGAGGUCCUCCAUCAUGCAAUUAAUUUUGAACCUAUUUUGCUCACUAUCCCCUUCUUCCUUCAUUUUCAAACGCAUUUGGGCCGCUUCUUCUUGGCGAGCGCUAUGGGUUUCACUCAAUCUUGCAAAUCCUGUAGCAAUGUGUCCACUCAUUAGAUCUUGAGACUUCCCUUUUCUCUUUGCUUCCUUUUGCUUAUAUCUUCCCGGAGGCCUUGCAAAAGGAGUUGGGGUCAUUUCAUCGACACCUUCAUUGACACCUUCAUCUCCGGCAUUUGUCGGUGCAGCUUCACGUUGAAAUAAUUUGUUGGUCCGCAUCCGUUCCCCACCUCGGACAAUCCUUGAGGACGUCCCAAGCAUGUUGCAACUUAAAAACUUGAUUUUUUGGUGUUACUCUUGUCUUGUAAAUUUCCAUUGCUUUGUCACCCUAUGCAAAAUAUACACAAAAACAAUUAGUUGCAAAAUAAUAUUAUGUACAUGACAAAUUAAAUAUCAAUAAAAAAGCUCACAAUUUCUGCGGUGCUCCUUCCAAUAGCCAUGCUAACCACGGCUCUCUCCAAGCUUCCUUUCCAUAAAGUGCAUGCUUUGUUAAUAGUCUUCCACCGAUCGUAAACACCACCACCUUCCCUCCCGCCAUCGUUUUCAUGAAACUUUUCAAUGAUUUUAUCCCACAAAACCUUUUAUUUUGAUUCGUGCCAACUGCACCAUCUUGGCUAACAGAAACCCAUGCCAAGCAUAAAGCAACAUCUUCCUCACUGGUCCAAUUACGACCUCUAACAUGCUCUUGCCAUGUUGAACAAUUUGGAAAUGGUAGAAAGAAAAAUUGGAAGAAUUGUAGGAGAAAAUUGAGUUUUCUGUGGAUGUUUGAACAAAUACAUAGGUAUUUAUAGAGUUUUUGGGUGAAUUUUGAGUUAAAUAAUUUUUUUUAAUUAUUUUAGUUGUUGGAUUUAAAUUUGGGAUGUUAUAUCUUUUUUUUACCGUUAGAUUUGAUUAUAUUCGAUCGUAGCCGUUGGAUUCAAUGUAUUUUAAAAUAACAUUUUUUAAAAAAAACAAAAUUUGAGUCUGGACCGUUGGAUCAACCAAUGGUCCAAAAAUGUGAGUCGUCCGAUGAACAAAAGAGCCGUUGGGCUCAUAAUUGUGGCCAACAGUGGCCUUGACAGUGGGUCCCACCCUGUCGAGCGUUGAAGGCUGAUGCUUGCGUGGGGUGAGUUGCGUGCAUUACCGGGCCGAUAGUAGGCUGGGCUUGGGCGCGUCCUUGUGUUCCUGGGCUAUUUCUUAGGGGGUAUUUGGCCUUAGUUUGGCAUUUAGCUUUUAGCCCAAAGAUUUGGCUUGGGUUGGGUUCGGUUGGGUUUGGGGGGGGGGGGGAAUAAGUGGGGAAAUUUGACAAAUAGCCCAAGGUUGGGUUUAGUCUUAGUUAUUGUCAUUGCUUAAUGUAGUUGUAAUUUAAAGUUUUAUUUUUUUAGUUUUGUUAUUUCUUGUGCAGGAUGUCGUUGCAAAUUUCCGCCGUCUUCAGUCUUGACGAAAAUGUACCUGCAAAAUAAUCAAUACCUUUGAUCAAAGACCUAAGCCUCACGCACCAUGAGGUGGGGCGUUAGGUCAAUGAAUCUCCGAUACCUAAGUCAGUUUAUUUGAGAGAGUAAAGUGUUUAGGGCUUUUUUAAGGUAGCAAAAGCGUGUAGAAGCAAUAUGUUUUUAUUUAAAUAUAUAUAUAUAUAUAUAUUUAUGUAUUUUUUUCUUUUGUUUUACUAAAACCAUUAAAUAUAUAUAACCUAACUUUGAAACGUGAGAAAGCUUCUCACAUUAAAUAAUUGGAUGGAAUUCCUUUUCUGAAUAAAGAAGAAGAUCAGGUACCCAUUCAUUCUUUUGUUCCAUUUUGAUUAUUUACUUUUUGAUUUCGUCCAUUUUAAUUCUUUAAGAUUUUCAUGCCACUGAUUCUCUCAAACUUGCAACGUAUACUUUAUCUUUUUGUACACAUAUAUAUAUAGGUUUCCUAUAUCGAAGGAAUAUAUAGAGAAACAAUAGAGUAUAUAUUUUCUCACCACAAAAAAAACAAAAAAAUUAGCUUCCUUUUGCACCACUGUCAAACCAACUCUCCUAAAGAGCCUACUAUUGCACAAAUCAAAGCUUCACAAACUUGGAUUGAAAAUGAUUUUCUUGCUUAGAAUUAUAUUCUUAAUGGAUUGUCUGAUGACCUUUAUGACUACAACUUUGAUUAUGGCGUUGCUAAAGAUUUAUGGGAGGCACUUCAGAAAAAAUAUGACACUGAGGAAGCUGGGGCUAAGAAGUUUGCUGUUAGUCGUUAUUUGAAAUAUCAGAUGGUUGAUGAUAAAUCUAUUGAGGCACAAUCUCAUCAACAACAACAACAACAACAAAGCAUUUUCCCACUAAGUGGGGUCGGCUAUAUGAAUCCUAAAAUGCUAUUACGCUCGGUUCUGUGUCAUGUCCUCCGUUAGAUCCAAGUACUCUAAGUCUUUUCUUAGGGUCUAUUCCAAAGUUUUCCUAGGUCUUCCUCUACCCCUUCGGCCCUGAACCUCUUCCCGUAGUCACAUCUUCGAACCGGAGCGUCAAUAUGCCUUCUUUGCACAUGUCCAAACCACCGUAAUCGAUUUUCUAUAAUUUUUCCUUCAAUUUCGGCUACUCAUACUUUACCUCGGAUAUCCUCAUUCCUAAUCUUAUCCUUUCUCGUGUGCCCACACAUCCAACGAAGCAUCCUCAUCUCCCCUACACCUAUUUUAUGUACGUGUUGAUGCUUCACCGCAUAAUAUUCUGUGCCAUAUAGCAUCGCCGGCCUUAUUACCGUCCUAUAAAUUUUCCGUUAAGCUUCAGUGGCAUAUGGCGGUCACACAACAUGUCGGAUGCACUCUUCCACUUCUUCCAUCCAGCUUGUAUUCUAGGGUUGAGGUCUCCAUCUAAUUCUCCGUUCUUUUGCAAGAUAGAUCCUAGGUAGCGAAAACAGUCGUUCUUUGGUAUUUCCUGAUCUCCGAUCCUCAUCCCUAACUCAUUUUGGCCUCCAUUUGCACUGAACUUGCACUCCAUAUAUUAUGUCUUUGAUCGGCUUAGGAGAAGACCUUUAGAUUACAACACUUAUCUCCAAAGGUUAUGCUUCGCAUUUACCCCUUCCUGAGUUUCAUCUAUCAACACUAUAUCAUCUGCGAAAAGCAUACACUAAGGAAUAUCAUAUUGAAUAUGUCCUGUUAACUCAUCCAUUACUAAUGCAAAAAGGUAAGGACUUAAGGAUGAACAUUGAUGUAACCCUACAGUUAUGGGGAAGCUUUCGGUUUGUCCUUCAUGAGUUCUUACGGCAGUCUUUGCUCCAUCAUACAUAUCCUUUAUAGCUUGGAUAUAUGCUACUCGUACUCAUUUCUUCUCUAAAAUCCUCCAAAGAAUGUCUUUUGGGGCCCUAUUAUACGCUUUUUCUAAAUCUAUAAAGACCAUGUGUAAAUCAUAUUUUUCAUCUUUAUAUCUUUCCAUCAAUCUUCGUAAGAGAUAGAUUGCCUCCAUAGUUGAGCGCCCUGACAUGAACCCGAAUCGGUUGUUCGAAACUUGUGUCUCUUACCUCAAUCUAUGCUCAACGACUCUCUCCCAGAUCUUUAUUGUAUGACUCAUUAGCUUAAUACCCCUAUAGUUCAUGCAAUUACAAAAAAUUGCUUAUGAAAUUAUUUCUAAAGGCAUGGUUUUAAAUGAUCAAUUUUAGGUUGCCGUUAUCAUUGAUAAGUUGCUACCAACUUGGAAAAUUUUCAAGAACUCACUCCCCACUAGACAAAGGAUUUCUCCUUAGAAAGCUUGUUCACUCAACUUCGUAUUGAGAAAAACGCCAGGAAACAAGAAUUGAAGGAGGAAAUUCUGGUCAUAUCAAACAAUAAGAGGACUACUAACUUCAACCGGAACAAGACUUUAGCUGUGCUGAAGCCAAAUGGAAAGAGCAUGAAGAUUCAGAACAAGCGCCUCAACAACAACACUAACAAGGUUCAUAAUCGAAAUCCCUUUCAUCCUCACAAUAGGUACCAACCUCCCUCACGUGCUGCUUCUGAUUCAAGAAAAUUUGAAUGUUAUAACUAUCACAAGCUGGGCCAUCUUGCCCGGAAUUGCAGAAAUAAGAAAAGCCCUGCUCCACAGGAAAAUAUUCUUAAAGAGCAACUGAUUGCAAUGAUAUCAGAAAUCACCUUAGUUGAUGGAUCCAAGGGGUGGUGGGUGGACACUGGCGCUUCUCGCCAUGUCAGCUAUGAUCGUUCUCUUUUCAAGACCUAUCUUGUGGCUGAGGGAAGAAAGGUGUUGUUGGGUGAUACGUACUUAACUAAUAUUGCUGGUACUGGAGAGGUGGAGUUGAAGUUCACCAUUGGAAAAACCAUGAUACUGAAAGAUAUGAUGCACGCUUCAGCAAUAAGGAAUAAUCUGGUCUCGGGCUUUCUUUUCAACAAGGCUAGAUUCACUCAAACCAUUGGAACAGAUACACAUACUCUUACUAAAAAUGGGGUUUUUGUGGGAAAUGGAUAUGCUACUGAUGGAAUGUUUAAAUUGAAUGUUGAUGCUGAUAAUAUGUCUACUUCUACUUACAUGUUGUCUUAUUUUAAUACUUGGCAUGCUAGACUUUGUCAUGUUAACAAACGCUUGGUUAAGAACAUGAGUAACUUAGGCUUUUUACCCAACUUAUCAUUGAAUGAUUUUGAAAAAUGUGAAUAUUGUAGUCAAGCAAAAAUCACUAGAACUUCGCAUAAAUUUGUCAAUAGAGAAUUUGAACCAUUUGACUUAAUUCAUUCCGAUAUAUGCAAAUUUGAUAGAGUGUUAACUAGAAAUGGAAAACGUUAUUCUAUUACCUUUAUUGAUGAUUGUUCAAAUUACUGUUUUAUCUAUCUUAUGAAAAAUAAAAGUGAAGAUAUUGACAUGUUCAAAACUUUCUUGACUGAAGUUGUAAAUCAAUUUAAUCGUAAGAUUAACAGAUUUCGUAGUGAUAGAGGACAAGAAUAGGAAUUCACUGAAUUUGAUAAUUUGUUUAAGUCUCAUGGAAUUAUUCAUGAAACUACUGCUCCUUAUUCUCCUGAAAUGAAUGGUAAAGCAGAAGAAAAAAUUGAACUCUUUGUGAAUUGAAUGUUGCUACUUUACUUAGUUCUGAAGCUGCUUCUUAUUGGUGAGGUGAAAUUAUGUUGACUGUAUUUAUGUGUUAACUAGGAUUCCUAACUCAAAAACGAAAAUUUCUCGUUAUGAAAUUUGGAAAAAUAAGAAACCAAAUGUGUUGUAUUUCAGAACUUGCUUAUGUCCUAAACCUAAUCCAAAAAGAUCGAAAUUGGCUAGUAGAGCAUAUGAAUGUGUUUUUAUUGGUUAUGCAUGUAAUAGCAAAACAUAUAGAUUUUAUGAUUUGAAAAACCAUGUCAUAAUUGAGUCACUUAAUGCUGAUUUUUAUGAGAAUAAAUUUCCUUUUAAUCUUCGAAAUAGUGGGGGUUCUAAUUUUUCUAGAAUUUAUGAACCUACUGUUGUAGAACAUAGUGAAUCUGCAUUAGAACUGAGGAAAAGUAAAAGAGCUUGAAUAGCUAAAGAUUUUGGGCCUGAUUUUCAUAUAUAUGACUUACAAGAAGAUCCUAAUACAAUUCAAGAAGCUUUAACUUCGUUAGAUGCAGAUUUGUGGCAGGAAGUUGUAAAUGAUGAAAUGGACUCCCUGGAAUCAAAUGAAACUUGGCACUUGGUGGAUCUUCCACCUGGUUGCAAAACAAUAAGUUGCAAAUGGAUUCUUAAAAGAAAAUUAAAACCUGACGGUUUAGUUGAAGAUUUUAAAGCUCAACUAGUUACCAAAGGCUAUAGACAAAGAGAAAAUAUUGAUUUCUUUGAUACCUAUUCACUUGUGACUAGAAUAACAUCUAUUCGUGUAUUGUUUGCUUUGGCUUCUAUUCAUGAUCUUGUUGUGCACCAUAUGGAUGUUAAAACAGCUUUCUUGAAUGGUGAAUUAGAGGAAGAAAUAUAUAUGGAUAAACCAGAGGGUUUUAUUAUUCCAGGACAAGAAAAUAAAGUUUGUAUAAGUCACUUUAUGGAUUGAAACAGGCUCCUAAACAAUGGCAUGCAAACUUUGAUAGUUUGGUUACUUCAAAUGGUUUUAAAAUAAAUGAAAGUGACAAAUGCAUCUAUUAUAAGUCUAACAGUAAUAUAUGCACUAUAAUAUGGCUAUAUGUGGAUGAUUUGCUUAUUUUUUGUUCGAAUAUUCAUGUUGUGAGUAAUGUCAAAUCUUUGUUAUGUGCUAAUUUUUAUAUGAAAGACUUGGGUGAAGCUAGUGUAAUACUUGGUUUGAAAAUAACUAGGUCUGAACAUGGGUUUUCUUUAGAUCAAUCUUACUACAUAGAAAUUUUUUUAAGAAAGUAUAAUUAUUUCGAUUGUAAACCAGCAUGUACUCCUUAUGAUUCUAGUAUAAAACUAUUCAAGAACACUAGUGACAGUGUUAAACAAUCUGAGUAUGGGAGUAUUAUUGGUAGCCUUCGUUAUGCUACUGAUUGCACUAGGCCUGAUAUAUCUUAUGUUGUAGGAGUUUUAUGCAGGUUUACUAGCAGGCCUAGUUUGGAGCAAUGACAUGCUAUAGAGAGGCUUAUGAGAUACCUUAAAAGGACGAUGAAUUUCGAAUUACACUAUGGAAAGUUUCUCGAUGUCCUAGAAGGUUACAGUGACGCUGAUUGGAAUACAUUUUCAGAUGACUCUAAAGCCACUAGUGGAUACAUUUUUAGUGUUGGUGGAGGGGCUAUGUCAUGAAAGUCUUAAGAAACAGACUAUCUUGCUGUGUCAUGGAAGUCUUAAGAAAUAGACUAUCUUGGCUUGGCUCAGUCUACUAUGGAAUCAUAAUUAAUAGUGCUCGCUACAGUAAGCGAAGAAGUAGGAUGGUUGAGAAACUUACUGUUAGAUAUCCCUUUAUGAGAGAAACCGAUUCCAGCAGUUUUGAUCCAUUGUGAUAGCACGACGACAAUAGCUAAAGUGCAAAACCGUUAUUAUAACGGGAAAAGGUGACAAAUACGUCGUAAGCACAUCACUGUAAAAGAUUAUCUCUCUAAUGGAGCUGUAAGAGUGGAUCAUAUACAGUCUGAAGAAAACUUGGCUAAUCCUUUGACAAAAGGACUAGCACGCGAAAAGGUUUGGAAAACCUCAUAAGGGAUGGGACUAAAGCCCUUAGAAAAUAGAGUCAUUUGUGAUUGGAACCCAACAUAUAGACUGGAGAUCCCAAGAAAUAGGUUCAAAGGGUAAUAACAAGUCACAAGUGAUAUGAGUGAAGUCUUGCUAAUUUUAAUUUGGAAUAUUAUUCUAUGUCUAUCCCUAAGAAGCAUGACAUCUUGAAGCCUUUUUAGGUUGAUAUUUGUUUUUCUCUUUGUAAGGUCUAUACUCUAUGUUGAGUAGGAUAUCUAGCUGCAGGAAUAUCCCUGAUAAUCUUACCUAUGUGAAUGUGGAAGUGAGGCCGCUUCCUAUGAAAUCUUGGGCAAAUUUCUAGAGUGUUCACAAGCACAUGGCCAUAAUGUGUUGGCCUUUUGAACUUUACCUUAAUAAAGUUGUGUGUGUGGUGUUGUUACAUAUAGAGUUCAAAACUAUAAGUUACUCUAGUAUAAUCUGAAUCACUAACACUAUGUACAUGUUCAAGUUGAGAAACACCUUUACUUAUGCAUAGCUUUAUAAUAUGUUGCUUGAUUUACAGAUUUAAACAAAAACAAGUGAGGGAUUGUAGAAGCAAUAUAUUUAAAUAUAUAUAUAUAUAUAUAUAUAUAUAUAUAUUUAUCUUUGGUUUUACUACAACCAUUAAAUAUGUAUAACCUAAAUUGGUUUUUAACCUUAUCUUUUGCUAAGGAGUAAUCUCCUUCACUAACUUUGAAACGUGAGAAAGCUUCUCACAUUAAAUAAUUGGAUGGAAUUCCUUCUCUAAAUACAGAAGAAGAUCCGGUCCCCACUCAUUCUUUUGUUCCAUUUUGAAUAUUUACUUUUUGAUUUUGUCCAUUUUGGUUUCAUCCGUUUUGGUUCUUUAAGAUUUUCAUGCCCCUGAUUCUCUCAAACUUGCAACGUAUACUUUAUCUUUUUACACACACACACACACACACAUAUAUAUAGGUUCCUUGUAUCGAAGGAAUAUAUAUAGAAACAAUAGCGUAUAUAUUUUUCUUAAAAAAUUGAGUUCUAAAGCAAGAUAUAGAAAGGGUGUGAGUUCGAAAGUUUUUUUCAUUGUGCAACAAAGAACUUAUUAGAGGAAGAAGGUUUUGGGUUAAUUUAUCCUGAGGACGAUGUGGUGUUUGUGAACAGCUUGCAGACUUGGGGCAGAGCGGCAAAACGUCUUAAAGAGAGUGACUUAUUCUGCGACUCAUUCUAAGAAUCAUUCAUCACUCAAGGCUUCUACAUUUUUCGUGUAACUUUGUUCCUUUCUAUUUCAGUUUUCAGCAAAGCCUCUGAAAUUUGGUAAAAUAUGAGGUAUUUAUAGGGGAUAAGGCUGGCCAUAGUGUAUGGUUUUACCCUACACAUGACGACAUCCUAUUGGCUAAGGUAUUUAUGGAGAAAUAUUCUCAAGAUAUUAAAUAGGAAAUAAUAUCUUGAGAUAAUGGAGUAAUUAUCCCUAAAUGAUUUAAAUUAGGAUCACUUACCUGAUUGGAGUUAAUCUUCAAUUGCGAAUGUAUUAAAGAUAGGAUUUGGGUAAUUAAUCCUUAUCUUUAAUGCUUUGACUUUUCCUUGCCAAAGGCAGGUGAGCUGUGGGCGACUAAUAUUCAGCUGCUGGGACCUUCAGGGGUGUGAGCUGCGUGUGGGAGUAUAUGAGAAGUCUACCCAUUUAUUGAGGGCAAUCUUGUCUUUCUUGAAUAAAAGUCCACGUGUCGCCUUUAGAAUUUUUGGGAUUAUUUUAGGCUCCACACAAGACAUAUUUGAUCUUUCAGAUGACUACUUUGCGCAGCUUUCGAUAAAGUACGUGACUUUUUAUGACAGAGUUAUCUCAAUAAGGAACAAAGGAUAGGUUCAUGUAGAAUAUAUUACAUAGCAAAAGUUGGGGAUUAAGCUAUUUGCGUUAUUUGAUUAUAUUGUGGGAUAUUUGGUUAGAAUAUUGCUGAGUUUUAUGCUAUUUAUGUGAUUGUAUUUAUCCAUUAGGUUCGUUCUACCCAAAUACCAGAGUAUCAAUAUUUCAUAUUGUUGAUGCACAAAAUCAGUGAAAACUUUGGUACAAUAGAAAGUGUUAAGUUUGUGACCUUCGCUAGAUUGCUCCGGUCACUAGUGUGGAUAAGUAUGUAAAUGGAUAGAGAUAGGGAAGCAAACACAAGAUGUACAUGGUUCACCUAGAUUGGCUACAUCCACGGAGUAGAGGAGUUCACAUUAAUUGUGAAGUACAUAGGUUCAAGCUCUCCUUUAGUGAGUACUAGUGAAUGAUUUAGUAUAAAUGACAUUCGGAAAUAUUGUGGGAGAAUGAUCUCCUUUUAUGGAAGAGUUUCUAGCUUUGUUUUGACAUUGACACGUGUCAUGUUGUGAUUGGUUUUUUAUGUUGACACGUGUCGCGAUGUGAUUGCUUUUGAUGUCGACACGUGUCGCACUGUGAUUGGCCUCCUGGUUGGAGGGAAACUCUUCUGGGUCCUUGACGGUAUAACGUUGACUAGUGCUCAGUAGUUUCGGGAUUGAUCAAAUAUGGUUCAAACACAUAUGAUUUUAUUGUUGGGUAGUUCAAGUAAGUUUUAGCUUUGUUAUUUUGUACUUAUUUGGAAUUUGAUGGUGUUUGUAUGUUGUUGUAGGUGAUUACCAAAAGAUCUCUUGCAUAAAAUUCGUACCAAUAAGUUAUGCAUAUCAUUGUUGCCGAACACCAGAAUAAAACAUAUAUACCUAUAGAGUGUAAAUGUGGAUUAUAAUCUAUGAUCUAUAAGUGAACAGAAGAUUAUGAGUUGUAGUAGGUUGCCGCAUCUAUUUUAGGAAAGAGAUCAUCUUCGGAUCUCUUCCACCAAGACCAUCGGAUCAAGUGAUUAGGAUCUUUGAAAUUUCAUCCAACGGCAAAAAAUUAUUAUAGCUUUUAAGGGAUCAAAAUAGGUAGGUCGUUGGAUGAAAUUUCAAUGGUCCGGAUCACUUGAUCCGGUGACCUUGAUGGAAAAGAUCCGGAGAGGAUCUCUUUCCUCUAUUUUCAUGUUUCAAUUACUGUAUCAAACCUUUGAACUUUCCAAUUAUUGUCCUUUUUGUCGUCUCCCAUUCUCAAACUGUCACAUAAGUUUUGUGGAAUUUUUUCAAAAACUCGCUAACUAUUCCACCUAUGGAGUUUAGAUGCUCAUUGGAUGUGGUUGUUUUAGAAUGACAAGCCCUUAAUAAACAUUUUUAAUUUCUGAAAAGAAAAUGAACUAAAAUUCUUAGAGGGAACGGAUAACUAUUUUUAUUCUUUUUCUAGUGUUGUUCAACCACAAAUGAUUUUCCAUAUUCAAUAAGGCGUCUGAAACUUGAAGGAAUAAUUAACCCAGCACAAUUGUUCAUAGCAGCGACAAUGAGUUCCUUGGCAUAUGGAGCUUUUGAGAUAGAAGGAUUUGGUGAACCAUAUCAAGAAUGAAAACUUUGGCCCGUACAUGGAUUGGAUUUAAAGUCUCCAGCCAAAAGACUCUCUUGACUGAACACUUAGGGGACUCCUGUUGGUACCAUAUAUUGGGCCUCGUUACUGAGCCCAUAACCCAUGUAAGAGGAGGAAACCCUUACUCUAUAAAAGGGAUCCUCCUCACCCUCAUUCUAGAGCCAAAAAAAAAAAAAAAAAAAAGAAAACAAGAGAGUCUCACAUCCCUCACAACAAUAGAGGGCAAUACCUUUUUAGCCAAAUAGAGAGCCAAAUGGCAAGGGUUGCAUCCACAGAGAGCUCCCUUGCCGAUCUAUUGUAAUCCAGACAUUCAUACAGUGAAAUGGAAUCAACAUCAGUGUGGACGUUGCCCAAACAUUAGGGUGAACCACGAUACAUCUUUGUGUUCUUGUGCGUUUGUGUGAUUCACGGUCGGAUUUACGUUGGUCCAAGAUCCUUCGGAUUUAAAUUGGUUUUGCUUCACACUGUCUUGAUCAAGAGUGUGUGAAGCUUUUGAGAAAUGUGGUUGCCCUCCAUUGAUAAAGCUCUUGUUGACACCAUAAAUUGGUUUUGCUUCACACUGUCUUGAUCAAGAGUGUGUGAAGCUUUUGAGAGUUGUAGUUGUCCUCCAUUGAUGAAGCUUUGUUAUAUUUCCCAAUUUCCCUUUUUCGAUUUUUUUUUUGGGAAAACUGGAAAUUUGAAAAUGUAGGAGAGACAACAUAUACAAGCGCCACCUUGUAGUAGUCGAAGGUUUGGAUGAACCAUAUAAAUUGAAUUUUCUUCGAACAAUCUUGAUGAUGAGUGUGUGAAGCUUUCUACGAGUUGUAGUGUUUGCAUCGUUACAGAGGAGAAAUGUCUGAAGCAGAUGCAAGAGGGAUGAAUAGCUUGAUCUUCGUAUGCCAUGCACUGAAGUUGUUGUUGGCUUGCAAUAAGACUUUGUUGGUAACUAUAACUCUUGUUAGGUAUAAGUGCUCCCCUAGUUGAGUUGUAAAGCAUGAGGGUUUUUUAUUAUUUGUGAAUGCUAAGAGUUCACAUGUACAAGUUGUACCACUCGUAUUCUAGUUGGUAGAAUGAAUGGUGAGUUGCUUUCAUCACCUAGUUGGUGGUACGAAGGUGAGUUCCUUCAUCACAUUUCAUCACCUGGUUGGUGGCAUGAAAAUCAGUUCCUUUUUCACCUAGUUGGUGAUAAGAGCGGCAAGUUGCCAAAUAAUAUUAGAGUACGGGUUGUACAUUUCAUCACCUGGUUAGUGGUACGAAGGUAAGUUCCUUUAUCACUUAGUUGGUGAGAAUAAGGGCAAGGUGUCAAGGCACAUUGUAGCAAGUGUCGAAUGACACAAAGUAUGCUGAACCCUUUCGAAGCAUAAUUGGCUUAUGCAUGAAUGUGUUGGAAUGUAUGAUUGAAUGAAUAUACUGUGAAGCUGUUCGUUUAUUUGUAUAGUCUUGUUAACAUAUACUUAGACUUUGUUUCAUGUUGGAAGCAUUCAUGUUGAAGCUUUGAACCCAAGUGCUUCAUUGCUAGGAAUGUAAGAGGAUUAGGAUCGAGUUGUCUAAAUCACUUCUUUAUUGAAUUCAUGCCAAAUGGUCUUCGUUACAUAGGAUGCCGAACGACUGAAGCUUAACACUUGUACAAUGUGAGUUUACUUGUAAUAGUACUUCAAGUGAUCAGUGUUCCAUGGAUGGCCAAGGGUCUUGCCAUCAGAGCUUCUAAGCUUGUAGGAGCCAGGGCGACUGAUGCCAACGACUUCAAACGGUCCAUCCCAGUUUGGACUACGUGUUCUUUCACUCGGGACUUUGUUGCAGUGUAAUAUUUUCUUCAAUACCCAGUCCCUCACUUUGAAAAAACGAGGUUUGACCCUUGAGUCAUAGUAGUUGGAGAUACGCUGCUUGUAGGCGAUAUUCCUCAAGUGAGCCUGGCUUAUGUGUUCCUCGACUAGAUCUAAGUUGAGGGUAAGUUAUUUAUCAUUUUCGCUUUGCACAUAGUUCUGGACUCGGAACGUUGCUUGCUCAAGCUCAACUGGGACAAUUGCCUCUGUACCAAAAGCAAGUGAGAAUGGAGUUUCUCCUGUUGAAGCCCGAUACGAAGUGCAGUAUGACCAAAGAAUUUAGGGUACGAAUUUUGUCCAACAACCUUUAGCCUUCCACGCUGGUUUUUAAAGUGCGCUUAAUUAUUUUAUUAAUGGCUUCAACUUGUCCAUUAGACUGGGGAUGAGCUAGGGAGGCGAAACCUAAAUUGAUGUUGAACUUAGAGUAGAACAUCCUGAACUUAUUGUUGUCGAACUGUCGCCUGUUGUCAGUGACUAUCACAUUGGGAAUGUCGAAUCUGCAAAGGAUGUUCUUCCAUACGAAGUCUUCUAUUUUUACCUCAGUAAUGGUUGCCAAGUGUUCUACUUCGGCCUACUUUGUGAAGUAGUUAACUGCAAUGAUUGCAUAACGGACCUUGCCCUUCCCUGCAGGCAUUGGGCUAAUUAAAUCAAGUCCCCAUUGGGUGAAGGGCCAAGGGCUGAUCAUAGGAGUGAGCGGCUCAGGAGGGGAGUGAGGAAUAGUUGUGUAGCGUUGACACUUAUCACAUGAGCGAGAUAUUCUGAUGGCAUCUUGGUAUAGUGUUGGCCAGUAAUAUCCUUGGCGAAAAGCCUUGUGUGCUACGGAUCGAGAUCCAGCAUGAUCUUCGCAAACUCCUUCAUGUAUUUCCCGAAGGACAAUUUCCGCCUCUGUGGGCGUAAGAAAUCUUAGGUAUGGUAGGUUAAAACCCUGUUUAUAGAGUUGGUCAUUAAUGAUCAAGUAACGGGUAACCUUGUAUCAAAUCUGCUUAGCUUGGACUUUAUUUUUUGGGAGGGUACCAUGCGCAAGGAAUUUAUAAAUCGGGGUAAUCCAACUAUCCCCCUAUUGUAAGUUGCAGGGUGCUUGGUGCUGCCAACAAUUCGACUUGAAAUUUUCUCCCAAUUUUGUCUUCUAUUGCUGAGGCGAGGUGAGCCAAAUCGUCUGCAUGACUAUUUGCCGCUCGAGGAAUUUGGGUGAUCUGGUAGUGGAAGUGCUUGAGCAACAAUUGUGUUUGUGCCAGAUAUGCUGCCAUGAAGCUAUCCUUAGCCUCAAAGUUGUUGGUGACCUGGUUAACUAGCAAUUGGGAGUCACUGAAGAUAUCAAUUCGUUUAACCUCAAGGUGUUUGGCCAAACGUAAGCCUGCUAGAAGGGCUUCAUAUUCGGCCUCAUCAUUCGAUGCAUUGAAUUUGAAACGAAGAACAUACUCCAUUGCCACUUUGUCAGGGGUCGUAAGGACUAGCCCUGCUCUAUAACCUUGUUGGUUGGAUGAGUCAUCAACAUAUAGACUCCAUGUUGGGGCUGUUUGUUCUAUUUUCUGAGCUUCCGAGGGUAAUGAAACCACUUCUUUAGGCAUAGAAACAAUGUCAACAGGAUAUGUGAAGUCGACGAUGAAGUCUGCCAUUGCUUGGCCCUUCUCAGCUGGCUUUGGUUGGUAGGAGAUGUCAAACUCACCUAAUGCUAUCGCCAAUUUGAUCAUUCGCCCCGAAGUGUCAGGACUUUGGAGUAUCUGUCGAAGAUGAUGAUUGGUAACCACAAUGAUAGAGUGUGCUUGGAAGUAAGGGCGAAGUUUUCUAGCAGACAUGACCAAUGUUAGAGCCAAUUUCUCAAUGUUGGAGUAUCGUGUCUCUGCAUUUUGUAAGGCCUUGCUAACGUAGUUGACUGGUCGUUCGACAUUACCAUCAUUUUGAAUAAGAACGGAACUUACUGCUAAAGCCGAUACCAAUAGAUAGAUAAUAAGAGUGUCACCAACCUCAGGUUUGGAGAGCAGAUAGCUUUACUCAUGUAGUCCUUAAAGUUCUUGAAUGCCUCGGCACAUUCAUCAGUCCAUGUAAUGUACUUCUUACUUCCCUUAAGUGCUUUGAAGAAAAGAGCACAUAUGUCUGUGGCCUUAGAGAUGAACCUAGUUAAGGCUGCCACCUUGCCAGUUAGGCUCUAAAUGUCUUUUGAAGUUACCUGUUCCUUCAUGUCGAUGAUUGUUUUGAUCUUCUCGGUAUUAGCCUCAAUGCCUCGUUGGCUUAUCAUGAAGCCUAAGAAUUUACCAGAGCAUAUGCCAAAGGCACAUUUGUUGGGGUUCAACCUCAUUCGAUACCUCUUCAGAAUGGUGAAAGUUUCAGAUAGGUUGGUGAUGUGUUGGUUAUCAUGUUUACUCUUGACUAACAUAUCAUCAACGUAAACUUCCAUGUUCUUCCCAAUCUAUUCGGCGAACAUUGAGUUGACUAGUCUCUGAUAAGUCGCUCCUGCAUUCUUUAGGCCGAAGGGCAGGACUUUAUAGCAAUAUAGUCCCCUGUCAGUAGUGAAGGUUGUGUGUUCUUGGUCAAGAGGGUUCACGAAGAUUUGGUUAUAUCCUGAGUAAGCAUCUAUGAAGCUCAGAAGUUCACAUCCUACCGUAGAGUUUAUAAGUCUGUCAAUGAGAGGAAGAAGAAAAUUAUCCUUCGGGCAUCCUUUUUUUAGGUCAGUGUAGUCGACACAUAUUCUCCACAAGACCUUUGGAGCAGGAGACUUUCUUUGGUUGGAUUUUUCUUAACAAGGACCACAUUUGCUACUUAUGUUAGGUAAUUGACUUCACGGACGAAGCCGAUGCCUUUGAGUUUUUCAACUUCUGCCUUCAUUGCUUCGUAUCUUUCAGCGUCAUAAAAUCUUCGCUUCUGUCUCACCGACUUAGUCUUGGGGUCAAUACUCAAGCGAUGACAUAUGAUAUCGAGAGAGAUUCCUGACAUGUCUUCGUAUGACCAGGCGAAGACCUUGGUGUUCUCUUGUAAAAAAUAGAUCAAUGCCAACCGAAUAGAUGGUGACAAGGUGGUGCCAAUCUUCACCAUAUGAUCUGGAUAAUCUUUUGAGAUAGAAGCGUUUUCCAACUCUUCAGCGGGUUGUGCUUGCUGGGUGAAAGAGUCGUCUCGAGGAUCAUUGGGUUGACUGUUGCCACCGUGAAAAUCCAAGUUGGCUUCGUCUGGGCUGGUCUUUAUGACUUGGUCAUGUAUAUAAAGGGUUUCCUUGGGCACAGGUAAGUGUUGUUGCUUGACCAAAGUGUUGUAACAUGAUCGUGCACUAAGUUGAUCUCUUCUGAUGUAACCAUUGCCAUAGGGGGUUGGAAAUUUCAUCAACAACAUAUGUGUGGAUACCAUGGCCUUGAGAUCAUUGAUGCCUGUGCGUUUGAAGAUGACAUUGUAUGCUGUUGGGCAAUCAACCACCAAGAAGUUAGUGGUAAUGGUAGCUGUGUAAGAGCCUAUACCAAUGGUGAAAGGUAAAUGUAUGCUCCCUAAAUGUUGCAUGAUAUCACCGGAGAAGCUUAUUAGAGGAGAAAUCAAGCGAUCGAGCAAGUGUUCAACUACAUUAAAUGCCCUGAAAGCUUCAGCAAACAUGAUAUUAACCGAAUUCCCCGUGUCUACCAGGAUUCGUCGUACUUCAAAGUUGGCUAUGUGAGCUUCCACGAUCAGUGGGUCAUUGUGAGGGUAGAUGAUACCUCUUUCUUCCUCAUGGUAGAAACAUAUUGGAUCCCAGUUAGGCUUUUGAUACUUGCCUCUCCUAAUGUCUUCCAUGUAAAACACUUGAUGGCUAGGCCUUAAAGCUCGUUCGCUAUUUUUCAUGGCCCUGUUGGAAGAUUUAGAUAUAGGUGUGCCACCACUUAUGGAAUAUAUCACAUUCACCUGGUGUUGGUUACGGUUACCCCUUGGAGGGUGAAAAAGGAAUUGAUCAAUUUUUCCUUCACAUGCCAAGCUUCAAUAUGAUCACGAAGGGUGAUACACUUCUUGCCGUCAUGGCCGUUAUGCUCAUGGUAGUAGUAAAAUGUGCCUAUGUUCUUCGUGGGCUUAUAAUCUGAGUGCCUCGACUUUGGCUUCGGUAUCAGGUUUGCUAUGUUGGGGUAAAUGGCCAUGUAUGUGGCGUUCAAAUGUAUGUAUGCCUCAUACCUCGGGGUAGGGGAUUAUCGUGGUAAUACCCUUAGUUAUCGCAGUAGUGUCCCUUACUCUUUUUACUAAAAUGAGAUUGGUGAUGAUGGAAAUCUUUCCUUUUGCCCUAGAUUGAUAUGUCUAUUGACUUGGCAAAGUACUAAGUAAGGUAGGGGGAGGCACUGCUGCAGUUUGGAAGGUUGAGGUCUUCUCAUUUGGGUGGGUCUGGUUUCCACUUCCCACUUGCUAAUAGGGGAUGUUGUUGGGGGUUUCUCUUGGUAUGUCUUUGCCUCGGUGGAGGUAUGGUUAUAAGCCUGUGUUAUCACCUCAGAGUAAGUCUUCCAAGUGUUGGCAUUGAUCAUGUACUUAAAGAAACAGUCACGUAGGCCUGCCGUGAAGGCUUUGAGGGCAGUCUUGUUGUCUGCCUCGGCACAACGGGAAUACUCAUGGCUGAAGCGGCCAGCAUACAUAUGUAAUGACUCGUCUGGCUUCUGGCGAAUAAUGUAUAAGUCAUCCGCAGAGUGCAAAAGAUCGGUUUGGAAAAUGUGUUGAGAAAUAAACAGUUUCCUCAAUUCCUCAAAUGAGUCAACCGUCUCAGGUGGAAGACGUCAAUACCAAUUUAGAGCUCCGCCAGAGAGGGUGGAGGAGAAAAGAAGACAUCGCUCUUCGUCAGUGUGCAUCCGGUAUGCCAUGGUGGACUCAAAGAGGUUAAAGUGUUCAAUCGAGUCAUUCUUUCCAGUAUGGAGUUGCAAGCCAAGCUUCUGCUUUGUCUUUGCUUGGAGGGGGUGUCGAAGAUCCUCCUUGUAAGAGGGCCAGGCCUAGGUUGGUUCCAAUCAAGUAUCUCAGCUUGUCGUUUGGCCUUCAACUUGUUUACUUCCUUAAAGAGCUGUAGGACAAGAGGGUCCUGAGUGGAGUCAUGUACCACUGGAGCUUUCUUUCAUAAAUCUCCAUCUCCUCUUGGAAGUAGGAAGGUUUGAUCAAGAGCAUGUGAUUUUUCCCUGGACUCGCCGUACUGACUUCCAAGGUAUGUUUGUCAGAACAUCUCUGAGUCCCCUAUACCUUCGUGUUUCUCUAGGACUUGUUGCCCCUUCCACAAAUUGGUAGCCGGCCUGGGACAUGGGAGGGGACCGAGUCUUUCAGAAACCCUUGGGUCAUUGAUCUUCAAGCAUAUGUGGAGAGGAUUCUCUCGAUGUUACUUUAGGAAGUCUCAACAAUCACGAUAAAUGGCCUUUAAUCCUUCCAACCCUUCUGCAAUGAGGGGUUUUCCUCCACUUUUCCUGCUUCGGGUUGAAGCAACUGGGUUGAGAGAAGUCUCAUGUUGAUCAAUGUUUUGAUGAUUAGCUUGCUCCUCAUUAGGAUACUAAUGUCGAAUGAAGGUGAUCCUCCCUGUUGAGGGGCACCCAGAUGAUGGUUGAUGUCCACAGGGGUAACGAACUCACGUGUUUGAGUACGCCUAGUUUCGUGGAGCGUCUUAAAAAGUUUCUCAUACUGCUCCUGGAGGACCUCAUUCUUCAUUGCUAUCUUGUUGGUCUAAGCUUCUAGCUUAUCAACUUUAGCUUGAAGAGCAACCCUCUUUCUUUCCUUCUUUCGUUGCUUCGUACUAGGUGCAAGAGGGGUGUCAUUCUGUGUGCUGUGGCUUCCUUUGCUCCCUAUGUUAGAGAGGGAUGCCUGGUCAAAAGAGAGUGUACAAAUGGUGGAAACCAGCUUGACAAAGUUGAAGAGAGUGGGAAUAAGUGUCAUUCCCAUAGACGGCGCCAAAUGUUGAUGCACAAAAUCAGUGAGGACGUUGGUACAACAGAAAGUGUUAAGUUUGUGACCUUUGCUAGAUUGCUCCAGUUACUACUGUGGAUAAGUAUGUAAAUGGAUAGAGACAGGGAAGCAAACAUAUGAUGUAUGUGGUUCACCCAGAUUUGCUACGUCCACGGAGUAGAGGAGUUCUCAUUAAUUGUGAAGGGUUUACACAAGUACAUAGGUUCAAGCUCUCCGUUAGUGAGUACUAGUGAAUGAUUUAGUACAAAUGACAUUCGGAAAUAUUGUGGGAGAAUGAUCUCCUUUUAUAGAAGAGUUUCUAGCUUUAUCUGACAUUGACACGUGUCGUGUUGUGAUUGGUUUCUGAUGUAGACACAUGUCGCGCUGUGAUUGGCUUUUGAUGUCGACACGUGUCGCACUGUGAUUGGCCUCCUGGUUGGAGGGAAACUCUUCUGGGUCCUUGAUGGUAUAAUGUUGAGCAGUGCUCAGUAGUUUCGGGAUUGGUCAAGUAUGGUACAAACACAUAUGAUUUUAUUGUUGGGUAGUUCAAGUAAGUUUUAGCUCUGUUAUUUUGUACUUAUUUGGAAUUUGAUGGUGUUUGUAUACUGUUGCAGGUGAUUACCAAAAAAUCUCUUGCAUAAAAUUUGUACCAAUAAGUUAUACGUAUCAUUGUUGUCGGACACCAGAAUAAAACAUAUAUACCUGUAGAGUGUAAAUGUGGAUUAUGAUCUAUGAUCUAUGAGUGAACAGAAGAUUAUGAGUUGUAGUAGGUUGCUGCAUCUAUUUUAGGAAAGAGAUCAUCUUCGGAUCUCUUCCACCAAGACCAUCGGAUCAAAUGAUUAGGAUCUUUGAAAUUUCAUCCAACGACAAAAAAUUAUUAUAGCUUUUAAGGGAUCAAAACAGGUGGGUCGUUGGAUGAAAUAUUAAUGGUCCGGAUCACUUGAUCUGGUGACCUUGAUGGAAAAGAUCCGGAGACGAUCUCUUUCCUCUAUUUUCAUGUUUCAAUUACUGUAUCAAACCUUUGAAGUUUCCAAUUAUUGUCCUUUUUGUCGUCUCCCAUUCUCAAACUGUCACAUAAGUUUUGUGGAUUUUUUUCAAAAACUCGCUAACUAUUCCACCUAUGGAGUUUAGAUGCUCACUGGUUGUUUUAGAGUGACAAGCCCUUAAUAAACAUUUUUAAUUUCUGAAAAGAAAAUGAACUAAAAUUCUUAGAGGGAAUGGAUAACUAUUUUUAUUCUUUUUUCUAGUGUUGUUCAACCACAAAUGAUUUUUCCAUAUUCAAUAAGGCAUCUGAAACUUGAAGGAAUAAUUAACCCAGCACAAUUGUUCAUAGCAACGACAAUGAGUUCCUUGGCAUAUGGAGCUUUUAAGAUAGAAGGAUUUGGUGAACCAUAUCAAGAAUACAACAACAACAACAACAACAAAGCCUUUUCCCACUAAGUGGGGUCGGCUAUAUGAAUCCUAGAACGCCAUUGUGCUUGGUUUUGUGUCAUGUCCUCCGUUAGAUCCAAGUACUCUAAGUCUUUUCUUAGGGUCUCUUCCAAAAUUUUCCUAGGUCUUCCUCUACCCUUUCGGCCCUGAACCUCUACCCCUAGGCCUUCUUUGCACAUGUCCAAACCACCGUAAUCGAUUUUCUCUCAUCUUUCCUUCAAUUUCGGCUACUCCUACUUUUCCUCGGAUAUCCUCAUUACCAAUCUUAUCCUUUCUCGUGUGCCCACACAUCCCACGAAGCAUCCUCAUCUCCGCUACACCCAUUUUGUGUACGUGUUGAUGCUUCACCGCCCAACAUUCUGUGCCAUACAACAUCGCUGGCCUUAUUGCCGUCCUAUAAAAUUUUCCCUUGAGCUUCAGUGGCCUACGACGGUCACACAACACGCCGGAUGCACUCUUACACUUCAUCCAUCCAGCUUGUAUUCUAUGGUUGAGAUCUCCAUCUAAUUCUCCGUUCUCUUGCAAGAUAGAUCCUAGGUAGCGAAAACGGUCGCUUUUUGUGAUCUUCGCUAGAUUGCUCCGGUCAUUAGUGUGUGGAUAAGUAUAUAAAUGGAUAGAGAUAGGAAAGCAAACACAAGAUGUACGUGGUUCACCCAGAUUGGCUACGUCCACGGAAUAGAGGAGUUCUCAUUAAUUGUGAAGGGUUUACACAAGUACAUAGGUUCAAGCUCUCCUUUAGUGAGUACAAGUGAAUGAUUUAGUACAAAUGACAUUAGGAAAUAUUGUGGGAGAAUGAUCUCGUAAUCACGAAACUUCUAAGUACCGGAGUGUGGUAUCGUCUUGACUUGCCUUAUCUGUCUCAUAGGUAGAUGUGGCAUCUUCUCUGGAAGUACUCUUCCUCCAUCCAGGGGUGGUAUCUUUAACUGGUGGAGAUGCACAAGGUAAUGUAUCAAUUUCACUUGAAGCUUACUUGUAGUUUCAGGCUUGGUCAAGCGCGAUACAAACCAUGUAGUAGGAGUCCCCCAAGUCGCCGAGCUAGGGGAUCUGCUGAAAGAGGUGACAGACAAGGUAAGCAAUCAGAGCUCCAAGCAAUCAGUCCCAGAUCAGAACUUUGAUUUCGAGUUCCGGCUGAUUGUUCACAUUCUCCCUAUCUUGCAGGCAGCAUGAAGGAUAAAGAGAAGAAAAAUGAGAAGAGAUGAUAUGGGAUACUUUUGCUUUUGAAGAAGUAACUUUCCACAGGCUUAUUCUUGAACUGGGCUGGAGGGUUUUCUGGUUUCCUCCAGAGUAUAAGGCCGACUGAAGAAUUUGAGGGUCAAAACAAGUCCAUCAAAUCUAGAGUACGUUCGACCCUGCUGAUAUGGGAUACUUUUGCUUUUGACAGAGUAGUGGAUGUAUCGGCACGUGUGCUGUUACGCUUGUCUCCACAUGCUUCCUUGUAUCCUUCUCACUUGCCCUAUCUGUUCCUCAGGCAGAUGCGGUAUCUUCCCUGGAAGCAUAAGAUGUUGAAGAUGAGUACUCGAGAGCAAUGCCAGGUAAGUAAUCAGGUAAGGGGUUCCAGGCAGUCAGUUCCUGGACUGGAAGCUUGAUUCCAAGUGCUGACUGAUUGCUCUCUUUCUCCUUGUCUUGCAGGUAAGAACAAGGCCAAAGGAAAAAAGACAGGGAAAAAGCAUGAUAUGGGAUACUCUUGCUUUUAACCCUGAUGAUAUGAGAUAUUCUUGCUCUAGUAUAGCUUGUUUGCAGAGGUAUUAUCGGGGGGAAAGAAAGCUGAAUAUUUCGAAAGGCUUCGUUGGGAGUGCCCUCUCAGAUAUGAGGAAGGGUUGAGCAUUUUUGCAGGUCUGCCUGUCCGUUGGGGAUGGAGGUCGACAUAUAUAGGAGUCUCCCUAACAACAAGUAGUAAUGCUAUUCCUUUACCCUACUUGGUCAUAGCACGGUAGUGGGAGCUGCCAGCUUCACAUGUUUUAACUCUGUCAGAGCACUUUGAAAAAGUGGUCUGUGGUAUCUGGAAAGCUGAUGUUGCGUGUGAAGAUUACAGACAAGCUUUAUCCAAGGAGAUCCGGCUUUUGAAGUUGGAAAAAUGGUGCCUCUUCGGUUUUCGAACAAGCAAUCCUGUCGAGGAUCUGGCUCUCGAGAUUCGGAGAACGAUGCCUCUUCGAUUUUUGAGAAAGCAAUCCUGCUGGGGGUCUGGCUCUCGAGAUUCGGAGAGCGGUGUCUCUUCGAUUUUUGAGAAAGUAAUCAUGUUGGGAGUCUGGCUCUCGAGAUUCGGAGGGCGGUGCCUCUUCGAUUUUGGAGCAAGCAAUCUUGUUGGGAGUGUUUUCUCGAAUGUGAGUAAAGGUUGGGCAUGUUUGCUAGUCUACCUUGCCACGAAGCACAGAGGUUGACACACAGGGACUUUCCAAUUAUCCAGCAGUGGUACUGUUCCUUUACCCUUGUGGGUAAUAAUAUGGUAGCUAGACCUUCAAAAUUUAUGUGUCUAAACUUUGUUAGUGCUGUUUCUUUGCUAUUCUUUUACCCUUCUUGGUCAGAGCGAUGUAGUGGGAGCUGCAAGCUUCACGUGUCUCAACUUUGUCAGAGAACUUUGGCAAAGUUAUCUGUGGUACCCAUGAGCUAAUGUUGCGUGUGGGAAGUGGGUGAUUGAACAGUAAGAUUCAUGUGCUUUCUACUUCACCAGAAAUCUUCGACAGAAUGCCCAUAAUUUCCGCAAAGCUGAGUGUGCGUGUGACAGGUGCUGACAAGGCUGGAAAAGUAGGUGCCUCUUCGAUUUCUGAGAUCGGCCCUCGUGGUCUCUGAGCAGCCCAGCUUUUGAGAAAGCAAGCGCCUCUUCGAUUUCUGAGAUCGGCCUUCGUGGUCUUUGAGCAGCCCAGCUUUUGAGAAAGCAAACGCCUCUUCGAUUUCUGAGAUCGACCCUCGUGGUCUCUGAGCAGCCCAGCUUUUGAGAAAGCAAACGCCUCUUCGAUUUCUGAGCAGGCGCCUCUUCGAUUUCUGACCUUAAGUUCCAAAGCACACUUGAAUCUCCACCAGUAGAAGCUUCAUUCUUGCACUUCUAAGAUCUUGAUUUGUCCGACCUCUUCUUUCUUCAACACCUUUGAAAAUGUCUGGCCCCUCCGACCGUCGUUUUGACUUGAACCUUGUUGAAGAGGCAGCCACGCCUUCUCCAGACAACAUAUGGCGCCCAUCCUUCGUCUCCCCUACUGGUCCUCUUACCGUUGGGGAUUCCGUGAUGAAGAAUGAUAUGACCGCUGCGGUGGUGGCCAGGAACCUUCUCACUCCCAAAGAUAACAGACUACUUUCCAAACGGUCUGAUGAGUUGGCUGUUAAGGAUUCUCUGGCUCUCAGUGUUCAGUGUGCAGGUUCUGUGUCUAAUAUGGCCCAACGCCUAUUUGCUCGAACCCGCCAAGUUGAAUCAUUGGCGGCUGAAGUGAUGAGUCUCAAACAGGAGAUUAGAGGGCUCAAGCAUGAGAAUAAACAGUUGCACCGGCUCGCACAUGACUAUGCUACAAACAUGAAGAGGAAGCUUGACCAGAUGAAGGAAUCUGAUGGUCAGGUUUUACUUGAUCAUCAGAGAUUUGUGGGUUUGUUCCAAAAGGCAUUUAUUGCCUUCGUCUUCUGGGGCUGUACCGCGUAAUGAAGCUCCAAAUGAUCAACCUCUGAUGCCUCCUCCUUCUAGGGUUCUGUCCAGUACUGAGGCUCCGAAUGAUCCCCCUCCGGUGCCUUCUCUUUCUGGGGCUCUACCGACUGCUGAGACUUCUCCUAAGCAACCUUUGUGAAGGCUCCCUCUUGUUUGUUUAUUUUGACUCAUGUAUAUGUACAUAUUUGUAACUUAUCGGGGAUAUCAAUAAAUAAGCUUUCCUUCAUUUCAACGUAUUGUGUUAAAUACACCAAAGCCUUCUUCGCUAAGUUCUUUGAAUUUUUCUUUUGUUGAAGCUUGUAUGUUGAAGCUUUGUGAGUGGAGCAUGUAGGUUGAGGUAGUGUUCCCUUAAUUUCCCGAGUGAGGAAAACUUCUCGGUUGGAGACUUGGAAAAUCCAAGUCACUGAGUGGGAUCGGCUAUAUGAAUCUUAGAACGCCAUUGUGCUCGGUCCUGUGUCAUGUCCUCCGUUAGAUCCAAGUACUCUAAGUCUUUUCUUAGAGUCUCUUCCAAAGUUUUCCUAGGUCUUCCUCUACCCCUUCGGCCCUGAACCUCUGUCCCAUAGUCGCAUCUUCUAAUCGGAGCGUCAGUAGGCCUUCUUUGCACAUGUCCAAACCACCGUAACCGAUUUUCUCUCAUCUUUCCUUCAAUUUCGGCUACUCCUACUUUACCCCGGAUAUCCUCAUUCCUAAUCUUAUCCUUUCUCGUGUGCCCACACAUCCAACGAAGCAUCCUCAUCUCCGCUACACCCAUUUUGUGUACGUGUUGAUGCUUCACCGCCCAACAUUCUGUGCCAUACAGCAUCGCCGGCCUUAUUGCCGUCCUAUAAAAUUUUCCCUUGAGCUUCAGUGGCAUACGGCGGUCACACACAACACGCCGGAUGCACUCUUCCACUUCAUCCAUCCAGCUUGUAUUCUAUGGUUGAGAUCUCCAUCUAAUUCUCCGUUCUUUUGCAAGAUAGAUCCUAGGUAACGAAAACGGUCGCUCUUUGGUAUUUCUUGAUCUCCGAUCCUCACCCCUAACUCGUUUUGGCCUCCAUUUGCACUGAACUUGCACUCCAUAUAUUCUGUCUUUGAUCGGCUUAGGCGAAGACCUUUAGAUUCCAACACUUCUCUCCAAAGGUUAAGCUUUGCAUUUACCCCUUCCUGAGUUUCAUCUAUCAACACUAUAUCGUCUGCGAAAAGCAUACACCAAGGAAUAUCAUCUUGAAUAUGUCCUGUUAACUCAUCCAUUACCAACGCAAAAAGGUAAGGACUUAAGGAUGAGCCUUGAUGUAAUCCUACAGUUAUGGGAAAGCUUUCGGUUUGUCCUUCAUGAGUUCUUACGGCAGUCUUUGCUCCUUCAUACAUAUCCUUUAUAGCUUGGAUAUAUGCUACUCGUACUCCUUUCUUCUCUAAAAUCCUCCAAAGAAUGUCUCUUGGGACCCUAUCAUACGCUUUUUCCAAAUCUAUAAAGACCAUGUGUAAAUCCUUUUUCCCAUCUCUAUAUCUUCCAUCAAUCUUCGUAAGAGAUAGAUUGCCUCCAUGGUUGAGCGCGCCCUGGCAUGAACCCGAAUUGGUUGUCCGAAACCCGUGUCUCUUGCCUCAAUCUAUGCUCAAUGACUCUCUCCCAGAGCUUCAUUGUAUGACUCAUUAGCUUAAUACCCCUAUAGUUCAUGCAAUUUUGUACGUCGCCCUUAUUCUUGUAGAUAGGCACCAAAGUGCUCGUUCGCCACUCAUUUGGCAUCUUCUUCGUUUUCAAAAUCCUAUUGAAAAGGUCAGUGAGCCAUGUUAUACCUGUCUCUCCCAAAACUUUCCACACUUCGAUUGGUAUAUCGUCUGGGCCUACUGCUUUUCUAUGCUUCAUCUUCUUCAAAGCUACAACCACUUCUUCCUUCCGGAUUCGACGAUAAAAAAGAGUAGUUUCUACACUCUUCUGAGUUACUCAACUCCCCUAAAGAAGCACUCCUUUCAUGUCCUUCAUUGAAAAGAUUAUGAAAAUAACCUCUCCAUCUGUCUUUAACCGCGUUCUCUGUAGCAAGAACCUUUCCAUCCUCAUCCUUGAUGCACCUCACUUGGUUUAGGUCCCUUGUCUUCUUUUCCCUUGCUCUAGCUAGUUUAUAGAUAUCCAACUCUCCUUCUUUGGUAUCUAGUCGCUUAUACAUAUCGUCAUAUAAGCCGCUAACUUAGCUUCUCUCACAGCUUUCUUCGCCUCUUGCUUCGCUUUUCUAUACCUUUCACCAUUUUCAUCGGUCCUAUCCUUGUAUAAGGCUUUACAACAUUCCUUCUUAGCCUUCACCUUUGUUUGUACCUCCUCAUUCCACCACCAAGAUUCCUUUUGGUGUGGGGCAAAGCCCUUGGACUCUCCUAAUACCUCUUUUGCUACUUUUCGGAUACAACUAGCCAUGGAAUCCCACAUUUGGCUAGCUUUCCCCUCUCUAUCCCACACACACUGGGUGAUUACUUUCUCUUUGAAAAUGGCUUGUUUUUCUUCUUUUAGAUUCCACCAUCUAGUCCUUGGGCACUUCCAAGUCUUGUUCUUUUUUCUCACUCUUUUGAUAUGUACAUCCAUCACCAACAAGCGAUGUUGAUUAGCCACGCUCUCUCCUGGUAUAACUUUGCAAUCCUUACAAGUUAUACGAUCCCCUUUCCUCAUUAGAAGAAAAUCUAUUUUGUGUUUUUGACGACCCACUCUUGUAGGUGAUCACAUGUUCUUCUCUCUUCUUAAAGAAGGUGUUGGCUAAGAAGAGAUCAUAUGCCAUUGCAAAAUCCAAGAUAGCUUCCCCAUCCUCGUUUCUCUCCCCAAAACCAUGGCCACCAUGAAAACCUCCAUAGUUGCCUGUCUCCCUGCCCACGUGUCCAUUUAAAUCUCCUCCUAUAAAUAACUUCUCCGUCUGAGCAAUUCCUUGCACCAAGUCUCCAAGGUCUUCCAAAAUUUCUCCAAGGUCUUUCCCGAUUUCUAUUCGAACCUAUCCAUACCUACUUGAGGCCGUACCACUAAUCACAUUGAUAAGUUUUUGUCCUAUUACACUUGAUUCCAUGCUUAUCUCCUACUACUUACAUCCACACAUAUUGUGUCAAUGUCUUGUCCACGAUGAUGCCAACACCGUUCUGUUAUUGUGCCCGAAUACCAAAGUUUAACCCUGAGCUCUAGAUCUUGCCUUACGACCAACCACUUAGUUUCUUGUAGGCACAGAAUAUUUAUUCCUUCCCUACCAUAACUUCCACACUUCCAUAGAUUUUCCGUUAAGGUUCCUUAUUCCACAUUUUAAAGCAUUUGCUCUUGAACUCUACCCUUCUGUCCUAGCUUCUUCACCCUCCUCCGGUCUAAUAGGAUCAAAGUACUUCUUUGUGUGUCCGUGUAAAGUUGAGUAGGAGAUUGCCCCUAAAAAACUUUGAGUGGAGACGUUCGAAAGAAGUUUCUAUGGCCCCUUGCUAUUUAAAACUGCAUCGGGUGCCGAUGGAGAUACAGCGCCCUUGCUCACUAUCACUGUGCUCGGGCACACAGCGCGCACUUACGGUGACGCCUGCUUUGGCGCGAUUCUUCUUAUUAUUUUCAUAGGAUUCCGACGUAAUUAUGGAGUGCCGGCUGUCGGACUACCUGACGCCCUCCCCUUCUCCUUUAUCCGGGCUUGGGACUGGCAAUGUAAGAUAAACUUACAUAGGCGGAGUUUGAACCAUAUCAAGAAUGAAAAAGAAAAUUAAAAAAAAUGACAAUAAGCAAUGAAGUAUAUAAGGAUAUUUGUACCGUCUCUCUAAUAGAGGUACUGUCUUUCUAACAGAAGUAGUGUCCACCAACAUAUGUGGGUCACAUCUCUAUAUAAAAGAUGUUAGAAAUAUGUGGUAAGAGCAAUAUUGAGAGCUUAAUCUAUAGAGACAAAAACUUCACUAUAUUUCAAGGAACUCCACUAAUUUUUAAAAAAAUUCUUAAAAAAAUGGAGUAAACACAUAAAAGCAACUAAAGCCCAACCCAAAAACAUGGAAAUAAUGUUUUAAAAUACCAGCCAUACCCCUAAGGUUUUAAGGCUGCUAAUAGAACUCAGCCCUCACAACUCUAGCAAAAUUGAUAUAUAUCAUCAGCUGAACCCAACAUCGACUAUUUUUUGUUAUCCUUUUAAACUAUACUAUUACGCAUUUUUUGCUGGUAUAGAUCAUAUCCAAGUCUGAUUAUCUGUCAGGCCCAAAGACGCUGGUCUGUAGGAUUCCCAGUCACAACAUGCUUCCUAUACCCCUUAUCUUUCUGGUGUUUCUCAACGUGCGCUGCCCAUGUGUGUAUUUGAAUUGAUCCUGGACAAGUUUAAACUAAGCAAAUUGAUUAUGCUCGAGCAACAGCCGCGAAGGGAUGAUUCGAUUUGCUAAGAAUGCUAUGCAUGUGUGAGGAAAUGGGAACAUUUAUAUAAGAUGAAACGGUUUGACAAUUUACACAUAUUUACAAACAAUGUUAACGACCACAUAUAUGUACAAUCAUAUUUAAAACUCUAUUUUAUCCUAAUUCAAUUUACACAUAAAUCCUAAUCAGCAACUCUGAACUCUCUUGUCGAAAGGCUAGAUUCCCCCCCCCUUCACAUGUAUGUUUCUCCGCUAAAAAUUGAAAAAAAAAAGAAAUAAAAAGGAGAUUGUUAAAGUAAAUCUUGACAUCUAGUCAAGAUGAAGGAAACAAAGUGUUAGUUUUGAAGCCUUAAUUUUUCUUUAAUUAUACGUUUAAACAAAAAAUAUUGAUCUACGAAUAUAAGUGCCAUCAACGAAAUUAAAUUUUCAAUUGCUCAUCAAUAAUUAAAAUUGACAUAUGUUAAGAGCAACAUAUUAGAAGUAAGUAGACUUAUUGAAUUGCUUACCUCCCCAGUAACUCUUCUACCACAAUUCUCAGCAUGCAAGUAUGAAUAAAGGUUGCCGGAAUUAUAUACCUUCUGUUGAGUUGUAAACGGAGAGAAACAAUAAGCAUACAUAUAGGAAAAGAUUUAUAAGAUCUUCGAAAAGUGUAGAGAAAUGAUAACCUUGCACGUACACACAUUUCCUUGGAAUGGUUCUUUCACCAUUUCAAUCAACACAAAAAGGUAUAUGCAAUUUUUAACACCCCAGCCGCCAUUAUCACUUUUAUCUCAAAUGUUCACAUAAUGCGUCUUUCUUUCAAUUUCAUUUAAUUUGCUCUAAGGGAACUUCUUUGUCUCUAUGUAGUUAUAAAUCUAUAUUUCCAAAUCUUGCUCGCUUCAUUUGUGUGUGUUUAAGUUUCUUCCAUCGAACAAUCAUCUGAAUAAGUUUAUUUUUCAUGUCUACAUUAAUUUUCUGGACUUGCAUGCUCCUACAAAAGGCUUAUCGUGUCUAAAGAGUUAUGUGAGAUCCAUUUAUGUUAAUUUUCUGUCAACCAUUUUCGUCAGAAUGCAGUGUUAUUUCCCCACUUUUCUUCUAACAACCCGUUUAGAAAAUUACCUUUUUAUUAAUUGAAAUUACAAAAAUAUCCCUAACUACCAGAAAGUGUUGACUUCGUGACUUUGUAGCGAUGCAUGUUAGAAUUUUUCUUAUAUUUUAUUCCUGUAGCACUCAUCGAUACAAACCCGUAGGCGUGAUUGGAAUCCAAAUCGGAGUUAGACGAAGCUUUUUUAACUUUUUGAACGUAAGGGCAUUUGGUAAUUUCACAAGUGAAGAUUUUUCCCGACUUUGGACCUCUACAUGGGUGACACUUGGCACCCCAUUUCUGGUGCCCUUUUUCUUUCCCCUCCUGUGAUCUCUCUCUAGAACUCUUCCUCACUCUCUCGUAUCCCUCUCUUCCAUCUCUCAUCUCCAACGAACCAAGCACACACACACACACACACCCAUACCCACACCUACGAACAACCUCCAUAACGAUCACCACACCAUCACCAUCAUUUCCCCUACAAGUUCUACAAACCCAGAAGGAAUAGAAACCUUCGUUCUUCUCUUUUUCCCUCGUUGCAUAGUACCUUCACUAUGCAGAAAGUUGAUCCGGCGAGUUUUCGCCAUUUUCCAACGAGGGGAGCUCGAUAACUACUCCAAAUCUUUAUCAAUCAUGUUUAGAACUGUGUUUAGGUAAUUUUUGAGACAAUUUGGUAGUGUUUGGAUGCAAAGAUAGCUUGGAGAAAUAUAUUUCCAAUUUUUCGGCGAGAUUCCAUGGCUUGUCUGCCAUUUUUUUGCCGAUCCUGACUUUAACGCCAUCUCAUCUUGAUACAACUCGAAUCCUCACUCUCCUAGCUUCAUUUUAGCUUUUGAAUGGCGGGUUUUGGUUAAGCUUUGACCUUAAAACGGAGUCAGGGAGACUUCCCGGCCAAAACUUCAGUCAUUUUCUUCGUUAGUCCGGUGACUCGCAAGUGGAAACUGGGUUGAGCCUAAACCCACAACUCUGAAUUGGCCCAAAGGUUUGGGCCAAGCAGCCUAUUAGCCCAGGCCCAACCCAAUUCCCUUAGCCCAAGCCCAACCUUAAAGUCCAGCCCAAUAACCCUAACACGGCCCAAACUACCAGACCCAAGCCCAGAUUCGAGCCAGGUCCGACCCAACCUAUGUCUGAUACCCAGAUCCCUAGUCAGCGCGUGGGCACGUGUGAGAGGCUGUCUGGGCCUGCCCGUGGAGCACAUGUGCCUCCGCUGGAGGUACUGUGCUCGGCCGCCAUCAGACGGCACAACAGCGAUGUCAACUACGUUUGGGAACAUCAACUAGGCACGUAACAGCGUGUGGCCAUCCGGACAGUAGCCCCGUAGAGGCGCAUGUACCAUAAGAGGUCCCUUCUUAGGUUUUUCAAUGUGCCGAGUCCGAAUCUGUUGUCUGUUUCCCCAAAUUCGACCGUUUUAAUGGAGUUUUAUUAAAUGUACAUUCUUUGUUGUUUUGGUGCAACAGUUGGAAAUGAUCCAGUCCAUCCUAAUUUGAGCGGCUUUCCAGUAGUAGAAUACUUGUGAGUGGACCCCUUCUUAACAUAUAUGUUUUUAUAAAAUAUUAGCCUAGCAUUUAUAAUUUCUGAUAUAAUAUGUUUGAUAUACUUCGGAUUGAAUUAUUGAUUUGAAUACUCACAUUUAUGGAUUUAGUUUUACUCGGGUUAUGAUUUGGCUUGAGUAUAGACCAGAUGCUUUAAGAUUUAUUUACAUAAGAACAUUUCAUAUUUAUGAGGUAUGACUUUGAUGCUAGUGAGCUUCGAUUUGAUACACUUUGAAUUAUGUUUUUGGUUACUUUCUAGGGUUCCAUACGGCCACAAACACACCCUUAUAGAUGUCUAUGGAAUAGAGAUAUCUUAAGAAGGAGCGAGAUAUGAUUAUAUGAUAUACCCCCACGGCCGGCCAAAAAUAAUGUUGGAUGUUCACUAGCCAGGCUAGUGUGGUGUGAAUCUUGCUAAUACAGCUUCACUUCAGGUGAUGACAGGUUAUUCAACUUCACCUUCGGGUGAGGAUAGGUACUACCUUUGGGCGACUAUGAUACCCCUAGUUGAGUACAUCACGGCUACGCUUUACAGAAGUUUUACGAAUUUUUACAUGGCAUGCUAGGAUUUUUAUAAAACCUAUAUGUAGUAUUAUAUAUGUGUUUUCAAAAUAGGGGGUUAGUAUGUUAUGAAAUAAACUGGUUUUAGUAUUAUUAUAAAUUAUGGUCCACUCACCUUUUCUGUUUUGCGUCUCCUCAGGACAUAGCGACGAAGAGUACGACCAAGCAAGGCUUUUCCCCACCAGUGAUCAUGCUUACUUCUAUUUGCGUAUGGCCCUUAUUGACUCUUGUAAUUUGAUGCUCACCUUUCUUUAGCACUCUGUUUAUUGGUAAGCUAUGGACACAUUGCAUCUUUUACUUCAGAUCUGUAAUCGUUGAUCUUUCUGUUUUGUUCAUGUGGAUUUUUGCAUCUUUAUUAUUGUCCACUUAGCAUUUAUUGUUCCGUAUCAUUUCUGCUUGUUAUACAAUUUUUAGUUUAUGGGUCCUUUUAUAUUCUUAAUUGUUCCCUACCAUUUGUGUUUGUUCAUACAGUUUGGGCUUUCGUCAGUCUUUAGUGUCUGUCCGCACAUGCCAUCCAUGUAUCAUUUGGAUAUCUGGGUGGCCUGUCAUUUCUGGAAUCUUGAAGAACCAAACCUUAUGUAAUCCUACAUUUAUAAUUUCUAAUGUUUUAAUAUGCAUUCUUAUCUAAAUUCACACAAUGACCAAUCAAUAAAAUAGUAGAAAGAUAGAGCACAAAGACCAAUCAACAUGGAAGCAAGCUCAUUGAUCCUUUUAAAAGAGACAUACAUACCUCUGUUUCUUCUGCUCGCAUCCAAUAUUUAUUCCACCAUGUUAUAAACUGGAUAACAGUUGCAAAUAAGUAAAGUCCCAACAUGUUGCUCCCUAAGCAAUACCAAGUCCAUCAGUCUGCACAAGGCCUCAUUUUGCAGAAAACACAGCUCAAUUGAACCAUUAUGUAUGAUAAAUUAGUGAGGAUUUAAAGUAGGGAAGUAAGGACUAUUGCCUACAUGUGCACACUAAAGAGAUUUUUUGGUAAUCACUUGCAACAGUACACAAGCACCAACAAAUUCCAAAUAAGUAUAGAAUAACAGAGCUAAAACUUAUUUGAAAGAACUACCCAACAACAAAAUCAUAUGAAAUAUUGAAACUAUGAUAUUUGCGUAGAACAAAAAUUAGCAAUUUUCUAACCAAAUAACCCACAAUAUAAUCAAAUAAUGCAAAUAGCUUAGUCCCCAGCUUUUGCUAUUUAAUAUAUUCUACAUGAACCUCUCUUUUGUUCCUUAUUGAGAUAACUCUGUCAUCUAAAAAAUCACAUUCUUUAUCAAAUUCAACGACUGGGUAAUUAACAUAGGUUGAAAAAAACGUACUCACAUUGAAACGAAGAUCAUUUAGAAGCUGCGCAAAGUAGUAAUCUAGAAAAUCAAAGAUGUCCUGCAUAGGAAAUAAGAGCAAGUCCACCCCUAAAAAAAUGCGCCAACACCCAGCUUAUUUAAUCCAUUCAAGCCGUGUUUGUUUCCCUUCACUAGCCCUCAUUGGGACUACGUAGAAGUUUUACCAGUCCCAUGUUGUUACUUCAUGGGACUAGCUUUUAGUGAGUAAGCCAAUCGUCUCGAACUAAGACCGUGCUGACGGCUAGCGAGAGGACGUCAUGCGGAACCAUGGGACUAGCUAAUCCCUUCGUCGCCUUUGCUUGUUCCCUUACUCUCAUCUGGCUGCCCUCGCGUUCUCUCCCUUCUUCUCUAUCACCAACCCUGAAUCUGAACAAAACUUAUUCGAAUUUUCAAUAGGAGAACUAGGGGCUCCGUCGGUUGCGCCCUUGCUUUCCAAGUGGCGAUCGUCUCCGGGGCUCCUUCCUCCUAGACUUCAAUUUCGACGACAAAGGACUUCAGGCUCCAUCCUCGCUUGGACCUUUUUCCAUUGCUACUCUGCUCCGGCUUUGCCCCUCACAUCCCUCUCCCUGCCUUCCCAUAACCAGAAAACCCAGAAAAGGGUAAGGGGAAAGAACAGUGGCACAGAUAAAAUGGUAGAGAAAAAGGAGAGGGGAGGAAUGCAGUGGGCGACAAAAAAAAACUGAGAGAGAGGUGAAAUGCCAGAGAAAGAAAAGAGGGAAGGAUUGCAGUGGCGGACAAAAAAAAUGAGAGGAAGAGAAAUGGCAGGGAAGAUAAAGGAUUGUAGUGGGCGGGACCACCAAAAUGAGAAUUUAGAAUAAAAUAUUAAUUUAUCCCGAUAUAGUAUAGAUUAAAUUAAUGAAAAAAUUGUGAUAUAAAUUUUAAUUAUAUAAUACAUGAGUCCUGCUUUUUAGUCCGACAUUGCACCAAACGUUUCACUAAAUCAGUCCAGCUUAGUCUAGUCUAAGCCAAUCCAGCUUAAUCCCUGAAGCUAGUCCAGUCCGAGACAGUCCGGUGCAACAAACGCACCCUCAGUGAAUAGUGAUGGACUCAAAUGAACAAUAAUAGGUCAAAUGCAUCUUCACCCCUAACAAAAAAUAGCCUAGUCAAUUUUAUUAAAAUAUUAUUAUUAUUUAUUAUAAAAUAAUAAUAAAAAAUAAUUUUACUUUUAAUUUCUGAUUUUAUAAAAAAAAUAUUAUUCAUUUUUUAUAUAAUUAAUAAUAUUUUUGGAGUCAAAUUUCGAUGCAGAGGAGGAGAAUAAUCAAACCCUUUAAAAGUAGAAACGCUGCAAAAACCUAAAGAAGCUCGACCCCAAGCCCACCGUCCUCGUCUCAGAGAAGCUUGGAGAACCCAAAAUCAAACUCCUUAAGCAGUUUGCUAAUGUCGACUGCUCCUACAAUCUCAGCCCCGAGAAGCUCUGCACCAAGAUCUAGCUCUGCGAUAAGGUCGCCAGUAGGUGUUCGAGUCCAAGGUCACCUGCAAGGUGUUCGUGUCACCGGCGGAAGGUUGAAGGUUGUGGGAAGAGCUGGCAUCGGCAUCAACAACAUGGAUGGCUCGGUUGACAUUAAAUGGCCUGGCUAUUGGGUCUGUCGAUUCUAGGUCGGUCUGUUGCCUAGCUUGGGCUGGGUGUCAGCCUAUUAGGCUGUGGUGGAGUGCUAGGUGUCGGGUAAUCCACUCCCAGUGGACUUACUCUAACAAAACUGAAAAAAAAUAAAACUUUAAAUUAUAAUUACAUUAAGCAAUGAAAAUAACUAAAGGGAAAUGGAUUCUGUUAUGUUGGAAGGAUUUGGGGGAAUCUGAUUUUGCGAGGACGAAUGAGGUAGUGGGGAUUUGGAAGGGAGGUUUUGGGGGAAAUUAAGUUUUAGGGAAAAAGAAGAAAUACAAUAAGAGUUGGGUUGAUGUAAGGAUAGGAAAGAGAGCUGGGGUGUGGGAGAACUGUGGUAGUGGUGGUUGAAACUUGAAAGUUGAAAGGGUUAUGGUUUAAUUCUUUUGUGGUGAAGCGGUGAGGAAUGGAAAGAGGUGGAGGAAGUUGGGAGUCCCACGUGUCACAUAAUUCAUCUCUAAUUGACAGCAAGACAAAUGGAUAAAGGACAAAAUUAGAAUAACAACAAAAUAAUCGGGAGUAAAACCAGAAAUCCAUUGUAGCUAAGCAACAUUGAUUUCCCCACCAGUUAGUGUGUGCGUGUAUAUAUAUGGGAGACGAUCAAGGGACAAAUAUUUUUACAAAUACUUCUACACUAUUUUUAAGCCUUUUGAUUACAUGACAUCUAAUAGUUCUUAUUUAUUCAUUCAAUGACAUGGAUGCUUAUGUGGAUUUUAACUAAUAUUAAAGAUAAAAAACACUAAAAAAAAACAUAAAAUCUGGAAAAUUAAAACUAAAAUUAAAAAAGGUAGAAUCCCUAGUUGUACGCAAUCCUCUGCCUCCCCCUAUGCAGAAAUCGCAACUAACCCCAUUGCUCAACCUCCAAGCAGAGAUCCAGUUCGGUUAGCAGAGACCCAUGUGCUCCAUAGUUAUCAAAUGUUCCAUUCACAAUCAACAACUUGAGAAUCUUAUGCCGUAAACAAAUAUGCAAUGAUUUAAUGAUUUGGUACAAACAAAGAACUAAUGGGAUUGAAAUUUUUCGACAGGUACCACGAAAAAAACUAGUUGUUACAAGUUCGUUCUAUAUGCAUUCACCAUGAAAGAUAUUUUUUUUUCCUUUUGAAAAUUUGAAGUUUAGUGCAAAGGUUCUUAAUUGAACGUAAACUAUGCAGGUGCAGUCCUUGGUUCAUUUUCACUUGUGCUGAUACUUAUCGGUCUCGAUCGUGUACAUACUUAUUGACCGAAUAGAAAAUGAGCGGCAAACCAUGAUCGAAGAAUUUUUGGAAAACUACAGAACUCUCAGGCCUACAAGGUACUCAUAUGCUGAUAUCAAACGGAUUACAAAUAAAUCUAGAGAAAAGUUGGGACAAGGAACAUUUGGAACAGUGUUCAAAUGAAAGCUCUCGAGUGAGAUCUUUGUUGUUGUAAGAUGCUCAACAAUUCCCAAGGAAAUGGAGAAGAGUUUAUCAAUGAAGUGUCAACAUUAGGUUGAAUCCACCAUAUUAACGUGGUUCACUUGGUUGGCUAUUGUGAUGGAUUUAGACGAGCCUUAGUUUAUGAAUUUGCACCAAAUGGUUCAUUGCAAAAACUCAUAUUGUCAGCAGACAGCAAGAACCAUUGUCUUGGUUAGGAGAAACUGCAACAUAUUACUCUCAGAAUAGCCAAAGGAAUUGAGUAAGUUCACCAUGGAUGUGACCAACGAAUCCUUCAUUUCAAUAUCAAACCUCACAAUGUACUAUUAGAUGACAACUUCAACCCAAAAAUCUCAUAUUCGGUCUUGCCAAGUUGUGCUCCAAGGAACACAGUGCCGUUUCCAAGACAUGAAGUUGCAAAACCACAUUAGCAAAGGGGGAGACGGAGGUUUCCAGUGCCACACCCAGGCCAACCCUAUGAUGGGCCCAAGUCCUCCGUGCCUUUUUUUAAGGCCCAACACUAGUAGCUUUACUGCUGGUUUUUUGUUUCCAACCUGGCCCAUGGCUUGCAGCCCACCCCCAAGCUUUUUGCUCAAGGCACCCAACCCAAAUUUUUUUGGGCUAUGGUAUUUCUUUACCCAACGCUAUUAUUUAGCAUUUUAAAUAAUUUUAACCUGAAUUUUAUUAUUAUUUUUGUUUCUACGAUCAACCUCGUUUGGUCUCAAUCUAUUGAAGUAAUUAAAAGUGACUUGCAGUCCAUUAAUCUGAUAAUGAAUCCAAAAUUAUUGACCUGAUGAUCACUUUUGGACAUUAGCGAUUCAAUAAUUUAUUUUUAUACUUUGAACUGUUGACAUACUUUCGUAGUAACGUAACUUUCACACUUGAGUUCCCGAAGAACCUCAAAUCCACUACACUUAAAUCAGCAUAUUGCAUUUUGUGUUCUUGCAAGAACCUCUCUUUUAUAAACUAAAUGUUCAUAAACUAAAUUGCACAUGUAGUUUCAAAUUUAGUGCAUUUGAAACCCGAAGUUUUCUUAAAACAAUACACCCUGAAAACCCGACAUUUUUCAUGAAAACCAUGUCUUAGAACUCGAAUGUUCUAACUUUGAUGCUUAUGGAUGAUUCAUUCCCAUAGUACCAAUCACAAUCUUGUUCCCUCCAUUCAGUGGAUUGUUGAACCAUAACAAGUUCAAGUUUUCUGAUUUGGAUGUUUCUAAUAUAAACCAUUUUAUGUGGGGUACAAGACGUGAAUCUCCACUUGACCAUCAAGAAGCUGAGAAACCAUUGAAGCCAACAAUGGUAGCACCGAAUAAGCUUUUGCCAUGAUCUUUAUUCGAAGACUUAUGCCCGAAGCAUUGCAAACGGAAAUACCUCCCGAACAAGGAUUCCAUGGCUCUUUGGCUCGCUCAUUCAGACCAUCUAAUCAUGAAAGACAUUACCUAAAGUACAUCAUGAUUACGUCAAUGAACGAGUAUGAUUCUGAAGUUUAUAAAUCUGAUCGAAUUUUGACUAGAUAAUACUUUUCUCGUCCUUCCUUGCUUCUAGCUCUUUCUUGAAGCAACAAGUGUAGAAAAUGGAAGUUUACCAAAUUCUCGGAUCUAAUUACUACCAUAAAUGUGAGAGAAUGGUAUAGACCCGACUAGAGUAUACCAUAUGGCUCAACUCAGCUCGAUCAAAGCCUGCCGAAUGGUGAUGCCCUACUUUAGUAGGGAUGCAUCGAAUGGCAUACUCUACUUCGGCAAAGGCCUUCCGAACAGACCCUUCCAACUUCGGUUGAAGCCUACCACAUCCAAUUAUGGGUCUAUCUUUCUCACAAUCUAAUUUCGAGUUUAUUUUUACAACAUAUGGUAGAAUCAGGGCCAGCCAAGGUGUGGCAUCAUACCCGAAGCAUGAUUUUUAGCACUUAAGACCUAAAACUUCAAGAAUAAAGGAUAAUAUUCCCAAACCUUAACCCUGCAGAAUCUAAUUUUGUCUUGAUGGAAUUAAUCAUUGGUUAUGCACCUGUUUGGGCCCCUACCAAUGUUGUUGAGGAGUACCAUUCUAGUAGUCAAUAUGUGAGACUAAUUUUGCUCUACCACACAUCGUUGGAAGAGAAGAAUUUUGACAUGGAUGGCCUUGUUGGCCGAAUCCCCUUAGUAAACCAUUUACUUUGUGAACAUUUUUUAUGUUCUUGGAUUCACAUUUGGUGUUUGUUUUACUUAUGGAUAAUCUUAUUGAUAUUUUCCUCAAAUAUGAGUUAAUUGAAUCAUGUAUCUUAAUACAUGUGACCCAAUUCAAUUAAACACGUGAUUAGGUAGGAAUGUGGGAAAGUUAGUUGUCUGGAUGAAUGCAAUACUACACACACUAACUUUACACCUAAAUCACAUCUUUGACAACGACUUCAAAUCUAUCCAACCUGAUUAAGAGCAUUGGCACGCUCCUUGUUGUAUGAAUGGUACUGAAUUACCAUUUAAGGGACCUUCAAUUCUCCAUGUCGUUGAGUUUCUUAGGGUAUUCGAGAAAAUAAUGAUCAUCAAUGAAACCACUGAAGAAAAUAAAGUGAAAUAUCUUUGCACCACCUCAAAAAAUGAGCCUGAAGCUUUGAUUUAGGGCCAAUGGGUUGUCUCCCAACUUGAAACACACCAUAUGUGGCCGGCCUGGAGCCAGGUGAUUCAAGUAGUUUACUUGUUUUGGCACGACCUUUUGGGACACUUAGGUCAAACAAUGAUGCUACGACGCAUCUCCUUACCCGAAGUAAAGAUCUUGUGCCUACAAGCACACUUUGCCAAAACCCGCUCGUUUUGGGAAAUUUGAUUUCUAAAUCAUCCUUAACAAAGAUACGAAAUGACUCUCUUUUCACAGUGGAUUCAAGGCAAUAUAUGUGGACUAAUCCAACCAAAAUGUGGACCAUAUAAAUACUUAUGGUUUUGAUUAAUGAAUCGACAAACUGGUCACAUGUUUGUCCACACACAUUGCUGCUAAACAUCCUGGUCGAUUAAGGGUUCACCACCCUACUUAUCCCUUAAAGUCCGGGAGAUUGGAUAAUGCCUGAGAGUUUAUAUCGACGAUUUUCGAUAAAGUAUUGCAUGUAUUUUGGGUUUAUAAUUGAUCAUCGAAUUCCCAUGCCCAAAUAGCCUCACCUAGUGAUCAUAAAGCGCAAUUUAAAUGAUCGCCCAGAUUUUGGUGAACGUACCAAGUUUUCAGUUUCUGCCUAGGGUUAUGCAAUCUUGUACAUAGUUAUGUUGGUCCACUUUGAGGCUCAUUGCUACCCAACCUAUUUGGCGUUACAGUUGGUUACUGGAUACGAACCUGACAUUUCGUAUUUACUUAUUUUGGGUGUGCACUCCAUGUGCCAAGUUGCGCUACCGUAAUGUACCAACAUGGGUCCUCAAUGAAAGAUGUGAAUCUUUGUUGAUUAUGAUUCUCCUUCACACAAGCUCUCUUAGAGCCCUUGCGUGCGAUCUAUUUAUCGCAAAGUUAAGGGUACACUAGCUCUCUUAGAGCCCUUGCAUGUGAUCUCUUUAUCGCAAAGUUAAGGGUUGUCACUUCAAUGAAACAGUCUUCUCGCCAUUAGAGGGAGAUAAGAAUGACGCGAAUUUACGUGGACGUUGCCCCCUAUGUCUCAUCUUGAUCCCCAUACCACAUAAGUGUGAUAAGCAAGUGCGAUGAAUUCUAGCUUUCAAAAUGUUGCUCCAAACGCAUUCCUCUAAUCUAGCUGAAAUGAUGAGAUCAUAUACCAGUCGCAAACAUGCCUGCAAGGAUAGACAUAUUUAAUGGACGUCGAGUCAACAUCCUUGGAGAGUGUGCCACCCCUGUUGGAAGGUUUAGACACCUCUGUUGGAUGGUCUGGUACAUCGACGGAUAGCCAAUCAAUCUGUCCUGGCCUGAAACACGGCAAAUCACUCAGUUUGGAGGAUUCAUUUCCCUUGAAAAGGAAGACACGACAGAACAAUGAAUCCAUACUUGAUCCUAUCUCAAAUCAUUUUCAUCUCGUGAGAUUAAUCCGAAUUACUCCCGAGAUUUGAAGUUCUUGGUCUAGUAUACUAGUUGGGAUGAGAAAAUUGAAUUGAAAUGAGAUUACCAUCGAUGAUGUUUUCACUUAUAUGGUAGCUACCGACAUAAAUGAAAAACGACGAUAUUGAACCAUGUUCCGUUGAUUAAAUGACAACAUAGAACUGAUUAGACAAUCGAAAUUACAAUCCAGGUCAAAUUCCUCACCAAAGUCUGUUUGGACCUAUCAUUUCUACACUGCCCAAGGUAACCUUGUUGUGUUACAAGUGGGAAAGGAAAUGUAUUGAGAUGAAUGAAGUAGUGCGAUAUGAUGCACGCCUUAUGGCGCAAGGUUUUUCUCAAACGUCAUGUGAUUAACUGCAGCAUUAUGAAAUGUGGUUAGUGUUUCUCCAUGAGGAUAUGGAUAUGGAGAUUUACAUGUAAGUUCCUGAAGAAUUACAUAGACUGGUUCAAAUAAGUUCCAAAUCAUGGAACACCCUCUUAACUCUUUUGAGGCGUUCACUUAUAGAUUGAAUAAAUCCGAUGGAUGUGGUAUACCCGUCUAAGUGAUUAUUUGAUCAAUCAAGGAUGAAUUAUACCCUUGCAUGUUAAACUAUGAAGUCUUAUUCCAAAUUGCUAAAUUUACUGUUUAUGUUGUUAACACGAAUCUCACUAAGACUCUAGAAGAGCUUAAGAAAACCGCAUUGCACCUAAAUAUGGAAUUUAAGAUGAAGGAUCUUAGGACAACUCGUUUAUGCCUUAACCUGAAGUUCAAGCAUUGUUCUGACGGUAUUGGUCUAGCAGUCGAACUACGCCCUAAAGGUGUUACCUUUGAGUAUACCUAUGAUCGUCCAUAAGUUAUAUGCAAAUGAGACCCUUGAAGAGGUUAUGGAAUAUGAAAUUCCAUAUCUAAGUUCAACUUUACGCUUCGUUGUACUUAGCUCAUUGUAUUAGACAUGACAUCUCCUUCACUGCUGAUUUGUUGGCAAAGAUGCAACAUUGCGCCUACACGCAACCACUGAAUUGGUAUUAAAGACAUACCCUUAAGGUACUACGAUGGAAAAUCCCAAUGCAUCUCGAGGGAUCUAACCCCCUGAUCCUUGGAAUGAUGCCUGCCUUGUUUGUUAUGCUAACGCUGGUUACUUAUCAAACCCGCACAAGGCAAAAUCCUCAAAUGGUUAUGUCUUUACUGUUAAAGAUAUUGCAAUAUCUUGGAGGUCCACGAUAUGACCUUAGUUGAUAUUCGAAUCUGUCCAAGACUCACGUCACUUCACUACGCCACAAGUAGACAUGGUUAGAAGUUCUUGUUGGGCAUAUUCGAAGUACUUGCUGUGUUUUUCAUCCAUCGUUGAGUCCCAAAAACGAUCCAUGAAGACGAUGUCGCAUGUAUCAACCCGACCAAGCCAUGAUACAUCAACAAAGUCAACACCAAUACAUAUUGCAUCCACAUCUACAUCAACAAAACAUCAAAAGACUAAAGUCAUGCAAACUGAACCCAGACAACCUUGCGACUUCUACACGACAUCACUACCAAAGUUAACCUUCCAGAAGCUUGUCCGAGGAAUUGGUAUGCCUAACUAUCAUAUGCAAUGCUUGUAGUUCUCAUUUGGAAAUUCUGUCAAACUUAAGGGGAGUAUCCGGAAGUAUACUCAUGUGAUCUUAAUGUACAUUUUUUUCCUAAGAUUAUGAGCAUUUUUCCCACUAGAUUUUUGCUACCUAACUAGGUUUUAACGAGGCACCCAUCCUGGGCUGAUCAUACCCUUAUGAGCUCUUCUACUUGCGUCAAGAAGACGUAUAGUUUUGACUUAAUGCAAAUUCUCACUUUUCUCUUUAGCCUUUGGGUUUUCUCCCACCUUGGGUUUUACCAUAGCAAGAUUUUGUGAGUUUUACCUUUUUAUGCAUUCUUCCGUUAAUCUAAGACUCGCAUUCACUCAUUGUGCCGACGACUUUAUCAACCAAUCUACUUCAUUGCUGAAGACCUGAUGCACCAUUUUUUUUUAGUAUUGACACACUCAAGGGGAAGUAUUGCAGUCAUAUUAGAUUAGGAAUGUGAUUUUGUAAAUCCUAACAUAUCUAGAGAUAUCUUUUAUAUUCCCUUUAGUAGUUAAAUUCCUAUUAGAGUUGUAAUCCUAAGUAAUUAACCUUCCCUACUACUAUAAAUAAAUGCACAAUGGGGUGGAAUAACACACACCUCACAAUUACACAUCUCUAUCUUCUCUCUAUGUGUCGCAUCCCUCUCUCUCUAUGGCCUCCAUAACUGUUCAGUAAAUUAUGCCUACAACAAAUAUUGCCCUUUGUUUCCUUCACAUUCAAAAAUAAAAAAAAACUCAGCCACUUAAUAUUACGGUCUAGCGGUAUUCCUCUUCAUUUGUAAGUAAGAGAUAUUAGGUUCGACUCUUGUCAAAGAUGAAUUUGAACUACAUUAUUAUUAGCCUAUUAUGAGGCUUAGCCCACCCCUUCCCUUUAGUGUAGAUAAUAUUAGUUGUUCCAAAAAUAAAAAUAAAAAUUCAGAAAAUCAAAACAGUAUGGCAAAACCUACAUGACAAACACAUCAGAAAAAAAAAAGGUACAAAAAAAGAGUAAUGCUAUAUUUUGCCCCAACAGGAUCCUCUCCGGAUCCUUUUGGAGAGGAUCUUGGGGAUCCAUAAAUCGUGUCCAUUCAUCGUAUAUCGUGGGUCAGUUUUUAUCGGGUACUAUUUGUGUUUAAUUUUAAAUAAAAAUAUUUAUAAUGAUUUCUGACCGCAUGAUGUACGAUGAACGGACACGAUUCACAGAUCUCCAGGAUCCUCACAAAGAAGAUCCAGAUUCAUAUUUACCAUCUAUUUGUACCAUCUCUCUAAUAAAGGUAAGACCCACCAACACAUGUGGGCCACAUCUCUAUUAGAUAGAGAUGUUACAAAUGAUACAUGAAACCAAAAUUUUGUACCAUCUUUCUUGAUUUUCCAUAUCUCUGUUGUCUAGGGAUUUUAGCCGUUAUCUUCCGAAUUUUAUGCACAUUGCUAUUGUAAUGACAUAUUUUCAAUUUACAAGAUAUGGUGUGUCAAUGUCACAUGAAUGUUUUGAAAAAGAAAAAAUAUGACACAUGCAAGCAUUCGUUCCGAGUCAACAAUAAGGGGAAGAGAUCCAUUCUAUUGAUUCUCCAUCCUAUGUAAUGAGAACUCCCCUUGCUUUCCUUAAAAGUGUAACUAGCAAAAAAUAGUUUGACUACUGUGAACUACGUCAAAACUUUAUUUCCAAUUGCAGAUAACCUCAGAAAAUUCUCCUUUGCUUAUGUUUGUUCUUGGUUCUCACACGUGUGCGUCUAUUUGUGUGCAUGAAUUUGCAGUCUUGUGAAUUGAUCAUCUGGUUCAAUAGGAAAUUCAUCAUUGGUGGAGAUGAAGAAGAUUCAUCAUCUGGUUCAACAAGAAAUUCGUCCCAUCUACACUCCUUGUGAAUCUGUUCAUGGGUUGGGGGUUCUUGUAGCCACUAAUUUCAUCCUUGUAGCGUUUUUAUCUUGACGAGCCUUUGCUUCAUAUGGCUCCUUUUCCUCCGCUGCAAAAUGGAAAACAUGACAUUAAUUAAGUUAUAAUUCGCAGAAAUUCGUCAUGUUGUGGAAGCACACAAGAUGUAAUUUAGUAGAAUCACACAUACCAGACAUCUUUUUCCAUUUCUCUCCAAGUACUCUCCCCACAUCAGUAAACGCAAUUCCAUGGUUCUCUCUCUUUACAUUCUGCGGUCAACACAAAUUAGGUCAAUAAUUUUCUUCGAAACAUCAAUACUAACUUGAACCAAAAGUUAGAACCAAUAGAUAGAAAUUAAAAAACCCACAUCUCUCUCCAUAUUUGAGAAGAACAUGAAACCAAACAUUGCUCUUCUCGGUACAUUUGGAUCCUUUUUCUUCUUCUGUUUUUUCUUCUUUGAACCAUCUUCACCAUGAAACAUCAUAAAAAAAAAGAGAAGAAUAAUUCAUGAGAUACUUGUUAGGAAUUGCCUCGUCAACGUCAGUGUUCUAUUUUGUUUAGGAUUGUAUUAGAAAAGCAAAGGUGCGCAAAUUCUUGCCCUAAAAGGAUUGGGAAAGAAUUAAGUUUUCUUGUACAAUUAGAUUAGGAAUCCUAGAGACACAAUUGGAAUAGGAAAGAAAGUGUACUUUCCUAUCCAAUAUAGAAUAGGAAACCUAAUCAGAAAAUAGGCAUGUAAACUGCACCCUAUACUUAUAAAUAGAGUGCGACAAGGGUUGAAAAGCUAGAGAGAAAAAUAGAGACAACCAAGAGGAAAGAGAGUUUAGUUCUAGGGUUUGCAAAAGUACUGUGUGCUAUAUUAUUAAUCAAAGAAGCCGUCAUUUCUCUACAGAGAUAGAGAAAUCACAAUUGACUAUAGACAAAGUUAUGUCAAGUCAAUAUAAAUCUUAGGUGUUUCUAGUUAUCCUAUAUUUGCUAAAUUUAUUCUAUCGUCUGAUACAUUAAAGAGAAAAGCAAUACUUUGAGGGAUGUAGGAAGACUGUUCUUCUUUUCUUUGGGAGAGGAAAACUGUUCCUGUCUGAUGAACGUGAAAAGAAAUCACAUGGAGUUGCAUUUAAGCAAACUACCACAGUUGUUGAGAAUACAUGAUUUACCUUGCCCUUUCCUAUUCUACAGGAAAUCACUAUAUCGAGAUGUCCAGCACGCAACAAGCUACAAUUCUGGCAGUGCUCAAACAAGUAAUCUCAUCAUCGAAAGAGACUCAAAUUGGUGGAAUGGCUUAGUUUGGGAAGACGAAGCUGCUCGAAAUGUUUUUCUUCCUUGUUUCAGACCCUUUAAACGAGGACUGAGGAGGGAUGGUUGGGGACCAGUUUGGAUACGUCUUUUAUUCUCACUUUCUUCCAUUUAGUUAGUUUUUCUUUUCAUGCACUUCGUCUUGUAGUUUCAUUCUGUAGCCUGCUGUAAGUUCAAAGGACAUAGCCAGCCUUGAACUUUGGGGUCGGCUGUGACCUUGUGGGAGGGGGUAGGUUGGGUUGGGGUGGAUAGAUGCACCACGUGUUAUGAUACGAGUUGAGAAAAGUUUUUUCCAAGUGUCCUUCACUUGAAAAUAGAAUUAAGGAUAUGUUGACUCAAAGCAGAACUGUAGAAGUAUAAGAGCUGAAACAGAUGCUAGACUAAUUUCUAUAGUUUUUUUCUUUUACCACGAUGCAAAAAAUUCAAACAUAUGAGGAACUUUCAAUUCGCAAAAUGACUACAAAAAAGAGAGAGCAGUAUCACAACACCUCACUUCAUUACGCCACAAGUGAGACAUGGUUAGGAGUUCUUAUUGAGCAUGUUUGAAGUACUUGCAGUGUUUUCAUCCAUCGUUGAGUCCCAACGACGAUUCAUGAAAAGUAUGCCGCAUGUUUCCACCCGACCAAGACAUGGUACAUCAACAAAGUCAACGCCAAGACAUAUUGCGUCUACUUAUACAUCAUCAAAGCAUCAGGAUAUUGAAGUCAUGCAAGCCAAUCCCAGACAACCUUGCCGACCUUUAUACGACGUCAAUGUCGAAGUCAACCUUCCAGAAGCUUGUCCGAGGAAUUGGUAUGUCUAACUAUCAUAUGCAAUGCCUGUAGUUCUCAUUUGGAAGUUAUGUCAAACUCAGGGGGAGUAUCUAGAAGUAUACUCACUUAAUCUUAAUGUACUCUUUUUCCCUACGAUUAUGAGCAUUUUUCCCACUGGGUUUUUUCUACCUAACUAGAUUUUAACGAGGCACCUAUCCUGGGCUGAUCAUACCCUUGUGAGCUCUUCUACUUGCGCCCAAAAGACGUAUAGUUUUGACUUAAUGCAACUUCUCACUUUUCUCCUUAGUCUAUGGGUUUUCUCCCACAUUGGGUUUUACCAUAGCGAGGUUUUGUGAGUUUUACUUUUUAUGCAUUCUUCUGUUGAUUUGAGACUCGCAUUCGCUCAUUGUGCCGACGACUUCAUCAAAUGUACUUACUUCAUCGCUGAAGACCUGAUGCGCCAUUCACUUGAGUAUUUACACACUCAAGGGGGAAUGUUGUAGUCCUAUUAGAUUAGGAAUGUGAUUGUGUAAAUCCUAGUGUAUCUAGGGAUAUCUUUUAUAUUCCCUUUAGUAGUCUAAUUCCUAUUAAAGUUGUAAUCCUAAAAGGGUAAGGAUUUUACCUAUCCUACUAUUAUAAAUAAAGGCACAAUAGAGUGGAAUAUAACACACCCACAAUUACACAUCUAUCUCUUCUCCCUCUAUGAUGCACCCUCUCUCUCUUUCUGACCUCCAUAAUUAUUCAGUAAAUUAUGCCUACGACAAUUUUCAUUUUACUCAUUUUACUAUCUUCAAGUUUUGCAGAAAUCACACUGUUCUAUAGUGACUUUUUUUGUCUCACUUUCAUAACUGAAGUUUGAUUUUUCUUUCACUUUCAUCACUGAAGUUUGAUUUUUCUUUCACUUUCAUACUUCCGUUAGUUUUUUUGUCAAGUGUUCUGAUAAUUGAUGAUGUGGUAUAGCUUUACCUACCAUUUAUUCCACCGUGGCUAAUCAAGUUCCCUCUCUGCCAGAAUUUUCUCAAGUCACUCAUGUGCCCUUUCUUCUCUUCUUAAUGAAGCAGAUCACCUACAUACAAAGAAAGAAAACUAAAAUCGAAUUUUUUAUAUAUGUUGGUGAUCUACUUCAUUGGUGGGAACUAAAAUAUCCUCUCGACUUCCUUUCAUUACAUAUUUUUAGGGGUAAAUUACAUAGUAGCCUCUUAGGUUUGAGGUUUAUUACAACCUCAUACAACAUCUUUAAAAUAUUUCACUUUCAUACCUCACGUACUACUUUAUUUCAAAAUAAUACCUCCGUUACAUUUUCCAUCCAUUAAUCCGUUAAGCGCUGACUUGGCUGCCACAUUUGUGCCAUAUGGCUGCCAAAUGUGUGCCAUGUGGCAAAAAAACAAUUUUUUAUUUUUUUUUAAACCUGAAUCUUCUAAAUAAAUAUUAAAAGAAAAACAAAAACAAAAGCUAAAACAUCUCCACGCAACCCCCACUUCGUCUUCCUUCCCUCCAUCCCCCACCCACCUACAACCCAGAAGAAGAAGAAGAAGAAGAAGAAGAAGGAAAAAAAAACCCAUCUUCAUCUUCCCCGACCCCCUUUCCUUGCAACCCACCCCUUUCUUCCCCCUCCCAUCUUCCCCAAACCCACCGCACCCAUCCUCCGCACCCAUCUUCGCACCUACCCUCCGCACUUACCCUCUUCCCUCAUUUACACACUCCACUCCUUAAAUCCACACCCAUUGGGGAAAACGGGAUCUGGGUUGCAAGGAAAGGGAGAUGGGUUUUUUUUUUUUUUCUUUUCUAGGUUGCAGGUAGUGGGUGCAGAGGAGAAGGUGGAGGAUGGGUGCACAGUGGGUUUGGGGAAGACUAGAGGGAGAAGAAAAUGGUGGGUUGCAGGGAAGAGGAGUUAGGUGGGGGAAUUUUUUUUUUUUUUUUCUAGGUUGCAAGUUGGGCUCGGUAGUAGAGAGGGAGAUGGGAAGAUGGGUGCGUAGAGGAGGUGGAGUAUGGGUGUGGAGGAGGAUGUGGAGGAUGGAUGGGAGUGGUUUUGGAUUUGGGUUGCAAGGAGGGACGACGGAUGGGGAAGAUUAUAAAGGGGAUGGGGUUUCGGCAAGGUGAUAGGAUCUGGGUUUUCUACGUUUUCUAAGUUUUUUUUAUUUUUUUUAUUUUUUUAUUUUAUUUUUUGUUGUUAAAGAUUUAGGUUUUUUCUAAAAAAAAUAAAAAUAAAAAAUUUGCCACGUGGCACACAUUUGGCAGCCACGUCAAUGCUUAAUGGAUCAAUAGAUAGAAAAUGUAACGGAUGUAUUAUUUUGAAAUAAAAUAGUACUUGAGGUCUAAAAUGAAAUGAUUUAAAGAUAUUGUAUGGAGUUGUAAUAGACCUCAAACUUGAGGGGCUACUAUGUAAUUUACCCUAUUUUUAGUUGGUGUAAUUCAUUGGUGCCCUUUUCCCCUCUCAAAGUCGAGGAUAUUUUUCUAAUCUUUUGAAUCCAUAUUUCUUUAGAUUUUAAAGUUAUCAAAGACUUAUUGUGAAUUGCAUUUCUUUUCUUCUACUAGAUUUUGGCUUAGAAUCUCUUAGUAGAGUAAUAUAUGUGAGUUUAUAUUACUAGACUUAGUAUGGGUGGACUACUAGGUUAGAGUUUGAGCGCCGAACACUUGAAAGAAACAAAAUUGCAACAGAAUAUUUUUUUGGCAAUUAGUUGGAAUAAUCUACAUUUGGUUGCAUAAAUGAUAAAGUUUUAAUAAUGACGACAUAUUAAUUAUCUAUAGACAACAUAACAAUAACAUAACGAUAUCUUUUUAUUGCUCUAUCCAAAUGUCAAAAAAGGGUAUUUUUGUAUUUUCACAGAGUUUGGGGGAUAUUUUCCUUUGUAAAAUGGUUUUAGGGUCUUAAAUAGUGUGCCCAAGGGGCCCGCCCCUGUUUUGUGUCCCCGGUUUCCCCUUCCUCGUGGACUCAUCUCUCUCCCUCACUUUUGUCUCUUCUAUCUCUCCCCCGAAACUCUCUCCCUUCUCUACGAUGUCCCCCUCCUCUUUGAAAAUAACACACACACGUUUACAGACAUACACACAGGCAGCCUUCACCACUUUCACACCAUCACCAUCACUCGAAUCCUCUCUUCUCUCCCGCGCCCUUCCAAGCUCACCUUCACUCUUUUUGGCAUUGUGCACAGCCACAGUGCACGUGAUCUCCGACAAGGUAAAUUGAAAACACCCUUCGAUCUUCCUUCCUAGUGGUCUAGAAGGCUUAAUGGUUGUUAAAAUAUGGUUUUUGGUUUUUGGUGAAAACACCUUUCGAUCUUCUUUCCCCAAUUUUCCAACGAGCACCGCCCCUUUAGAGGUAAUUUCCGGUAAAACCACACCGAGUUGGCCAGCGUGCAGGGUAUCAAUCUUUUCAUCUCGUUGAGUACUAUAACUUUCAUGUUUGGAUCACUUGAUUUCGAUAAGUAACGAAUAAGUUAUGAGCCUUGGAAAAUCAACCACCAAACCGGCCAAAGGGUGGCCAAAAAACCACCCUCAACCCAGGCCUUUGGGCCAGGUUACCCAACCCAUUUACCCAAGCCCAAGUCUGAAAUCCAAACCCAAGCCUUUGGGCCAGAUCACUAAGCCCAAACCCUUUAAGACCCAACCCAGUUUCCUUUUAUUUAAUUUUUGUUUAUUUUUAUUUUCAAACCCAAAACUCUUUUGGUUGGGCCGGGCCUUAAGCCCACAUCCCUAAACCUAUUAACCAUAUACCCUUAGGGCCCAAUCUGUCCAACCCUAACCCUAAACCAGGUUUGACCCGACCCGUUGACUUUGACUUUGACCAGUCAACGGCCAACGUUGACUUUAGGGUUGACUUUUUGGGUUUUAGUCCAGGACCCCUUCUAGGCUAAUUUCGACGUCCUGAACUCGUUUAUGAAAUCAAUUUUUCAAAAUCCAAUCGUUUGAGUAGAGUUUGACAAAAUGUACCAUUUAUGUGAUUAGGGGCAAUUAUUGUGGCGUCUGUCUCCGGUAGUUUACACUGCUUUUCGACGGCGAAGUACUGUGAGUGGACCCUUUUUAAAAAUGCAUGUUUUAAAAGUAGAAAUGAAUACAUGAAAAGCAUGAUUUGAUGAUUACGUUUUAUGAAAUGUUUUGUGAGAUAACAUGCUAACUGAGGCUAGAUUGAAUUACUACUAUUUUAUUAUAACCCGUAUUCUUAUAGAAUAUCUGAUGGAUGAUGAUAUGAUAUUUAGAACAUGUUUCGAAUACCUCUUUAUAGUAUAGAUGAUGGAUGACUUUAUACUAUGAAGUUGCUUUUCAAUAUAUAUAUGUUCAAUGGUUUUGUACUUACCUAGUGGUCCUUUCAGCUACAGGACGUGGGGAUAGAUUCCAGUUCGUCCCGGGCGACGGUUUGGUGUUGGCAUAAGGCCUGGAGUGUGUUUUCUCUAGCUAUUAGCAUAGGGACGGGGAGCUGGCAUGAGGCCUGAAGUGUAUUUUCCUCUAACUGUCUGCUCAGAGACGAGGAGUCGGCAUGGGGCCUGGGGGUUAUCAGACAUUCACUAGUGAUUAUUAUAUAUACAAGUUAUGAUUUGAGACAUUGCAUGGUAUGCUAGGUUUCGAAAAACCUAUGUUUAUCAUUAUAUAUGUGUUUUCAUAAAACCUGGGAGUUAGUACGUUGAUAAUUGUUUUACUAUAUAUAUAUAUAUAUCAACUUGGUCUACUUAUGUUUGUUUUGCGCCCUUUUUAGGACUUAGAAUCGAGGCAUACAAUCUCGGCAUCCAGGCACUUCCGCAUCAGCAUCUUUGAGUCCUCUCGGUGUAGGACCCACUCCUUUGUUCAUUUAAUUUUAUAUUAUUUCCUUUAGUGUUCUAGUUAGUUGUAUAGUCUGAACACAUUCUUUAAAUGCAUAUUCAUUAUUCUUUUAUAUUUCUAAGUCUUAUCUAUCCCUUAUUUUCAGUUUUUGCACUCAAUAAAUUGUUUUCGUCACCCUCGGGUGUCAACCAGGACGUGCCUAUCCUAGUAUUAGGGGAAUAUUAGAUCGGGGCGUGUCAGAUUGGUAUCAAAGUGUGGUUUAUUCAGAGCAUACUUAGGAUUAUCUUUUAUUCUCGUAAUGUGUCGAUUUUGACAUCGUUUGGAUGUCAGGACUUCUGGAUUUGGUGCCAUUCGACGCAGUUGUGUGAACCUUUCUCUAUUUGAAUUGUCACAUUCUGGUUGAAAUACAAGAAUUUGUGUCAGGAUUGUGCCUCAGUAGUGAUGAAGUGGAUUGUCGGACGACUUUCAACAUCAGAUCGAUGCUCCGCAACAUGUGUUCCCUAGGAAUUGCGGGUGGAGUCAGAUCUACAUAUGAGCGUUGGGAAAACAGAAAAACCUAAGUGGUUUGAAUUUGGAAGAUCUGAAGUGGUGUGGUACUCUGUGACAUGCACUCCCUAGGAAUGGCAAGCAGAGUUGUAUCUCUUUGGAAAUUACUCGAAACUUUUAAAAUGUGUACUGAGGAAGCUAGUAAGUGCUAGUUGUUACGAAGCUUAGUAAGUUGUAGUUAGUGGGAUCAAAUCAACAUUCUCAGACUCAUUACCACUGAAGAAAUUCAUGUGGAUCUUUAGAACAAAUUCUCGGCGAUUGUCCUAUUGAUAACCUUCUUGCUUACCCCAACGACGAAGUCAAGUUCCUUAACCUUUGACCGUUAGCUUCACACCAAAUCCUUCGAGUGUUGACUUCGUUUACAUUAAUUACUUUUCUUGGGAAACUCCUCAGUAGCAGACAAUAUUCUCAUCAAUUUUCCAAAAGGGGUUACGAUUCUUAUUGUUGUUGUAGUUGGACUUGGAUGAUGAAGAUCUAGUCUUGUUUGGAUAAACAAACUUCUUGAAUUUCACCUGGGUCUCGUACUCGACGGUAAACCCUAGCUCAUUGUCCACAUACAUUUUGGUAUAGGUGAAUUUAGCCUCUUACUUGUAGCCCAACUGACCAAUGCUCUUGUCCAUUAAUUGUUCAACCUUGUAAAUUUUCAGUGUAAUGGCUUGAGAUUCCACCAUAUUCAUCAUUACAUGAAGAUCAAGCUUUACUUUGAACUUCUCUGGACUCAUUGAGCUUUGGUUUGCUCAAGGACAUCACCUUAAGAUAGCCAAUCAUGCCACUACAUGCACUUAAGAUAGCCAAUCAUGCAACUACAUGCAUAUACAAGUUGUUUUGUAUCUUUCUAAUUCGUUAUUCUGUUGAUUCAGAGGUUAUAUGUUUUUGAACUUUGAAUCAGCUCUCACAAAGUAUUGGGAAUUAAGAAAUGUCUUUGGCCUCGUCAAAUCUUAUUAACAGUUCUUAACUAUUCUUGAGCUUAUACAUGUUUUCUUUUGGCUAAGAAAAUAGUCGGUCUUACUGUGAUGAUUAACCAAAUAAUCAUAGACAGUGACUCUUAUUUCUACAUCUUCACCUUCCUUCACUUGUUUAUUUCUCAAUGUAAACUGGAUCAUGCUGAAACAAUACACCGGGAAAAAAAAUGUUUGUUCUCAGCAUGGUUUCUAGUUCAAAUCCUAAUAUCUUGUACUCUAUAUUCUAAUGGACUUGUUUUGACCUUAAAAUUCCUAAGUGUUCUUUCAGCCUUCUCGACAUGGUUUUUCACUCAAUCAGUGAGGAAUUCACGAUCGAUCGAUUUGACGGAAGUAAGCGCCCAAUUCUUUUCAAUUUGGACAGGAUGUUAGGAGCAUAAUCUUUUCACAAGCUUACUAGACUUACUAGAAACAGUGCCAUGUAGGUGUGAAGUUAAGUCGUCUUUUGGUAAGAGAUUGAUGAAGAUUGUAGUGCAAGUGAUCAUCUGAUUGCAUCAUUAUCUUCAUGUUGAAUUGAAUAGUCACCACUCAUUAUCUUGCUACAAUUCAUAACCAUCAUAUCGUACUCUGGUAGACCUUUUCGAUGAUGUUAUAUGUUCCCCUUAACGUAGCUUUCCACUACCUCGCACCAGGAUCCAUCGGUUCGCGAGCACAUGGGCGUGAGGUUUGAGUUGUCUUUUAUAUAAAAGGUCAGCAGAUUGUAUCUCCAUCUUACUAUAAUUCAUAAGCAUCACAUCGGUUCUUUUCCAACGUUAUAUGUUUGUCUCAACGCAUCAUUUCACUGCUUCACUCCAGGACUCUUUUUUUUUUAUGAGUACGUGGUUGUCGAACACUCUGGGAUAGCAUUACAGCAUGGUCGAGGCGAGUAUCGGAUAAUCUUUACACUUCUCUCAAAAGGUGUGUACUCUCUUUUAUUUUUAGGUUAAUCACUUGAGAGUCCUUCAUCUUUCCAUAAACAUUGACCUUGGUUGACUAGAAAUCUACAACUAAGCAAAAAUGGAGAGGUGGAUUGAGCACUACAACAGUUCCCAAGAGAUACUGCUUGUUGAAGAAGGUGACUUAUCGUUUUCUGCUUGCUUGGCUCGAGUUUUUGGGUCUACUACUAACAUGGUAGCCACUUCUUUUAAAUCCCAAAAUACAGUUUUCAAAAGGGUUCUUUACUGGUGAAACACUGGAGUAGUUGGUCACAUUUGGAAGAACUGAGGAGGAUAGAAUGCUUGGUGCUGGAUAGAGUUUUAUGACGACAAUAGUUUCUGUUUUGUUCAGUUUGAGUACGGGACUUUUUGCGACAUGGUACGAAAGUUGCUACAUGUAACACUGGUUGGCAAAGGAGUAUUGCAAACUUGUAUUCGAAGGAUCAAAUUUUUGAUGUGUGAGAUUGUGCACCCUCAGGAAAUCAUUAUUUUCUUAACGAGACAACAAAUGGGUGGUCGAUAUCGCGAUCAGUUGACUAUGAUAUCGAUGGCUUAUUCGUUAGGUUCGUUAGGCAAGUAGGUAGGAAUAUCCGUCUUCAGCAGUUGUUAUAGAAUUGUUAUUCUUAGGAUUCGACCCAAAGACACAUUUGUUCUCGGAGUACGUGAGGUUACAAAUUCUUGGGCGAGACCCAUUCUCAUUUUCAGUUUUGGUUUUCAGUACAAGCAUUUUAACUUCCUUUACUUUAGUUAUUUGUUUUUGUCGUUACAAAUGUUUUGGGGGAAGUAUCUCCGUUUUCAGUUUUAAGUUCAGCACGAAGUUUUUUUAUAUAUAUGUUAUUACAUAUAUAUAUUGACGUUAUCGUGUUUUGCGUACUUACUUUUGACCUUACUUCAAUAUAUGUUUUCAACUUUAUAUCUUAUUAAAAUAUGUUUCUACCUUUACACUAAUGGGGAAGAAAGUAAGAACUUGGAGGCAUGAAAGAGGAUUUGGCAAACUACUCGCAACGGUGUGACAUAUUCUCUUUGAUGCAACCAUUCUGACUUGAUUUCUUCUUUACGUAUACAUAUAUUCUUCUUCCUAUCUUUGAGCUUUUCAGUAUAGCAAAUUAUUUUAAAUUUCAGUACGAAAUUCUUUUUAGGGUAUUUUUGUAUUUUCACUAAGUUUGGGGGAUAUUUUCCUUUGUAAAAUUGUUUUCGGGUCUUAAAAAGGUGUGCCCAAGGGGCCCACCCCUGUUUUGUGUCCCCGGUUUCCCCCUUCCUCGUGGACUCAUAUCUCUACUUCACUUUUAUCUCUUCUCUCUUUCUCUCCCCCGAAACUAUCUCCCUUCUCUGCGAUGUCCCCCUCCUCUUUGAAAACAACACACACACGUUUACAGACAUACACACAGGAAGCCUUCACCACUUUCACACCAUCACCAUCACUCGAAUCCUCCCUUCUCUCCCGCACCUCUCCAAGCUCACUCUCUCUCUUCUUGGCACUGUGCACAAUCACGGUGCACAAGAUUUCCAAUGAGGUAAGUUGAAAAAACCCUUCAAUCUUCCUUCCUAUUAGUCUAGAAGAUUUAGUGGUUGUUAAAAUAUGGUUUUUGGUGAAGGGUUAGACAUGAAAACAGCUCGGGGAGCUUUCCUCAGGUUUUCGGUGAGCACCACCCCUUUCGAGGCAAUUUUCAGUCAAACCAUAGCGAGUUGGCUAGCUUGCAGGGUAUAAAUAUCUUCAUCUCAUCGAGUACUACAACUUUCAUGUUUGGAUCACUUGAUUUGGAUGAGUAACGAAUAAGUUAUGAGCCUUGGAAAAUCAACCACCAAACUGGCCAAAGGGUGGCCUGAAAACCACCCUCAACCUUGGCCUUUGGGCCGGGUUACCCAACCAUUUACCCAAGCCCAAGUCUGAAAUCCAAACCUAGGCCUUUGGGCCAGAUCACUAAGCCCAAACCCUUUAAGACCCAACUCAGUUUCCUUUUAUUUAUUUUUUAUUUAUUUUUAUUUUCAAACCCAAAACCCUUUUGGUUGGGGCAGGCCUUAAGCCCACUUCCCUAAACCUAUUAACCCUAAACCCUUAGGGCCUAAUCUGUUCAACCCUAACCCUAAACCAGGUUUGACCUGACCUGUUGACUUUGACUUUGACCGGUCAACGGUCAACGUUGACUUUAGGGUAGACUUUUCAGGUUUUCGUCCAGAACCCCUUCUAGGCUAAUUUCGACGUCCUAAACUCGUUUACGACGUCCGUUUUCCAAAAUUCAAUCGUUUGACUAAAUUUACCAUUUAUGUGAUUAGGAGCAAUUAUUAUGGCGUUUUGUCUCCAGUAGUUUGCAUGGCUUUUCGAAGGCGAAGUACUAUGAGUGGACCCUUUCUAAAAAUGCAUGUUUUAAUAGUAGAAAUGCAUACAUGAAAAACAUGAUUUGAUGAUUACGUUUUAUGAAAUGUUUUGUGAGAUAACAUGCUUACUAAGGCUAGAUUGAAUUACUACUAUUUUUCCUAUAACCUGUAUUCUUAUAGAUUAUCUGAUGGAUGACGUUAUGAUAUUUAGAACAUGUUUUAAACACCUCUUUCUAGUAUAGAUGAUGGAUGACUUUAUAUUAUGAAUUUUCUUUUUAAUAUAUAUAUGUUCAAUGGUUUUAUACUUACCUAGUGGCCAUUUCCACUACGAGACUUAGGGAUAGAUUCCGGUUCCUCCCAGGCGACGGUUUGGUGUUGGCAUAAGGCCUGGAGUAUGUUUCCUCUUGCUAUUAGCAUAGGGAUGGGGAGCCGACAUGGGGCUUGGGGGUUAUAAGACAUUCACUAGUGAUUAUUAUAUUUACAAGUUAUGAUUUGAGACAUUGCAUGGCAUGCUAGGUUUCGGAAAACCUAUGUUUAUCAUUAUAUAUGUGUUUUCAUAAAAGCUGGGAGUUAGUACAUUGAUAAUUGUUUUACUAUAUAUAUAUAUCAACUUGGUCCACUCAUGUUUGUUUUGCACCCCCUUCAGGACAUAGAAUCGAGGCAUACAAUCUCGGCAUCCAGGCAUUUCCACAUCGGCAUCUUCGAGUAUUCUCAGUGUAGGACCCACUCCUUUGUUCAUUUAAUUUUAUAUUAUUUCCUUUAGUGUUCUAGUUAGUUGUAUGCUCUGAACUAGGCCUGGCAUUUUGGACCCAACCCGUUAACCCGACCCGACCCAACCCAUUAAUAUUUGUAUUUGGGUGGAUGCUUAAUGGAUUGGGUCGCUAACGGGUGAGCUCGUUAACAACCCGUUAAAUAACGGGUCACUUUGGGUCAACCCGUUAGCACCCGUUAGUUGAGGAUAUUUUAGUAAUUUUAGUAAAGUCUUAAUAACAAAAAUAAACUUUAUGCAAAAAAAUAAUAAUAAUAAUAAUUGUUAACGGGUGUUAACGGGUGAAACGGAUGACCCGUUAGCUUAACGGGUCGGGUUCAGGUGACCCGUUAGCUUAACGGGUUGGGUUCGGAUGACCCGUUAACUUAACGGGUCGGGUUGAACCCGACCCAAACCCAAUAAACCCGACUCGUUUACAAGUCUACUCUGAACACGUUCCUUAAAUGCAUAUUCAUUAUUCUUUUAUAUUUAUAAGUCUUAUCUUUCCCUUGUUUUCAACUUUUGCACUCAAUAAAUAACUUUCGUCACCCUCGGGUGUCUGCCAGCAUAUGCCUAUCCUGGUAUUCAGGGAAUAUCGGGAUUGGGGCAUGUCAAUGUAUGAUAACUUUAUACAUAGCUCUAUCUCCUUAAUAUUACUAACUUGAGCAUCACAAUGUCUUCAACUAGGAUUGCACUGGUGCCCAUCAUCCUCGAGACUUGCUCAUCUUGCAUGUUGUGUUAGUAAAUUCCAAAAAGCGGAAAGAUCGUGCUUGAACACAUAUUUCAAACCAUUAAGUCAUGAAAUGAAACACAACAAUCUUAUAGUCGUCGAACAAACUAAUCAAUUUCUUAUCGUAUUAUGUUAUUGGAUCUAACUGUCAAUAUGAUAAUCUCUACUAAUUAAUAAAACACUCUUUGUCAACCAAAAGUAAAUGAAAUUACCAUUUUAACCCUCACAUUAAAACUGAGCAGAAAUUCAAAAUAUGGGCAAUUUAGUAAUUACAUGACUACACAUUUUACUGUUUUUUAGUUGAGCAUCAUAGCCAUGUAAUACUAACAUAUUUUAUUUAAAAUUUCUCUUCGUUCCUAUUUCUCUCUCAUCACCACUACUGACUUCUCUCUGCAACUCUCUCGCCCAAAACAUCCAAAAACCGCUCUCCCACAUUGUCCUCAAGCUCUCUUCGUUCUUGUUUCUCUCUCAUCAACUCUCUUGGACUUCUCUCUGCAGCUCUCUCGCCAAAACCCUCUUCAACCACCCACCUCGUCCCUUCCACGUUCUCCUCAACCGUAAACAUCAUGAUUUCACUUACCUCAAACUCCCACAAGUUGCAGAAACUCCAAAAUUUGGUUCAUACUUUUAAAAUUUUAGAUGCCCAAUUCGUUUUGAUUUAAAAGAAUUCAUUACCGUUCCCACCCCUACUUCUGUAGUUGUUGAUCGCCAUAAGUCAACCAGUUACGUUGGCUGUGGGGGCCUCACCUUCCUGUGGCAGCACCAAGGUUGUUCAGAGUAAUCAUCAUCAUCCAAUCUCAAUGGCUUCCUUCCAAAUUGUGGAGCCCAGGUUUAAUUUUAAUUCUCUGAAUAGCUUUUGGAAUUGGAUCUUCAAUUUUAUUAGUUUCAUUAAGAGAAAGCAUCCUUUCAAUUGUUUAACUUACCAAUUACAUAUUUACAACAAUUGGAAAUAAAAAGGGACAUGGUUAUUUUUAUUACCGUGUUUGUCUUAGUUGUAUUUUCUCAUUUUUGUUUACUGUAUUUUCAAUAUUAAUAACUUAUUUUUUCAAUCACUUUCAUAGAUAUAGCAUUAUAAUUGCAAGUCAGUGCAAUGAGUCCAACAUCUACAGACCUUGGUGAAAUACGUGCAAGGCGACGCAACAGUUACCAAAUCAAAAUGCAAGUAAUGAGUUCAAAGCAACGACAACAUCUAGCACGCUGUCCUUUUAAUUAUCACCUCCGAAAUAUGAUAAUGAAUCAGCCACAAUGUCGACACAAACUACUACAUCAUCUAUUAAUGUAAGGUGGUCUGUUUAUGAACAUGGAGAAUCAAGUCGAGGAACUCAAAUCACGCAGCCUGUUUAUGUACGUGGAGAAUCAAGCCGAGGACCUCAAAUGAGCUAAUAUGUAUAUGAAAAUGGAGAAUCACUUGAGAUGAGACAACCUGUAUAUGAACAUGGACAAUCAACUCGAUCUCAUAAUAGCCAUGUCCAACAAAGGAAUGCCACAAAUGCACAAUAUAAAUGUGCACAGAAUUUUAGUGAAUCUCAUGGGUUUCAGAAGCUUCGGUUACCACCACCAUCAACAUGUCGGCACUGUGCAACAAAACUCUUUCAUCUUGAGUCUAAGAAGUUAUGUUGCUUGAAUGGAAAGACUAAUUUGCCCCUCAUACCAACACCUAUCGAACUUCUUCAGUUAUUCUCAGAUGAAACAUCACAAGGCAGGCAUUUCAGAGAAUAUAUUCGAGCCUACAAUCACGCCUUCUCUUUUACUUCGAUGGGCGUAAAUGUUGAUGAACAAUUUGCAAAUGCUAAAAGUGGAGUGUACACAUUUAGAGCACAAGGUUUAAUCUACCACCAAAUUGGAAGCCUUUUAGCUACUACAGGAACCAAACCAAGGUUUUUACAAAUUUAUAUAUAUGAUACUGAGCAUGAAAUUGACAACUGCAUGCUGGAAAACAAUGGCCUAAAUAGACAAGUUGUAGAGAAAAUAAAGCAUGUCUUAGAUCAGUACAAUCCAUUUGUGCAUAUGUUUCACCAUAUUUCAUAGUUUUAAGAUUUGAAUACUUGCAAGCUUAUAGUCAAGGAGCAAUCGUCAACUCAUCGCCAAUAUAGUCUUCCAACUAUAUCACAAGUUGCGACUGUUUUCAUAGAUGGUGCUACAAUGAUGCAAUUAAUGGAAGAGAUAUUGUUGUUCAAACUACUAGCGGGCAACUUAUCAAUGUUCAAGAUGUUGUUGGGUAUUAUGACUCACUUCAAUAUCCCUUAUUACUUCCUCAUGGGAGUUAUGGGUGAGACAUAAAUAGCCGCAAUGAAAAUGGAACUGCAUGUACAUGUAGAGACUUUUAUGCAUACAUGUUACUGGUAAUUCCACUUCAAUAUCCUUUUUUUUAUAUAGCUUUUCUCCUUUUAAAUUUGUUUAUACAGUUUAAAAUAUUUGUAAGAUAUAGUAACAAAUAACCAUACAUUAUGUGAUAAAUACAUAUUGCCAAACAGGUUCGUCAUUGAUAUUACAUGGUGGUCAAUUAUUACAACAAUAUAUAGUUGACAAUUAUGUCAAGAUUGAAGCGUAGACUUAGGUUCCUGCAAAGCAAUCAAUAAGCUAUUAGAGCAGAGUUAUAUCAAGGAUUGCAAGACUCACUUGCAUCGGGUGAAUUUCAUGCUGGUAUGUACCAAAUCCACACUUUCCAAGUUAAUUUCUAUUAGUUUACAUUCCUAAAGAAUUUUUAUAAAAAUGUAUUUGAAAUGUCAUCUUUAACAACAAAUAGGAAAUGUGGGACGAACAACAAUACACCCCUCAUCUUUUGGUGGAAGCCUCCGUGAUAUCCAUCAAUGUUAUCAAGAUGCCAUGGCAUUGGUUCAAAAGUAUGGGAAGCCAAACAUAUUUCUAACUAUGACGUGUAAUCCAUCAUGGGAGGAGAUAACAAGUGAAUUAUUUCCUUGCCAAACACCACAAGAUAGGCCAGACUUGCUAACUAGAAUUUUCAGAUCCAAAUACGAACAUAUGAAGAAAGAUAUUUACAACACUGGAGUUCUAGGUAAGACAAUCGCUCAUGUGCAUGUAAUUGAAUUUCAAAAAAAGGGUCUGCCACAUUGUCACAUGCUUAUUAUUUUUGAAGAGUCAGACAAGUUAAACACACCUGAUGACUAUGAUCGCCUUAUGAGAGCUGAAAUUCCAUACAGAGAAGAAGAACCUGAGUUAUACAAUAUUGUCCUGAAACAUAUGAUCCAUGGACCAUGUGGGGCUCUUAAUCCAAACUCUCCAUGUAUGAAAAAUGGAAGCUGUAAAAAAGCCUUUCCUAAGCAGUUUUUUGAAGUCAUAAUGCAAGGAAAUGAUUGUUACCCAGUGUACAUGAGGCGCAACAAUGGUAGAUAUGUUGCUUUAGAUCGAAACAUUGAAGUAGAAAUAGAUAAUAGGUGGGUUGUUCCAUAUAACCCAUGGCCAUUAUUGAAGUAUGAUUGUCGUAUAAAUGUUGAGGUCUGUAGCAGCAUAAAGUGUGUCAAGUAUCUGUAUAAAUAUAUGUACAAAGGACCUGAUCGUGUUUCCCUUGAGGUGUGUUUGGGACCAUCUUAUGAUGAAAUAUCAAAAUACUUAGACGCAAGAUGGAUUUGUGCUCCAGAAUCUUUAUGGAAAAAAAAUUUAUUUCCUAUGAAUCGUAUAUAUCCUUCAAUAUAGUGGCUGCAAGUUCAUCUUCCAAAUAGGCAUCAAGUCAGAUAUUACAGUCACAUCUUAAUUAUGGAAGUUUUGUCUAACAUAAGCAACUCAAAUACGAUGCUUACCGAAUUUUUCCGUAUCAACUGCAUUGAUCCAUUUGCAAGACAAUGGUUAUAUAGAGAAUUCCCUAAACAUUAUAGAUGGGUUGCCACUGGAAAAAAAAAGGCAAAUGAGGGUUUCACAACAAAAGGUUAUCGGACAAAUUUAUACAAGAUGUCCAUAUGAAGGUGAACGAUUUUACUUACGUACUCUAUUAAAUCAUAUCAUAGGUCCCAUGUCAUUCGAUCAUCUUCUAAAAUUUAAUGGAGUUGCAUUUCCAACUUUUAAGCAAGCGGCUGAAAGGAAGGGUUUGCUUGAGGAUGACAAUAGCAUUCACCAAUGCCUCCUAGAAGCUGUAACAACUCAAAUGCCAUCAGCUUUGCAUAGGUUAUUUGUCACAAUAUUAGUGUAUUGUGAACCUAUUGGAGUGCGUACUUAUGGGAGGAAUUUCAUUCAUUUAUGGGGCAAGACUACCCAACAUCCAGUAGCUCAAAGAAUAGGGUUAUCAUUAAUCUUUUGUUGCGAGAUCUGAAUGUAUUGUUACAACAACAUGGUAAAAGAAUUUGUGAUUAUGAUCUUCCACAAAUUGAUACGUCUGAUGCGAAAUAUAUAAGCACACAAAUUAAACCCUCUUUUUAUCAAUUGUAGUAAAGAAUGUAACUAGGGAUCGUUCUAGGCCGGGGAUUAGGAGGGAUUGCCAAAUCACUUGAAAACUAACUCAAAACGUAAAAAUAAAGUUUAAACACUAAACUAGACUCAAAGAAUGCAAAACUAAACUAUAAAACACCAAAACAAACCAAAAGACUCAAAACAGCAAAUAAACACUCAAAACUGCCUUAAAAACACUUUCUGGCCAGUUUUGAACACCUAACACUAAAUUGGACGAAAUUGGGUUAUAACUUGACUCAAGACCCUUAAAACACAAACUAAAUUAAUUUCUACUUAAUCUAACACUUUAAAAUAAAUGGGGAAUUGGUUUUGACGAAAAUUGAAAACAAAAACAAAACUUGUAAAUUGAACAGAUUCUAAAACGAAUUUGAUAAAAGUGAAUGGAUGGAAAGCUAGCUAAGGGGUUAUUCUCCACACAUGUCACACUUGCAUACAAAACGAUUUCCAAUUGCUUCUCAAUAAACCAUGAAUUCCCAACACCCCAAGUUAAUUAGAUACGCUUAAAUUAACUUUCAAAUUUCCCUUAAGUCAAUGAAUUGGAUGGAAAAAGCGCAUCGCAACCAAAUUAUUCCUCAAAAGUUCCCUACAUGAAAGCGCAUAAUAGAGAUACAAUUAAAGAUCAUUACGUUCAAUGGAAAUCAUAAGUACUGACGAGGCACUCGUAACUAUGAAAGCGCAUGAUACUUAUGCCAAGAAUUUACUUAACACGAUUGUGAUCAACAACCUUUACUACUUGUGAAUAUAAGUUUGUAACAAUUAGGUGAAAUUCCCUUAUAUCCUAGCAUUAAACUUAUGCAUGAAAAUUAAGCGUGCACUCUCAACCAACACACACAAAUCAGUUUUAAUUCAUGUAGAUAAGCAAAUUGAAUUCACAACUUAUGAAACACAAUUAGAAGUAAUCAAAUCAUAUAGCAAGCAUAAACAUGGUUUCGAAUCCCCCCCCUAGCCAAGGGGGGUUUAGUUCCUCAUAUGCACAAAGCAAAGAUAAAUAAGUUUAGACAUUGAAAUCCAAAGAAAGAGAACACCUAAAACGCUCCAACUUCGCAGUAGGUGCAUCCACGAUUCCUCCUUCCUCCUUGCUGCGGCACAGAGACUUUGGACAGGUUCUUUGGGUUAUUAAAUGGUGUAGAAUGGAUGGGGGAUGUAUGGUGGUGUUUAGGAUGGAUGGGUGGUGCAGCAAGGGUUGAUUUUUGGCAGAAAUUUGAGAGAAUGGUGGUGGAAGGCUGCAACAAAGGUAGGAGAUGAGUUUCUGACGUGAAUGGUUGUGUAUGAGAGGUGGUAAAUCCGGCCAAAGGGGUUUAUGAGUAUAUAUAGGCAUUCAAAACCCUAGGUAAAUCAGAUAUGGACUUGGAUAACCCAAAUCCAUCAAGAAAUAGGUUUAAACAAUCAGAAUUUAAAAGGGAAAAAGCCCAAAGGUUCGGUAGAUAAGGGAUAGGGAGGAUAGGGCUUCUAGAAUGCCUUGCAAGGCAAGGAAAACAGAUUCUACCAAGGGCUAGGUGCGGCAGGUUUUGGGAAAUAAGGAUAGGGCUUCUAGAAAGCUCAAAACUAAGAGGAAAUAGGCCCCAACCCACGACAAGGAUGAGAAAAUAUUCUAAAACCCUUCUUUGUGUCUUCCAAUGCUUAGGAACCUUCUAAUGUUGCUGAAACAUAAGGCCAACUAGGUUUAGGAAAGAUCAACCCAAAGUAGAAACUUUUAGGCUUAACUUUCCUACUUCAAGUAGGAAACCUUGUUUGAGUAGGAAUCUUCAUUCUUCUAGGAAUCCAUCUUCAACUAGGAAUCCCUCGUUGAUUAGGAAUCCUUCUUCAAUUAGGACUCCUUCUUGGACUAGGAAUCCUCAAAUCUUCAAAUCUUCAAUUUCGCCCAAACCUUUUGUUCCAAGCAUGUGCUAUUCACUCUAAGCUCACAUUUGCUCCAAAAAGCUUUAAUUUGCAUCAUUUUGUAUAAUAUGCCCUUAAAACCUGAAAAUACAUAAAACUAGCUUAAAAGACUACUUAAACUAAGAAAACAUAACGAAAAUGCAUAAGAACUAGCUAACUAAGGCGCAUAAAUAUGCUCCUAUCAAAUUCCCCCACACUUAGCUUUUGCUAGUCCUCGAGCAAAACCAAGAACAAACGACAAACGAAACAAAACACACAAAUAAAACAUAACCUAAACCUUCCAACGUUGCCUCAGGGAUUUCCAAUGCACAUGACAUAUUAAAAAUCAUCAUUCCCACAGAGUUUAGUCAUCUUCACACUUAAGCACAUACUUAAUCAUAGUCACCACAUACUAGUUCACAUUUAACCAAUUAAAACGUGGUUUUGAAUGUAGUAACAUGCCUUAGAGAAUUUGCUCAAUUCCUUACAAGAUAUACACUCAAUUUUCACUCAAAUUUUCUAAGUACACACCCUAUACUAGUUAUAUGUGAGAAGAUUGAUGUAGACAUAAAAACGAAUGCUCACAUAUAUAUACAUAACAAAGAAAGCAUUUUCUGGAGUUAAUAAGCAUUUAGAUAUGAUCUCAUGAAUGGAAUGCUACUACUUAGACGCGAGAACCAGUGACACCAUAUGCUCAUACCAAUUCUAAACUCCACAAAUUGAAACACACAACACUCAAGAUUAAAGUCAAGGGUUGUAACGGGGCUUGAGGUAUUGGCUAACAAAGAACGGAUAGGGAUAACAAAGGUUCUUUAAGCAAUAACACGCAAGGCAAUGAAGUCGAAACUUAGAAUUCACUUUAGAAUGCAGAAAUCAACUUUUAAACAAAAGGUAGGAUUCAUGCAAUACUUAGGGUCGAAUUCAAUGUUUUGGACCCUUUCUUCAACAAUCAACACUUAAGAGCUCAUCUCCACAUCUUUUUCAACUUUUUUUCAUAUUUUUCACAACUUUUCUUUUUUUUUCUUGCUAUUUUCCACGAAAUUUAUCUUUUUGUUUUUUUUUUCUUUUCUAACCUGUGCCACAUGAAAGACUUAGGCACUCACAUACAUCCAUUCCCCCAAACUUGUUUUCUGCAAUACAUUGAUCAAAAGGAAUUCAUCUUGAGUCAUGCUUUACUAUGCUUUAAAAACAAGGGUAUGGAUGGUCCUAAUCUAGGCUAGGUGAGGAUAAUGAGGGUUAACAAACAAUAUAGGCUAAACAAGGCUCAACGGGGUUAAAACCUACAAAACAUAUGAACAUGGGGGACACGGCAAUUUGGCUUAAAUGGUGGUCACUACACAACUUCAUCUUGAAUAUGUGUUAUGCAAAUCAAUAGCAUGCUUUGAAUGAAAUGGGCAUGAGUUUUAGUGUUUGGAACUAAAUGAUGAAACGCCUUCUAAGUAGUAACCAAGCAAAGAAUAAUGAGAUCAUGCAACGACUUUAGAAAACAACAAUGCACAAAUUAUUACUCUCCAAAUAAACGUUUAGGCUCAAGUCUCCCAAGGUUGUAGCGUUAAUUUGAGUUCCUUCCUUCAAGCAUGUUACAAAAACUAAUUUUUUUCCUUUGUGAUUACAUGUGAAUUCAUAAGUUAUAACCACAACCAAGCAUAAACCAAAGAGUAAAUCAAACUUCCAUCCAUGUUUACAACUCUCUUUAACAGUCAUGCAAUUAAAAACCGAAUCCUCAUCAUUGUGUUGGAAGGUACCCUAAGACACAAACAACUACACAAAACAGCUUUAAAACGACUCUUUUUGGCUUUUUCAACACAUUUUUUUCAAAUUUUUUUCUGGGAUUUUCGGAUUUUUAUGUAAAACACACUAAAAUGCAUCAAAACAGCCUAAAAACAGCAAGGAACAACAUUGGAAAUUAUGGGUGAUACUGUUGGAAGUAUGCCCACAAAGCCACUCAUUUGAUGUAAUAGCUUUUGGAAUACUUAUUGUAUUAAACUUUUAUAUGUUUAAUGAAGGGCAAAGCUUAUUGUUAAUCACUAUUUAUUGUAUCAUGUGUUUAAGCAAUAAGGGAAUCCAAGGAAUGUAUUUGAUCUAAGAGAUAAGUGAUUUAAGUAAGUUAGAUUAUCGAGACCUUUCUCUUAUGUUCAUUCCUAAAACGUUCCUAGCCAUAGGAUUGCCAAUUGGGCAUUGACAAUCUGCUAAGGUUAGUAUGUGUUAUGUCGACUCAAGCGUGAGUAUGACAAGUCUCAAGUCAUUUAGUGUUGGACACUAAGGCAAACACAUAGGUGCUCGAAAGAGUGAGCGAGUACACUGAACAACGAUCAAAAGAGAGUUCGAACAUACAUGUCAUGUAAGAACUCGAGAAUUGCAAUAUACAAAGUAGUCCUUUGACCUGAGGCAUCAUAGAUGUCUAAUAGUUAGGUCUUUGAUCUUUGAUCAUGUCAAAGGCAUUCCAUUGGAGUGUCCACGGCAUUGUUGUGGUCAAGCUACCUAGUCAUGUAGGCAUAUGAAUGCACAACAAGGAAUCUCUAACCUUCCAUGGUGGAAGGAGAAUACUCUAAGAUAUGAUUCGAGAGUCUUUGGCCAAAGCAUAUGAAUAUGACUUAGGAAGUUUGUUCCAAAUCAUAUUCAACUGAAUCAUAUAGAUAAGUAUCACAUUGGAUAGUAGACAUGAAACAAACUAUCACUUAAAGAAUGUGAUUAAGAGUAUUGUAUUAGAGAAGGACCGUAUUGCAUUGUAGUUGUAACUGGAUAGGUUCUCCAACCACUUCUACUUAGCUUGGGUAACCAUGAUAUGCUGCUAGGUGUCACUCAUGGUUUGUGGAAGCCCUAAAGAUUAGCAAACACUAAUUUUAAGGGAGAAUUGAAAUGUGGUUUCAAUUCACAAUCGAUCGUUAAGAGUAACAAUGGCCCACUACCUCGCUAAAUAGAACCUAAUGGAUCGUACACCGAGUAAGGAUGUUGGUGAAGAAAUUAAAUGAAAUGGAUAAGCAAUUAAAUGGUUUAAUUGAAGAAUGGUCAAGAUUAAUUAAUUAGUUAAUUAAUUAUACGAAAUGUAUGUAUUGGGCUUAUAUGUUGGUUUUGGGUUUCGGGGCCCAAAAGCGUUUUGGUCCAGAAGGCCCAUUAUGUUUAAGUUGUAUGACAACUAAAACAAAAUGGGCAAUUAGCCCAAUCAAUUUGAUAUGGCCGGCAAUUAGGGUCAGAAGUGUCAAACUUGGAUUAAUUACAAGUUUGCCACUCACUUGUGAUGAAGUAUAAAAGCAACUUUAUAGCUUUAUUUUCAUUUAGGGUUUUUCUUGGUGAAAUGAGGUGAAACUUUUUCUCUCAUUUUCUCUAAAGAGGCCGGCCACCUAGGGAAGGAAUAGCUAGCAAUCUCUUCUUCCCUAAGUCAUCCAUUUCAUCUUUACAUCACAUCCUUGGUGAAGAGACUUAGAGACAUCAAGAUUUUGAUGUUUUGGAGAACAAAUCCUUAAGUCCUCAAAGAAGCAAAGGAGCACUAAAAGGAAGAAAAUCACAAGGAAUAUCCAAGGAGCAUGGAGGUGACUUGAAGGCCCUCCACUUGGGUGAAUCCCUUGUGUAAUCAAGGAUGAGCUUCAAGGGUAAAGAAACUCUAAAUAUUUCCUUCUCUUUAUUGUUGUUAAAGAGUUUAUUGGUUCACCAUAUACUAGGCUUUGAAAGUCAUGGGUUUUAUGAAUUGUUUUUGAAUGCAUGUCUACAUUAAUGUGUUAAUAGUUUGCAUAUGUAUUCAAAUGUUCUUACUUGUUCUUAGCUAGGACAAAAAAUUUCCUUCAGAUGCAACCCUACGAAUUUGCAUCAAAACACUUUGGUUACCCCCCCCCCACACUUAAAUCAAACAUUGUCCUCAAUGUUUCAAGCAUAAACUAACACAAUUAACAAAUAAACAAACAAGCAGCAACUAACAUAAUAAACAUGGCAGAAACGAAAUAAACAACAAAGAGAAGGGUUUAGGAACGCAAAUCUGGAAUUGGAGUGAUUCCUUGGUCUUCCUUUGUUGCAUGCAUGGGUUGCCUCCUAAGUAGCGCUUUCUUUAACGUCGUGCAGCCGGACGAAGCACCAAUUCACUCCCCAUUGGAGCCCACGGCAUGCAAGGGGAUGUCAUCCACGGCAUGCUCCACAAAGUUGUCAUAGUAUGGCUUCAAUCGGUGCCCAUUCACCUUGAAUUCUUGUCUAGUUUUCAUGCUUUGGAUUUGGACUGCACCAUGCACAAAAACAUUAGUAAUAACAAACGGGCCAACCCACUUGGAACGUAACUUACCAGGAAACAACCGAAGGCGGGAAUUAAAGAGUAACACUUUCUGCCCGAUUGAGAAUGAUUUGCCACGAAUCAUCUUGUCAUGAAAAGCCUUGGUCUUCUCCUUGUAAAUCCGAGCGUCUCAUAUGCUUCAUAUCUAAUCUCGUCAAACUCAUUUAAUUGGAGCUUCCUAUGUACUCCAGCGGCAUCAAUAUCCAUGUUAAAGGUCUUGACCGCCCAAAAUGCCUUGUGCUCAAGCUCCACGGGCAGAUGGCAUUGCUUGCCAUAGAUAAGCCGAAAAGGUGACAUGCCAAGAGGAGUUUUAUAGGCCGUUCGAUAAGCCCACAGUGCAUUGUCCAAGCGCAUGCUCCAAUCCUUUCUUGUUGGACCCACGGUCUUCUUUAAGACUUGCUUGAUCUCUUGGUUAGAAACCUCGGCUUAGUCAUUUGUUUGAGGAUUGUAAGGUGUAGAAACCUUAUGGGUGACGUUGUACUUCCUCAACAAUGCCUCAAUGGUGCGGUUACAAAAAUGGGAACCGCCAUCACUAAUUAGAACUCGAGGCAUCCCAAACCUAGCAAAAAUGUUAGUUUUCACGAAAUCUGCAACCACCUUAUAAUCAUUAGUACGGGGGGCUUUUGCUUCCACCCAUUUCGAGACAUAAUCCAUAGCGAGUAAUAUGUAAAGGAAACCAUGCGAUGAAGGAAAAGGACCCAUAAAAUCGAUGCCCCAAACAUCAAAAAUUUCAACAGGAAGUAUGACAUUUUGCGGCAUUUGAUCCUUUGCCCCUAUAUUACCCAUUCGUUGGCAACGAUCACAAGACAUACAAAAGGUUCUAGCAUCUUUAAAUAGAGUUGGCCAAUAAAAACCACAUUCUAAAACCUUAAGGGCAGUGCGUUGUGUCCCAAAGUGUCCCCCACAUGCAUAAGUGUGAUAGAAAGUUAAAAUUGAAUUAAACUCCAUAUCAUACACACACUUACGUACAAUAUGAUCCGAACAAUAUUUCCACAAGUAUGGAUCAUCCCAAACAUAAAAUUUAGCAUCCUUUUUUAAUUUAUCAUGUUGGUUUCUGUUUAGGGUGUUUGGAAUGUGUUUUGUCACUAAAAAAUUCACCAAGUCGGCAUACCAAGGCUCACUUACCUUCAUGGACAACAAUUGUUCAUCGGGGAAUGUCUUGGCAAUAGGUAGGGACUCCUCAGUAUGCACCAUUCGGCUUAGGUGGUCAGCCAUCACGUUUUCACUUCCCUUCUUGUCACGAAUCUCAAUAUCGAACUCUUGAAGUAACAACAUCUAACAAAUUAGCCAUGGCUUGGCUUCCUUUUUAGUGAGCAAGUACUUCAAAGCUGCAUGGUCAGUGAAAACAAUUACUUUAGUACCAAUUAGAUAUGAUCUAAACUUAUCUAAAGCAAAAACAACGGCAAGAAGUUCUUUUUCUGUAGUGGAAUAGUUCAAUUGGGCAUCAUUCAACGUCCGUGAGGCAUAGUAUAUCACAUGCGGCCUUUUGUCCUUCCUUUGUCCCAAAACAGCUCCUAACGCAUAAUCGAACGCAUCACACAUAAGCUCGAAGGGUAGGCUCCAAUCCGGUGGGACAAUGAUUGGUGUCGUGGUCAACAACUUCUUGAGUUGGUUGAAUGAUGCCGUGCUCAUUAAACUCAAACGUCACAUCUUUUUGUAAGAGUCGGCAAAGAGGUUGUACCACCUUGGAGAAAUCUUUGAUGAACCUACGAUAGAAACCUGCAUGGCCAAGAAAAGAACGAACCUCUCUAACCGAAGUAGGAGAGGGUAAGUGACGCACAAGAUCUAUCUUUGACUUAUCAACCUCAAUACCAUUUUCAGAGAUAAUAUGACCCAAAACUAUGCCUUGUUUAACCAUGAAAUGACAUUUUUCCCAAUUAAGCACAAGGUUAGUUUCAGCGCAACGUUUUAAGAUCAAGCUAAGAUUAUGCAAACAACCAUCAAACGAAUCACCAAAGACGCUAAAAUCAUCCAUAAAAACCUCAAUUAUUUUCUCAACAUAAUCAGAAAAUAUGCUCAUCAUGCAUCUUUGAAACGUUGCAGGUGGAUUACAUAAACCAAAAGGCAUGUGACGAUAAGCAAAUGUACCAAAAGGGCAUGUAAAAGUGGUAUUUUCUUGGUCCUCGGGUGCUAUGACAAUUUGAUUAUAACCAGAAUAACCAUCAAGAAAACAAUAAAAAGCGUAACUGGCUAACCUCUCAAGCAUUUGAUCAAUGAAUGGCAAGGGAGAGUGAUCCUUCCUUGUAGUGGCGUUUAGCUUCCUAUAGUCGAUACACACUCUCCAACCAGUUUGAAUGUGAGUAGGCACAAGUUCAUUCUCUGCAUUUGCUACCACCGUCACUCCGGAUUUCUUCGGAACGCAUUGAACAGGCGAAACCCACCUACUAUCCGAGAUUGGAUAGAUAACUCCACAAUCUAAAAGCUUGAUGACUUCUUUCUUCACAACUUUCAUCAUAGGUGGGUUGAGUCGGUGUUGAGCCUCUCGAGAUGUUUUAGACCCCUCCUCCAAAAGUAUGUGAUGCAUGUAACUUGUGGGGCUAAUUCCUUUAAUGUCGGCCAACAUCCACCUAAUUGUUGUUUUGUACUCCUUAAGCACCCUCACUAACUUACCUUCUUCUUGUGCCGUGAGCAAAGUGGAAAUGAUAACGGGCAACGUCUCAUUCUCUCCCAAGUAAACGUACUUCAAGUGACUAGGCAAUGGCUUAAGUUCAAGUGUAGGUGCCUGCACAACUGAUGGAAGCAUCUUAUUAGCCGAAACUGAACUUAAAAUAGGGUCCAAAAACUUACCAGAUUGUGAUGGCAAUGACUCAAGGGCAGCCACCAUCUCAAUGACUUCAUCACUAGGGGGUACGGCAAGGGAGAGUUCUUGCAUGCCGUGAGUGUGCAUGGGUGUUGUCUCAACGUCUUGUUUGUCCAUUCCUCGUGCAAUGACCAAUUCAAGUGCAUCGUCAUUCAAUUUGUCAAAAUGGUCCUGCGCCAAAGAGUCAAUUACAUCAAUAGCAAAACAUGAAUGAUUCUCACUAGGAUAUUUCAUAGAAUCAGAAAGAUUGAAAUUAAUAACUUCCCCAUCAAACUCCAUCGUCAAUGUUCCAUUAAACACAUCAAUCUUUGUCCGAUCCGUUUUCAUGAAUGGCCUUCCAAGGAUGAUGGGCAAUGAAAGGGCAUGGUCUGAUUCAUCCAUCUCAAGCACGUAGAAAUCCGCCGGAAAGAUCAAAUGAUUAACUUGCACUAAAACAUCUUCCAAAACUCCCUUUGGAUAGGCAUUAGAUCUAUCGGCUAAUUGUAUAAUCACACCAUCAUUUUUCAACUCUCCUAGGUUCAUAGAUGCAUGACAUUUAUGGAUGCACCUAAGUCUAACAUGGCAGAUUCAAACCUAGUAUUACCAAUGACACAAGGAAUUGUAAAACUACCCGAAUCUUUGCAUUUAGGGGGUAGUUUGCGUUGCAAGAUGGCUGAGACAUUUUCACUUACCUUUACAACCUCCUUGGUCAAAAUCCUCUUCCUAGUGGUGCAAAGUUCUUUCAAAAAUUUACAUACCUUGGUACUUCCUUAAUUGCAUCCAAAAGAGGGAUAUUGACUUGAACUUUCCUAAAUGUCUCUAGAAUGUCCUUUUCAGCUUCCUCUUUUGUUUGCUUGAACCUACUAGGAAAAGGGACAUUCAAAGGAAAAUCAUUAGUAGGAAUGGAAUUGGACACGUUCUUACCUUUAUUGGACAUAUUGGAUGGCUUAGGAGCCAUGGGAACUUGCGGCAAUGGGAGUUCCUUCCUUGCUGUGGGCAUGCUUUGCUCCUCCUCUUUGAUGAUCAACUCUUCCACCUCAUUUGGGGCUGAUUUGGAUGGUUAGGGGGCUGCUCCCACUUGUUUCCCACUUCACAACAUGAUUGCCUUGGCAGAUUCAAAGCCUCAUUUCGGAUUCACAGCGGUUAAACUAGGCAACUUGCCUUGCUCUCGAAAUUGGCCCACAAACUCCGCAAUCUGCCCUACUUGCUUCUCCAACUCGUCCACCUUCUUGUCCUUAAUUUGCAUACUCUGCGCCAUAGAAGUUAGUAAUUGAAAAUUUUGAUCAUUAUCAAUAGACGAACCUGAUUUGUUUUGGGCAGGUUGUGCUUAGGGUUGAGUUGGUGCAAACGGCUUUUGAUAGAAACCCGGGGGUUAUUGCCUAAAUGUGCUUUGGUGUGGGCCUUGUUGGGGUUCUCGCCAUUUGAAAUUUAGAUGAUCCCUCCCACGGCAUUGAGGGUUUCCCACCCUCCAUUCUCUAUCAAUUGUGGGCACUUGUCCGUAAGGUGUCCUUGCUUGGAGCACAUGCCACAAGCACUCAUAUUUUGCACUUUUGGUCGUUCCACAACUUGAGAAAGAAAAGUAGUAAGGUUAGCCAUUUGAUUUUGAAAUUCGGAGAUGGCACUUACCUCAUUCACUUGGUGUUGUCGUGGGGUGCUCCUUUGUCCAACACCUUCGUAUUGUUGAGCGUUCAACGCUCGAUUAGCUAUCAAGGUCUUUACUGUCGUGGGAUCUUGUCCACCAAAGCUCCUUCCGCCGAGGCAUCUAGCAUUUGACGUUCGAUUGGUAGAAGCCCCUCGUAGAAGUAUUGUAGAAGAAGCUCCUCCUUCAUUUAAUGCUAUGGACAAGAAGCAACAAGAGAUUUAAAACGUUCAUAAUAUGUAGGAAAAGACUCACCUUCAUCUUGUUGAAUUCCACUUAUCCUUUUUCGUAAGAGAAUGACUCGAGAAGUUGGGAAAAACUUCUCCAAGAAAGCCCGUUUCAUGCUCUCCCAAGAUGUGACCGUUCUGGGAGCUAAUUCAUAUAACCAAUCUUUCGCCUUUUCCAUGAGAGAAAAGGGAAAAGCCUUCAUCUUCAAUAUACUCCCGUCAACAUUGAUUGGAGUCAUGCUCGAACACACCACCUUGAACACUUUCAAGUGCUUGUUAGGAUCAUCCAUGGACAACCCAUGGUACUUCAGAAUGUGGUGUAGCAAACUUGACUUCAACUCAAAGUCCUCGGUCUUUCCUUGGGCAGCUGCGGGAUAUUGAAUACAUAGAGGUGUGGCAUUGUCCAAUCCCGAAGCCGAAAGCUCCUUGAUUGUACAAUUGUCUUGUGUCAUGGCUUCCUCUACUUCACCCACUCUUGCUGUGGGUUCCUUAACUUCAACCUCAACUUCGGCUUUUGAAUUUGAACUUGAUUCACUAGGCUCUGGAUUCUUUCUUUUUCAUCUCAAUUCUCGCUCAAUUCGUCGUCAAAGUCCAAGAUGUGUUCACGAAUCGGAUGAGAACUCCGAGUCAUAAACUAGUACCUAAAAACAAGAAAACAAAACAGGGUCAGAAUCUGGAAUUAAUUAAAACAACUGAAAUAAAACAAUCCAAGGGAUUAGCAAUGUUGCUAAUCCCCGGCAACGGCGCCAAAAAUUUGAUGCGAAAUAUAUAAGCACACAAAUUAAACCCUCUUUUUAUCAAUUGUAGUAAAGAAUGUAAGUAGAGAUUGUUCUAGGCCGGGGAUUAGGAAGGAUUGCCAAAUCACUUGAAAACUGACUCAAAACGUAAAAACAAAGUUUAAACACUAAACUAGACUCAAGAAUGCAAAACUAAACUAUAAAACACCAAAACAAACCGAAAGACUCAAAACAGCAAAUAAACACUCAAAACUGCCUUAAAAACACUUUCUGGGCAGUUUUGAACACCUAACACUAAAUUGGACGAAAUUGGGUUAUAACUUGACUUAAGACCCUUAAAAACACAAACUAAAUUAAUUUCUACUUAAUCUAACACUUUAAAAUAAAUGGGGAAUUGGUUUUGACGAAAAUUGAAAACAAAAACAAAACUUGUAAAUUGAACAGAUUCUAAAACGAAUUUGAUAAAAGUGAAUGGAUGGAAAGCUAGCUAAGGGGUUAUUCUCCACACAUGUCACACUUGCAUACAAAACGAUUUCUAAUUGCUUCUCAAUAAACCAUGAAUUCCCAACACCCCAAGUUAAUUAGAUACGCUUAAAUUAACUUUCAGAUUUCCCUUAAGUUAAUGAAUUGGAUGGAAAAGCGCAUCGCAACCAAAUUAUUCCUCAAAAGUUCCCUAAAUGAAAGCACAUAAUAGAGAUACAAUUAAAGAUCAUUACGUUCAAUGGAAAUCAUAAGUACUGACGAGGCACUCGUAACUAUGAAAGCGCAUGAUACUUAUGCCAAGAAUUUACUUAACACGAUUGUGAUCAACAACCUUUACUACUUGUGAAUAUAAGUUCGUAACGAUUAGGUGAAAUUCCCUUAUAUCCUAGCAUUAAACUUAUGCAUGAAAAUUAAGCGUGCACUCUUAACCAACACACACAAAUCAGUUUUAAUUCAUGUAGAUAAGCAAAUUGAAUUUACAACUUAUGAAACGCAAUUAGAAGUAAUCAAAUCAUAUACCAAGCAUAAACAUGGUUUCGAAUCCCCCCUAGCCAAGGGGGGUUUAGUUCCUCAUAUGCACAAAGAAAGAUAAAUAAGUUUAGACAUUGAAAUCCAAAGAAAGAGAACACCUAAAAUGCUCCAACUUCGCAGCAGGUGCAUCCACGAUUCCUCCUUCCUCCUUAUUGCGGCACAGAGACUUUGGACAGGUUCUUUGGGUUAUUAAAUGGUGUAGAAUGGAUGGGGGAUGUAUGGUGGUGUUUAGGAUGGAUGGGUGGUGCAGCAAGGGUUGAUUUUUGGCAGAAAUUUGAGAGAAUGGUGGUGGAAGGAUGCGGCAAAGGUAGGAGAUGAGUUUCUGACGUGAAUGGUUGUGUAUGAGAGGUGGUAAAUUUGGCCAAAGGGGUUUAUGAGUAUAUAUAGGCAUUCAAAACCCUAGGUAAAUCAGAUAUGGACUUGGAUAACCCAAAUCCAUCAGGAAAUAGGUUUAAACAAUCAGAAUUUACAAGGAAACAAGCCCAAAGGUGCGGCAAAUAAGGGAUAGGGAGGAUAGGGCUUCUAGAAUGUCUUGCAAGGCAAGGAAAACAGAUUCUAACAAGGGCUAGGUGCGGUAGGUUUUGGGAAAUAAGGAUAGGGCUUCUAGAAAGCCCAAAACCAAGAGGAAAUAUGCCCUAACCCACGGCAAGGAUGAGAAAAUAUUCUAAAACCCUUCUUUGUGUCUUCCAAUGCUUAGGAACCUUUUAAUGUUGCUGAAACAUAAGGCCAACUAGGUUUAGGAAAGAUCAACCCAAAGUAGAAACUUUUAGGCUUAACUUUCCUACUUCAAGUAGGAAACCUUGUUUGAGUAGGAAUCUUCAUUCUUUUAGGAAUCCAUCUUCAACUAGGAAUCCCUAGUUGAUUAGGAAUCCUUCUUCAAUUAGGACUCCUUCUUGGACUAGGAAUCCUCAAAUCUUCAAAUCUUCAAUUUCGCCUAAACCUUUUGUUCCAAGCAUGUGCUAUUCACUCUAAGCUCACAUUUGCUCCAAAAAGCUCCAAUUUGCAUCAUUUUGUAUAAUAUGCCCUUAAAACCUGAAAAUACAUAAAACUAGCUUAAAAGACUACUUAAACUAAGAAAACAUAACGAAAAUGCAUAAGAACUAGCUAACUAAGGCGCAUAAAUAUGCUCUUAUCAAUGUCCAUGAAUAGCUCAGCAACUCUAACAAAUAUACAAGAUAAGCUCACAGUUCAUGUUCCCCCAGAAGACCUGCAAUCAAUUUAGACAUUAAACAAUGAUCAACGCACUGCAUUCGACAUAAUUAUGAGAGCUGUUACAUGUAAUCAAUCAUCAACUUUCUUUGUAGAUGGCCCCAGUUGUACUGGAAAGGCUUACCUUUAUCGUGCAAUUCUUGCUUCGCUAAGGAAUGAUGGCCUCAUAGCUAUUGCAGCAACCACAUCUGGUAUUGCAACUACUAUUUUACCCAGAGGAAGAACAACACAUUCACGAUUUAAGAUUCCUAUCGACUUAUUGUCCACCAACACUUGUUCUAUAAGCAAGCAAGGAAUCAAAUUUGGCGGAGCUUCUAAGGCGUUCAGCUAUGCUUAUAUAGGAUGAAGCCACUAUGACUCAUAGGAAAGCAUUUGAGGCUUUAGAUAGAACCUUACGAGAUAUAACGGGCGUGGAAACACAAUUUGGUGGCAAAGUGAUGAUUCUUGAAGGAGAUUUUCGUCAAUUUCUUCUCGUUAUGCCUUAUGGAACCAAAGUGCAACCGAUAGAUGCAUGCAUUGUAAAAUGCUCAUUAUGGAAUGAGAUUCAAGUUAUCCGGUUGAAACAUAAUAUGAUAGCUCAACAAGACCCUAAUUUUGAAGAAUUCCUACUCCGUAUUGGUGAUGGAAAUGAGUCAUUUGUAAAAGAUGAUAUGAUUAGAAUCCCGAAUUCAGGUGUUAUUCCUUGGCAUGGCGAUGAAUCAAUUGGUGAGCUUAUUGGUUUUUGGUUUUGUAUUUCCAAGAUUAGAGGAGAAUGCUUUCAACUUUUCUUAUAUGGUUGAUAGGGCUAUCAUCACCCCAAGGAAUAAAGGCGUUGACAAGUUAAAUGAAGUGGUGUUAAACUCAUUUCCUAGGGAACAACACAUUUAUUACUCUUUUGAUAGAGUUGACGAUGACCCUCAAAACUUAUAUCAACAAAAGUUUUUGAAUUCUAUAACUCCAAGUGGCUUACCUACUCAUAAGUUGACUUGGAUUUUGCAAUGGCAUAUGAUCUCUUCUUAGCCAACACCUUCUUUAAGAAGAGAGAAGAACAUGUGAUCACCUACAAGAGUGGGUCGUCAAAAACACAAAUAGAUUUUCUUCUAAUGAGGAAAGGGGAUCGUAUAACUUGUAAGGAUUGCAAAGUUAUACCAGGAGAGAGCGUGGCUAAUCAACAUCGCUUGUUGGUGAUGGAUGUACAUAUCAAAAGAGUAAGACAAAAGAACAAGACUUGGAAGUGCCCAAGGACUAGAUGGUGGAAUCUAAAAGAAGAAAAACAAGCCAUUUUCAAAGAGAAGGUAAUCACCCAAUGUGUGUGGGAUAGAGAGGGGGAAGCUAGCCAAAUGUGGGAUUCCAUGGCUAGUUGUAUCCGAAAAGUAGCAAAAGAGGUAUUAGGAGAGUCCAAGGGCUUUGCCCCACACCAAAAGGAAUCUUGGUGGUGGAAUGAGGAGGUACAAACAAAGGUGAAGGCUAAGAAGGAAUGUUGUAAAGCCUUAUACAAGGAGAGGACUGAUGAAAAUGGUGAAAGGUAUAGAAAAGCGAAGCAAGAGGCGAAGAAAGCUGUCAGAGAAGCUAAGUUAGCGGCUUACGACGAUAUGUAUAAACGACUAGAUACCAAAGAAGGAGAGUUGGAUAUCUAUAAACUAUCUAGAGCAAGGGAAAAGAAGACAAGGGACCUAAACCAAGUGAGGUGCAUCAAGGAUGAGGAUGGAAAGGUUCUUGCUACAGAGAACGCGGUUAAAGACAGAUGGAGAGGUUAUUUUCAUAAUCUUUUCAAUGAAGGACAUGAAGUGAGUGCUUCUUUAGGGGAGUUGAGUAACUCAGAAGAGUGUAGAAACUACUCUUUUUAUCGUCGAAUCCAGAAGGAAGAAGUGGUUGUAGCUUUGAAGAAGAUGAAGCAUAAAAAAGCAAUAGGCCCAGACGAUAUACCAAUCGAAGUGUGGAAACUUUUGGGAGAGACAGGUAUAACAUGGCUCACUGACCUUUUCAAUAGGAUUUUGAAAACGAAGAAGAUGCCAAAUGAGUGGCGAAUGAGCACUUUGGUGCCUAUCUACAAGAAUAAGGGCGACGUACAAAAUUGCAUGAACUAUAGGGGUAUUAAGCUAAUGAGUCAUACAAUGAAGCUCUGGGAGAGAGUCAUUGAGCAUAGAUUGAGGCAAGAGACACGGGUUUCGGACAACCAAUUCGGGUUCAUGCCAGGGCGCUCAACCAUGGAGGCAAUCUAUCUCUUACGAAGAUUGAUGGAAAGAUAUAGAGAUGGGAAAAAGGAUUUACACAUGGUCUUUAUAGAUUUGGAAAAAGCGUAUGAUAGGGUCCCAAGAGACAUUCUUUGGAGGAUUUUAGAGAAGAAAGGAGUACGAGUAGCAUAUAUCCAAGCUAUAAAGGAUAUGUAUGAAGGAGCAAAGACUGCCGUAAGAACUCAUGAAGGACAAACCGAAAGCUUUCCCAUAACUGUAGGAUUACAUCAAGGCUCAUCCUUAAGUCCUUACCUUUUUGCGUUGGUAAUGGAUGAGUUAACACGACAUAUUCAAGAUGAUAUUCCUUGGUGUAUGCUUUUCGCAGACGAUAUAGUGUUGAUAGAUGAAACUCAGGAAGGGGUAAAUGCAAAGCUUAACCUUUGGAGAGAAGUGUUGGAAUCUAAAGGUCUUCGCCUAAGCCGAUCAAAGACAGAAUAUAUGGAGUGCAAGUUCAGUGCAAAUGGAGGCCAAAACGAGUUAGGGGUGAGGAUCGGAGAUCAAGAAAUACCAAAGAGCGACCGUUUUCGUUACCUAGGAUCUAUCUUGCAAAAGAACGGAGAAUUAGAUGGAGAUCUCAACCAUAGAAUACAAGCUGGAUGGAUGAAGUGGAAGAGUGCAUCCGGUGUGUUGUGUGACCGCCGUAUGCCACUGAAGCUCAAGGGAAAAUUUUAUAGGACGGCAAUAAGGCCGGCGAUGCUGUAUGGCACAGAAUGUUGGGCGGGUGAAACAUCAACACGUACACAAAAUGGGUGUAGCGGAGAUGAGGAUGCUUCGUUGGAUGUGUGGGCACACGAGAAAGGAUAAGAUUAGGAAUGAGGAUAUCCGGGGUAAAGUAGGAGUAGCCGAAAUUGAAGGAAAGAUGAGAGAAAAUCGGUUACGGUGGUUUGGACAUGUGCAAAGAAGGCCUACUGACGUUCCGAUUAGAAGAUGCGACUAUGGGACAGAGGUUCAGGGCCGAAGGGGUAGAGGAAGACCUAGGAAAACUUUGGAAGAGACUCUAAGAAAAGACUUAGAGUACUUGGAUCUAACGAAGGACAUGACACAGGAUCGAGCACAAUGGCGUUCUAAGAUUCAUAUAUAGCCGAUCCCACUCAGUGACUUGGAUUUUCCAAGUCUCCAACCGAGAAGUUUUCCUCACUCGGGAAAUUAAGGGAACACUACCCCAACCUACAUGCUCCACUCAGAAAGCUUCAACAUACAAGCUUUAACAAAAGAAAAUUCAAAGAACUUAGCGAAGAAGGCUUUGGUGUAUUUAACACAAUACGUUGAAAUGAAGGAAAGCUUAUUUAUUGAUAUCCCCGAUAAGCUACAAAUAUGUACAUAUACAUGAGUCAAAAUAAGCACACAAGAGGGAGCCUUCACAAAGGUUGCUUAGGAGAAGUCUCAGCAGUCGGUAGAGCCCCAGAAAGAGAAGGCACCGGAGGGGGAUCAUUUGGAGCCUCAGUACUGGACAGAACCCUAGAAGGAGGAGGCAUCAGAGGUUGAUCAUUUGGAGCUUCAUUACGCGGUACAGCCCCAGAAGACGAAGGCAAUAAAUGCCUUUGGAACAAACCCACAAAUCUCUGAUGAUCAAGUAAAACCUGACCAUCAGUUUCCUUCAUCUGGUCAAGCUUCCUCUUCAUGUUUGUAGCAUAGUCAUGUGCGAGCCGGUGCAACUGUUUAUUCUCAUGCUUGAGCCCUCUAAUCUCCUGUUUGAGACUCAUCACUUCAGCCGCCAAUGAUUCAACUUGGCGGGUUCGAGCAAAUAGGCGUUGUGCCAUAUUAGACACAGAACCUGCACACUGAACACUGAGAGCCAGCGAAUCCUUAACAGCUAACUCAUCAGACCGUUUGGAAAGUAGUCUGUUAUCUUUGGGAGUGAGAAGGUUCCUGGCCACCACCGCAGCGGUCAUAUCAUUCUUCAUCACGGAAUCCCCAACGGUAAGAGGACCAGUAGGGGAGACGAAGGAUGGGCGCCAUAUGUUGUCUGGAGAAGGCGGGGCUGCCUCUUCAACAAGGUUCAAGUCAAAACGACGGUCGGAGGGGCCAGACAUUUUCAAAGGUGUUGAAAGAGAGAAGAGGUCGGACAAAUCAAGAUCUUAGAAGUGCAAGAAUGAAGCUUCUACUGGUGGAGAUUCAAGUGUGCUUUGGAACUUAAUGCCAGCCCCUAUAAAAAUCUGCACUCGACGAAGCUUCAGAAAUCGAAGAGGCGCCUGCUCAGAAAUCGAAGAGGCGUUUGCUUUCUCAAAAGCUGGGCUGCUUAGAGAUCACGAGGGUUGAUCUCAGAAAUCGAAGAGGCGUUUGCUUUCUCAAAAGUUGGGCUGCUCAAAUACCACGAAGGCCGAUCUCAAAAAUCGAAGAGGCGCUCGCUUUCUCAAAAGCUGGGCUCCCCAGAGACCACGAGGGCCGAUCUUAGAAAUCGAAGAGGCACCUACUUUUCCAGCCUUUUCCAGCCUUGUCAGCACCUGUCACACGCACACUCAGUUUUGCGGAAAUUAUGGGCAUUCUGUCAAAGACUUCUGGGGAAGUAGAAAACACAUGAAUCUUACUGUUCAAUCACCCACUUCCCAUACGCAACAAUAGCUCAUGGGUACCACAAAUAACUUUGCCAAAGUUCUCUGCCAAAGUUGAGCACGUGAAGCUUGCAGCUCCCACUACAUCGCUCUGACCAAGAAGGGUAAAAGAAUAGCAAAAGAAACAGCACUAACAAAGUUUAGACCCAUAAAUUUUUGAACGGUCUAGCUACCAUAUUAUUACCCACAAGGGUAAAGGAACAGUACCACUGCUGGAUAAUUGGAAAGUCCCUGUGUGUCAACCUCUGUGCUUCGUGGCAAGGUAGACUAGCAAACAUGCCCAACCUUUACUCACAUUCGAGAAAACACUCCCAAUAAGAUUGCUUGCUCAAAAUCGAAGAGGCACCGUCCUCCGAAUCUCGAGAGCCAGACUCCCAACAUGACUACUUUCUUAAAAAAUCGAAGAGAGGGUAAAGGAACAGUACCAUUGCUGGAUAAUUGGAAAGUCCCUGUGUGUCAACCUCUGUGCUUCGUGGCAAGGUAGACUAGCAAACAUGCCCAACCUUUACUCACAUUCGAGAAAACACUCCCAACAAGAUUGCUUGCUCCAAAAUCGAAGAGGCACCGCCUUCCGAAUCUCGAGAGCCAGACUCCCAACAUGAUUACUUUCUCAAAAAUCGAAGAGACACUGCUCCCCGAAUCUCGAGAGCCAGACCCCCAGCAUGAUUGCUUUCUCAAAAAUCGAUGAGGCAUCGUUUCUCCGAAUCAAUCGAAGAGGCGCUCGCUUUCUCAAAAGCUGGGCUGCUCAGAGACCACGAGGGCCGAUCUCAGAAAUCAAAGAGGCACCUACUUUUCUAGCCUUGUCAGCACCUGUCACACGCACACUCAGCUUUGCAGAAAUUAUGGGCAUUCUGUCGAAGACUUCUGGUGAAGUAGAAAGCACAUGAAUCUUACUGUUCAAUCACCCACUUCCCACACGCAACAAUAGCUCAUGGGUACCACAAAAUAACUUUGCCAAAGUUCUCUGCCAAAGUUGAGCACGUGAAGCUUGCAGCUCCCACUACAUCGCUCUGACCAAGAAAGGUAAAAGAAUAGCAAAGAAACAGCACUAACAAAAGUUUAGACACAUAAAUUUUGAAGGUCUAGCUACCAUAUUAUUACCCACAACUGUAAAGGAACAGUACCACUGCUGGGAUAAUUGGAAAGUCCCUGUGUGUCAACCUCUGUGCUUCGUGGCAAGGUAGACUAGCAAACAUGCCCAACCUUUACUCACAUUCGAGAAAACACUCCCAAUAAGAUUGCUUGCUCCAAAAUCGAAGAGGCACCGUCCUCCGAAUCUCGAAUCUCGAGAGCCAGACUCCCAACAUGACUACUUUCUCAAAAUCGAAGAGAGGGUAAAGGAACAGUACCAUUGCUGGAUAAUUGGAAAGUCCCUGUGUGUCAACCUUUGUGCUUCGUGGCAAGGUAGACUAGCAAACAUGCCCAACCUUUACUCACAUUCGAGACAACACUCCCAACAAGAUUGCUUGCUCCAAUCGAAGCCAAAAUCGAAGAGGCACCGUCCUCCGAAUCUCGAGAGCCAGACUCCCAACAUGAUUACUUCCUCAAAAAUCGAAGAGACACUGCUCUCCGAAUCUCGAGAGUCAUACCCCCAUCAUGAUUGCUUUCUCAAAAAUCGAAGAGGCAUCGUUCUCCGUCUCGAUCUCGAAUCUCGAGAGCCAGAUACCACAGACCACUUUUUCAAAGUGCUCUGACAGAGUUAAAACAUGUGAAACAGGCAGCUCCCACUACCGUGCUAUGACCAAGCAGGGUAAAGGAAUAGCAUUACUACUUGUUGUUAGGGAGACUCCUAUAUAUGUCGACCUCCAUCCCCAACGGACAGGCAGACCUGCAAAAAUGCUCAACCCUUCAUCAUAUCUGAGAGGGCACUCCCAACGAAGCCUUUCGAAAUAUUCAGCUUUCUUUCCCCCCGAUAAUACCUCUGCAAACAAGCUAUACUAGAGCAAGAAUAUCUCAUAUCAUCAGGGUUAAAAGCAAGAGUAUCCCAUAUCAUGCUUUUUCCCUGUCUUUUCUUUUGGCCUUGUUUUUACCUGCAAGACAAGGAGAAAGAGAGCAAUCAGUCAGCACUUGGAAUCAAGCUUCCAGCCAGGAACUGACUGCCUGGAACCCCUUACCUGAUUACUUACCUGGCAUUGCUCUCGAGUACUCAUCUUCAACAUCUUAUGUUUCCAGGGAAGAUUCCGCAUCUGCUUGAGGAACAGAUAGGGCAAGUGCGAAGGAUACAAGGAAGCAUGUGGAGACAAGCGUAACAGCACACGUGCCGAUACAUUCAUUACUCUGUCAAAAGCAAAAGUAUCCCAUAUCAGCAGGGUGGAACGUACUCUAGAUUUGAUGGACUUGUUUUGACCCUCAAAUUCUUCAGUCGGCCUUAUACUCUGAAGGAAACCAGAAAACCCUCCAGCUCAGUUCAAGAAUAAGCCUGUGGAAAGUUACUUCUUCAAAAGCAAAAGUAUCUCAUAUCAUCUCUUCUCAUUUUUCUUCUCUUUUAUCCUUCAUGCUGCUGCAAGAUGGGGAGAAGGUGAACAAUCAGUCGGAGCUCUGAUUGCUUACCUUGUCUGUCACCUCUUUCAGCAGACCCCCUAGCUCGGCGACUUGGGGGACUCCUACUACAUGGUUUGUAUCGCGCUUGACCAAGCCUGAAACUACAAGUAAGCUUCAAGUGAAAUUGAUACAUUACCUUGUGCAUCUCCACCAGUUAAAGAUACCACCCCUGGAUGGAGGAAGAGUACUUCCAGAGAAGAUGCCACAUCUACCUAUGAGACAGAUAAGGCAAGUCAAGACGACACACCACACUCCGAUAUACUUAGAAGUUUCGUGAUUACGAGAUCAUUCUCCCACAAUAUUUCCUAAUGUCAUUUGUACUAAAUCAUUCACUUGUACUCACUAAAUGAGAGCUUGAACCUAUGUACUUGUGUAAACCCUUCACAAUUAAUGAGAACUCUUCUAUUCCGUGGACGUAGCCAAUCUGGGUGAACCACGUACAUCUUGUGUUUGCUUUCCUAUCUCUAUCCAUUUAUAUACUUAUCCACACUAAUGACCGGAGCAAUCUAGCGAAGAUCACAAAAAGCGAUCGUUUUCGCUACCUAGGAUCUAUCUUGCAAGAGAACGGAGAAUUAGAUGGAGAUCUCAACCAUAGAAUACGAGCUGGAUGGAAAGAGUGCAUCCGGCGUGUUGUGUGACCGUCGUAGGCCACUGAAGCUCAAGGGAAAAUUUUAUAGGACGGCAAUAAGGCUAGCGAUGUUGUAUGGCACAGAAUGUUGGGUGGGUGAAGCAUCAACACGUACACAAAAUGGGUGUAGCGGAGAUGAGGAUGCUUCGUGGGAUGUGUGGGCACACGAGAAAGGAUAAGAUUGGGAAUGAGGAUAUCCGAGGUAAAGUAGGAGUAGCCGAAAUUGUAGGAAAUAUGAGAGAAAAUCGGCUCCGGUGAUUUUGAACAUGUGCAAAGAAGGCCGACUGACGCUCCGGUUCGAAGAUGUGACUACGGGACAGAGGUUCAGGGCCGAAGGGGUAGAGGAAGACCUAGGACAACUUUGGAAGAGACUCUAAGAAAAGACUUAGAGUACUUGGAUCUAACGGAGGACAUGACACAAAACCGAGCGCAAUGGCGUUCUAGGAUUCAUAUAGCCGACCCCACUUAGUGGGAAAAGGCUUUGUUGUUGUUGUUGUUGUUGUUGUUGCUAUUUUUCAUUCAGACUUGAGUAUAAAAUUUGGUUCUCUUUAAUCUAUUUAUGAAUGAAAGAACUACUUGGUCUAUUUCUAAAGCUUGAUAAAAUAGUUGAGGCCCCUAAUUCUUUUCUUUAAUUUUGAAUGCAUAGGGGUUGUUGUAUAGGAUAUGCUAAUCUUUGAAAAUGCAAUAUGAAAACUAUUAUGUAAUUCUAGGAGAGCUGAGUUAUUCAUGAUACAUAUAUAAGGUUAUGUCUUCUCUAUAUGCAAUUAAAUUCCUUUCCUUUUAUUAAUAUUUUUAAGAAAUAAGAGACUAUUUUGAGAUUGUGUAUUCACAUUAGCUUUGAUUUGUUGACUCUAAUGUUCUUUUCACUCUUUGUUGCAGGCCUUGCUCUCAUCUUUAGUAAUGUUCAAAAUUCAACCUUUGCUUGAAAGUUGGAAGUGGUACCAAAAUUCUGAAAUUAGUAAAGUUCCAUGUCAAAUCAUCAUUGGAAAUUAUUUCAAAAUGCGUUGUAGCCCAACUCAUGUGUACUCAGCAACUUCUAAUUUAUUCAAAUUUGGAGUGUUUAUGUAUUAUGUCUAUUGUAUUUUUAUCUGCAUUCUGGAAGUUAUGUAGAAUCUGCCACAUCCUAUACUCUACUUUUGGAUGUUUCAAUUAUGCCGAAACAAUAAAAAAAGAAAAUAAUCAAAAGUAAAUUUGAUUGCACACGUAUAUCGUGUGUGCCUAUUGCUAGUUGUAUUAAAUAUAUGUAAAUUUUGUAGCUAGUUCUUAUUUUAUGAAAUUUGGCUACAAUCAUCAGUUUAACAAUCUGAACUUUUUAUCUGCUUAGUGAUCUUAACCAUUCAACUCGUACGAAGCCAUAAGAAAACCACUAUAAAGUCUCCAACACUCUAAUCAUAUCAAGCACCAAAUAUAAACACUGAGGGUGCAUUUACUAAUCCGUAAUCAAACUAAGAGGAAUUGAAAUGAGGUGGAAUCAGAAUCAGAUUCAUGUUGAAGUUGUUUACUAAAAUUGUCUGGAAUCGGAGUAGGAAUGAUGUCGAGUCCAUAUAAGUUGUUUACUAAUUCACUUCAAUCGGAAUGAAAACUAGGUUGGUUACUAUAUUGCCCUUACAUAAAUAAAUUAUUUUGAUACUAAUUAAUUAAAUUAAAUUCUUAAUUAAAUUUAUAUAAUAAAAUUCAUCUAUAUAAACAUUUAUAAAUAGAUUUUAUUUAUUUAUUAAAAGAUGGCAUGAAUAAUGUUGAGUUCAUAUAAGUUGUUUACUAAUUCAUUUCAAUCGAAAUGAAAACUAGGUUGAUUACUAAAUUGCCCCUACAUAAAUAAAUUAUUUUGACACUAAUUAAUUUAAUUAAAUUUAUAUAAUAAAAUUAUCUAUAUAAAAAUAUAUAAAUAUGUUUUAUUUAUUUAUUAAAAGAUGGCAUAAUGAGUGUCAAAUGAAGGGCAAUGUUAGGAUAAUAAAAAACAAGUGAGGGCAUAAUAGAAAUAAAAGAUGCAUUCCCGAUUCCCCUACCCUUAGGGAAUUCAAAUACCUCACAAAAUUAAGGAAUCUCGUUCCUCCAAUUUCAGGAAUUGGAUUCCUUGUUUCGUGUAGGCUCCACCAUUUUUUUUAUUCCUUAAUAUUUAGUAAACACCAGAAUACUCCGUAAUCGGAAUUCAAUUAUGUUUCUUUAUUCCGUUUACCCUUACGUAAACAUGCCAUGAAAUUACUGGGAAUUAAAAAUAUUCUCAUUCAUUACAACAAGUAAAGUAAAGAAGGAUUAAUUAAUGGUAGCUCACUUGAAGAAAAAAAAUUUCUCUAAUGCUCCCCAUAGUAACGUAGAAACUGUAACCAGAGACCACUCACUCUUCAGAACGUAGAAAGUAGAAACUAGCCGAGCUGAUGCGCGUAAUGUUUUUCACUGUAAUCAUAAUCCGAGAUUUCGCUUAAAAUCUUCACUCUGGGACCUCCCCAUCUCACUAAAUUCUCAAAUUUACAUCUGGGUUUUCUUGUUUCUCUGGAUUCUGACUCAUUCAUUGCAAAUUUUUUUAAUGUUCAAGCACAAUGCGUCUCAUUCCUUCACUGACACCCACUGAUUUCUUCUGAUACAGCAUCUGGGUUUUUCUUAAGCUUCAGCUCCAACCAUUUCCCGGAAAUAAUUUUCUUCUUCUGGGUUUUUUGGCAUUUCAUCAAACAGUUGGAGUGCAACUGGGUCGCAAGUUACAUACCAACAUGAGUACUCCAUUGCCUACUCGCCAAUUUUUUGCUCAAUAUCUUGAAUCCGGUGACAACGGGCGUCAGAUAAAACAUCAAAUUCCUACUGAGGAGAAAGAAAUCGAAGCUCAAUCUGACAUCAAGGCCCAAGCCUUCAAGAAACCCAGAACUUCUGAAGCCGUAUCGAACUUGAAUGCGGCCUCGGGGCAGAACAAAAUGUUGCCUAGCUAUUACAAGACCCAACUGUGCCGUAAAUUCCAAAUGCGUUGUUGCUCUUCUGGGCAGAGAUGUUCCUUUGCUCAUGGCAUCAGUGAUCUCCGCAGGACUUUGCGUGAUGCGCAAGGAAUGGAAACUGAGAAGGGAAACUUGGCCAGGAGGACUUGGAAUGGUGAUCAUGGAAGUUCUAAUGGAGUGAGAAUAUGCAGGUCGUUCUUUAGAUGGGGAACAUGCAGUUACGGAGACAAAUGCCGCUUUCGUCAUGUCAAUCCUGAAAAUAUCAGAGAUAGUUCGUUCAUAAGCAUUUCAACUGCUGGUGGUUCUGCUCAAUUUGACUGCAAGAAGUCUCUGGGUAUGGAUUUUGACACUACUUAGUUUAAUAUGUUCAAAUGAUGAAUUUUUCGGGUCCAAUGUAAAUUACAAUUUUCGAUAGGAUACCUGUAUUGCAUAGCUUUGCUAAUUUUUCCUUUUGCGUGUACACGUGUGUUGAUCGUAUGAACGGUUUAGAUGGUCUACUCUUUGUUAGAGUAUCGGUUGAUUUCUCAUGUGCUCUAGAUUCGUUUAACUUGCACUACAAGAAAAGUUGUCAUAAGUAAAACCCAAUUGGUUCCGUAUCAGAAAAUUAAGAAACCACACUCGACCUUAUGAGCUUUUUCCGUUAAGAAGGUAUUGAAUCAUGCCAAUAGGUUGGACUGCUGAAGGACUUGAACAUUAGAAGAGGCACCCGGGACAUUCAUCUAAUGAACUAGGUAUUUAUAUUGCAUAAUGCUGAAUCACUGAUUGCAAUUUCCUCAGUUGUUAUUUCGAAAGGGGCCAGUCUUCUCCAAGUAUGAAAGAAAGCAAAAAAGACCAGACCUUUUCCAAUUUGAUUAAUUCAAAUUGAUAUUCGAUGCAUAUAAUUUCAUAGUGGCAUCAGACUUUCAUUUUCGUCUUGCUGCAGAUUUGGUAUAUAGGUUUAUUCUGAGAUUGUUUCUUUCUGUCUGGUUGUCUUGGCUUGUAAUUAAAGUGGGCCAACUUUUUCAUAUGCUUUUAUAAAAGUUGUGCAUUAGUCGUUCAUACAAUUUAACCACCAUCUUUUUCUAUUUAGUUUUACCUGGCAUUUCAAAUUGUGGCACAAAUUCAUCUGUAGCCAUCUCCAAUGAUAAACGAGAGAAGUUGAUGACCCUGUAGAACCGAUCUUGAUUCAAGAAUUGCUCACUAUUGACUGAUGUGCAAUGAUUUUAAAAGAACAAAUUUUGAGAUGCAUUGUUGUUAAUUUUGCAGAACUAAGGAAGCUUUGUGGCUAUACGACACUGGAAAGUGGAAGUGUCCAGGCUAACAGUUUAACUACUUAUACGAGGGGCAACAAUGCAUCAAAUCGUAGGAUGGGGGUUGCAACUGCUUAUAAACAAGGGCAGAGUACGCAUUGCAACUUAGAGUGGAACGAACUUGAGAAAAUGAGUCGCAUCUAUGCUGAUUGGAUUGAAGAUAUGCCUCUUCUACAUGGCCCACCAAGCAAAGUGGAGUUCUAGUCGAGUUUACUAUGACGUGUAAGGGAAUAGAUUACUUCUCUAUCCAUAGUAGAUAUAAGAAGCUUCUUGUAAUUUCCCCUAACACCUUCCUUUUGUUAUAUGAGUGUGGGAUUGACUUUGAGUGCGACCUGUAGUCUAGUAAACAGGAGAUGCUUCAUACCCAAGACCCUACAAAGCCAGAUUUUAAAUAUCUUGAUUUUCCGUAUCUCUCUUGUCUAGGGAUUUUAGCCGUUAUCUUUUGAAUUUUAUGCACGUUGUUAUUGUAAAGACAUAUUUUCAGUUUACAAGAUAUGGUGCGGCACUGUCACAUGAAUGUUUGGCUAGUGUGAACUAAGUCAAAAUCUUAUGUUCAAGUGCAGAUAACCUCAGAAAAUUCUCCUUUGCCUAUUUGAGUUCUUGAUUCUCACACGUGUGCGUCUGUUUGCGUGCAUGAAUUUGCAGUCUUCUUGCAAACUAAAACUAUAGUGGCACGACAAGGACUUAAACCCCUGUCGUGUUUGGGGCCAGGACGGCCUCAAGCCACCAGGAUAGCCCCUUCUGGAUACCUUUGGUUUCAGAUUUAGUACAAUAGGUCUUAAUCUUCACAUGCAGAAACAGUAAAAGAAAUAGACUUACUCUAACAUUUGAUGAACAUCAGAAUAUACAACGGUAGGCCAGUGGCCAUGCUAUUGGUAAUAGGUAUUCCAUGUUCGUCUCUUUGGAACUGGCGCUGGUAAAGCUCCAGACGAAUUUCUGUCUUUACUCUUUUGAUGAACUGCACUCGAACUCUACACCUCUAGGACGGAAAGAAUCACUCAAACGUUGUAGAUAUAUCAUCUCUGAAGAAUAUGAAACAUGUUCAUAUCCUUCACAUUCUGGAAUAUCCUAAUUUGGACGAAUUUGCAAUUUAUUGUGCAGAACUAGCACGUAAGGUUCCUCAGAUGUCAAUGAUGACAAUUCAUGUGUGCUUCCUUGGCCUUCAGUUUGUACAAGAUGCCAAAAUCUUCGGAGAAGAAUGUCCAGCGCUGAAGAAGCUGCCACUUAAAAGAGGACUGAAGCAUUCUACGACACUUGGCCGACAAUGGUGACCGGAGAGUCUGCUGUGAAUUGUAUAAUAGUAGAAUGCAUGAUUUUCUUAGAACCCAAUGUGAGGUUCAACAAUAACAAUAUACAGGAGCGUAGAGUGAAUGAAAAGAAUCACAUAACAUGGAAUUUCGAGGUUUUGAAUAUCCAAACAACAGCACAAUAUUGAAUAUAUUAUGGUAUGCACCUGUAUACAAGCAGAAUCAUCCUCCUUGUUCUUACGUAAGGCCCUCUCGCUGCCUCACUUAGUUGUCGUAUGUUGGAAGCAGGGAAGAAAAACUUUUCAAGCAUCUUCGUCCUCCCACUCUAAGAAAGACCACCAUGCCUCAUGUCCUCUGAUUACAAUAUUGCUCCCCUCAGCACUUGUGGAGUUGAGUGGAAGCUUUCUCAGCGUUGGAGAUGCAGUUACCUUGAUUUCUUUCAGGUACGGAAAGGGCAGGGGACUAUCAUGUAUGCUACUCAGCCGUGGAAGCAAACUCAAAAUCAGAACGGUAAGUUUUCCAAAAGGGUUAAGUUCUUGUACCACAUUUCCAACUCCACCCAUCUUUCCAGAUUGAUUAUUUUCUCAAUAUCACAGCAGGCUUCUACACGUAAAUGGCAGAGAUUCGGGGCAAAAAUGAGCCAAGUCAAGUCCGUUAGAUUUGGGCAUUGUGAUACUUCUAUACACUGAAGGCAAAGGAAGCAAUUUUGUUUUAUCAUCAUUAAAUCCCGGGGAUCAUUGGGUGCUCGUCCUGCCCAAUAAACUUCCAAUUGUUGAAUUGUGGCCAAGUGGCCAAGUGGACAACAAAAUAAAACAACUUUCGACUAAUAAACAAACCAUAAUAAAAAAAGGUGAAAGACAUCAUGAUGAGGAGGCAUCAUGAUUAUGUUUGUUGAAAAGAAAAAUUGAUGGUCAUGAUGAUGUUUUUGAGUUUUUUAUUGGGUGCUUUUGUAUUGAUGAAGUGAGGAUACGGAAGUGAGAAUGAUAGAGGAAGUGUGCACCAUUUUUCUGUUUUAGUAGCCCAUCUUUGAGAGAGCAGAGCUGCAGAGAGCAGAAAAGAAGAAGAAGGUGCUCUUCUUUUUGGUUAGCAAUCAUCCAUCAUAAUUAUUGUUGUAAUAGCUUUGAGCUACAUGUAUAGAGAAGAAAUUAUUCAUUAUAUUUCUUUCUCUAUUUGUUUAUGUGGUGUGUGAGAGCUAUUGGGUGUAUUGGGUUAUUUGGGUUGUGAGAUUGCCAACACUUUGUAAACUCCCAUUUGGUUGAUAGUGGAUUAUUAGGUGAGCUCCUACUGCUCCGAGGACGUACUCCAGUUACACUGACUGUUGAGGAACCUCGUUAAAUCUUGGUGUCUUUAAUAUUUUGUUCUUGCAUUUUCAUUUGAUAUAUUUCUUGUGGGUUAGCUUGAGUUGGUUCCAAAAAGGUUUGGUGCUAUCCUAGCACAACACCAAUUGUUUCCAAUUACGAGUAUCCCGAAUAUAAAGGGUAUCAAGAUGUUUCAUAUCCACCAAAGAUGAUAUGUCUAGAAAGCUUGCUUGGUUCUCGCCAUCUGAGAGCUGUAGAGUCCGAAUACGGGUCACCAAUUUGUGGUAGCUGAACAAUUUUUUGAAACAAGAGCUACUUCGUACACUUAACGUCAAGACUUCAAGGUAUUCCAAACCCUGAAUUUCCUCUAUCAGGGCACCCUCACCAUAAAAAAGAAUUCUAUCUGAAGAACCGCAUGCUAAAGUUCUCAAAACUUUUAGCACUGGAAAACUUGAUAUUAGAUUCUGUGGAACAAAAUCAAGCUCAUCCAUAUGCUCCAAGUCCAAAUACUUUAGCCUUACACAUUCCUUUAACUGAAUUGGCAACUUUCUUAAACCAGUUCUUGACAAAUUGAGAUGUUGUAAUGAAAUCAGGUUGGAAACGCCAGAUGGCAAUUUGGUUAUGUUCAGAUUUUGAGACAAAUCCAAAACUCGUAGAGUAGGCAUAUGAUCGAAAAAACCAUCAACAAUCAUAUUCAAAGGACCUCCUCCACCUCUAAGUAAUAGGGUCAACAGAUUUGGAGAUUUUGGUGUUUCAACCAGACUUUUAAAAUCACUACCAACCAAUGAUACCCUUUUUGUGUUCUUCCAUUUCUCCACAUUUGGCGUUCCCGGGAGACCUGUGUGCACGAGGAUACUCUCGUUUUUUUUCCCAGAGUCACAAGCUAACCACAAUGCCAUGUCACGAAUUACGUCAUGCAUUUUUACAAAAUUUCCUUCCUCUUCCAACAAACAUGCAGAAAGGAGAGUUCCUAUGAUAUGGUAAGUCUCAUUUUUUGUUUCAUCUACGUUAACAUACUCUUCAAACAUCUCCUCACACAUCCAAAAAUAUAGUAAAUCAUCUUUACUUAUCAGGAAAUCUUCGGGAAAUAGAGCACAAUAUAAGAAGCAUGAUUUGACUUUCUCACUUGGUAGAUUAUCGUAACUAAAUUUUAAGAGAGGAAAUACCUUGUCUCCCAUAAUGGAAAACUCUGAGGCAGAUUCCUUUAGAACACGAAUUGCAUGCUUCCAUUCGUGGGGUGUUUUCUUGCACGUCAUGGCUCGACCAACUGUAAUUAUUGCAAGUGGCAAACCGUCACACUCAUUUGCCACUACUUGCGCAAGUUUGGGGAUAUCUGGAUGACUUUGAAGAGUUUCUUUGCCCACCUUCUCCUGAAACAAGGUCCAUGCUUGGUUCGUCAUUAGACAAGUGACUUUCAUCUUUAUUUGAGCAUCCAUACAACUACAUAUAUGCUCCAAGCGAGUUGUGAAUAUUAUCUUCGACUUCUUAUUGUUAGCUGGACCAGGAAUCACUGGAUUAGGAAUCGCUGGAUUAGGAAUCCCAACUUUAAUCAUUUCAAUCGACUCCCAUAUAUCAUCCAACAAUAGCACAAAUUUCUUCUCACUCAAGAAGUUGAAGAUGUGUUGAGCUUUUUCAUGCGGCUCUUUGUGCUUCCAUUUGUCAUUAAGAAUCCCAAGCUUUUCACCAAUCUUAUCUUGGAGGAUUCCAAGUGUGUGGUCUUUUGAGACCACGAUCCAAAUCACAGGAUCAAAAUGGUAAGUAUUAAAGGCGAAGUUGUUAUGGAUUUUGGUAAGGAGGGUGGUCUUACCCACCCCUCCCAUUCCAUAUAACCCGAUUGUUCCCACCUGUUCAUCUUCAACAUGUCUCCAGACCUCAUCAAACAUCGACUCCAUCCCCACUGUUUGUUCAGUAGGCAUUUCAUAGACUACCCCUACCCGCUGUAAGCUUUCUGUUGCCACCUCUUCAAAGCUUCCCUUGCUUUUCAAGGCAUCCACUUCCACCAACAAUUUAAACACUUUUUUUCCGUACUUGUAGCUGGGAAAGUAGUUCUUGGAGCAGUAAACUCCGCCACAUGAUUUCUGAAUUUCUCGAUCUGCACAACUUUGAACUUCUCUGACUCGUGUCUCAAUAGUUUCCGCCUUUUUAAUCCACAGUUGUACCUGGUGCAAGCGCAUCAUGGAUGUCUGAAGCUCGGCAACCUCAACCCUUCUCACGAGAUCAUUCUUUAAAGCGGUCAGUUCUUGCAAAGAUCGAUCCAGAGCUUCAAGGUUUUCUCCGAGCUUGCUGAUGUAGUUUGCUUGCUGACUAAGGAAAGCCCAGCAGCAGAAGUUAGCCGUGGGAUCGCAAGGUAUGGAGACUGAGAAAAUGUUCCCCAUGGCUUGCAGGAAUACUGAAAAAUGAAAAGAUGUACUUUUGUUUGGGAGAGGAAUUAGGUAAUGUUUUGUAAAUAGGAUGAUAUGUGGAAUGAAUCAUUGCAAUUAAUGCCUGUACCUUUAGGUUAUGUCGGUCGGGCUCACCAGAAACUUUAUGUCACUUUAAUCAGAAGACCCAAUAAUUCACUCUUGACUUCCAGAUAGACAUUUUAUUCAUGUUGUGAAUUGAGUUCUGGAAUCAACAAGGAAAUUUGCAAAUUGGGUUUCGUUUGAGAUUUAAUGUUUUAUGGAGACAAGUUUCAGGUUAUUUGAAAUGAAAGGAAUUGGAUAUUUUCAUUUUUUUUUCUUUUUGCAUCAAGGUUCUUAAAAACACUAAGUGUUAAUCGGGCGGUGGGCUAGUGCCUAGCGCCUAAGCCGCUAGGCGGAAUCUAGGCGGGCGCCUAGACGGCCUAGAUGAAUUUAAGUAAAUUUCUUAUAUAUUAUAUGAAUUAAUUAAAUUUACUAUAUCAAAUGUAAAUAAUUAUUGAAUAAUAUGUUAUUUCUUAUAGAAGAACAUACAUAUGUGAAUGUUUUAUGUACAUAUCUAAUAUACUUGUCUCGGAAAAAAAACAAAAUAUUUUCUAAAUGAUUUAUAAUUUAUAUAACAUUUAUAUACAUAUAAUAUACAUCCCAAACUUUUAAAACUAUAAAAAAAAACCCACGCAAGUGGGUGGUUUCAUAUUUAAAACCAUCUGAUGAACGGGUGGUUUCAUAAUUAAAACCAUCUAACUCUUUCACAUCACCCAAGAAUCCAUCAGUAGCUUUUGAAUUUUGUUUCUUCUUCUUUACCCUUUCAGAACCUAAUCUUUUAGUCUCUCUCUCUUUCUCUCUCUCUCUUGGCACUCUCUUCCCUCAUGCCUCAUCUUCGUUCUUCUUCUUCGGCCCUUCACUUUCAAAACCUCAAAAUUGGAUCUCAAAUCCAACUUACGCCACCAUAGAUUUAAAUGUUUAAUACUCUCUCUCUCUCUCUUCCCUCAUCUUCAUAGAGACGCAGAAAUUCGUCGGAGCCCUGCUGUUAUGUAUGAGAUCGAAAGUUGUAGAUCCGGUUGCAAAAAUUGCUGCGAGAUUCAAACUGCCUAGCCCACCUAAGGCGCCUAGCGAGCGCCUAGGCGGCCACCUAAGUCCUCCCCGCCUAAUUGGUCUAAAUCGGGUCGGAGCUCCGCCGCCCAACACUUAGGCCAAUUUUUAGAAUACUAUUUCGCAUCAAGAUAUAUGAAAUCUGUAUUUAUAAAGUGAGCAACACAAUUUGGUGAAAUAUUCAAUAAACCUAAUAUUACCCUUUCCUUCACAUUCAAAAAUAUAAAAAAAAUUCAACCACUUAAUACUACGGUCUAGUGGUAUUCCCCUUUACCUAUAAGUGAGAGAUCUUAGGUUCAAUUCUUGACAAAGGUGAAUUUGAACUGCAUUAUUGCUAGCCUAUUAUAAGGUUUAACCCACCUUCUCCCCUUAGUGUAAAUAAUAUCGGUUGUUCCAAAAAUAAAUAAAAAAAUUCAGAAAAUCAAAACAAUAUGGCAAAACCUGCAUUACAAACACAUCAUAAAAAAAUAAAAAAUAAAUAAAAAAAAGGUACAAAAAAAAGAGUAAUGCUAUAUUUUACCAUCUAUUUGUAUCAUUAUCUAAUAGAGGUAAGACCUACCAACACAUGUGGCAUCUCUAUUAGAUAGAUGAUAUAAAUGAUGCAUGAAACUAAAAUUUGUACCUUCUUUCUUGAUUUUCAGUUUACAAGACAUAUUUUAGUUUACAAGAUAAAUGUCACAUGAAUGUUUUGACAAAAAACAAAAUGUCACACGAAAGCCUUAAUUAUAUCCAAUUGCAGGUAAGCUCAGAAAAUUCUCCUUUGGCUAUGCUUGUUCUUGGUUCUCACACGUGUGCGUUUGUUUGCGUGCAUGAAUUUGCAGUCUUCUUGUGAAUUGAUCAUCUGGUUCAACAGGAAAUUCAUCAUUAGUGGAGACAAAGAAGAUUCAUCAUUUGGUUCAACAAGAAAUUCGUCCAAUCUGCACUCCUUGUGAAUCUAUGUUCAUGGGUUGGGGGUUCUUGUAGCUUCUAAUAUCAUCCUUGUAGCGUUCCUUAUCUUGACGAGCCUUUGCUUCAUAUGGCUCCUUUUCCUCCGCUGAAAAAUGGAAAACAUUAUGUUAACAAAGUUAUACUUCGCAGAAAUUCCUCAUGUUGUGGAAGCACACAAGAUGUAAUAUAGUAGAAUCACACAUACCAGACAUCUUUCUCCACUUCUCUCCAAGCACUCUCCCCACAUCAGUAAACGCAAUUCCAGGGUUCUCUCUCUUGACAUUCUACGGUCAACCAAAUAAGGUCAAUAAUUUCUUCGAAACAUCAAUAAUAACUUGAACCCAAAGUUAGAACCAGUAGAUAGAAAUUAAAAAACUCACAUCUCUCUCCAUAUUUGAGAAGAACAUGAAACCAGACAUCGCUCUUUUGGGUGCAUUCGGAUCCUUUUUCUUCUUCUGUUUUUUCUUCUUUGAACCAUCUUCACCAUGAAACACCAUGAAAAUAAAAGAGAAGAAUGAUUCAUGAGAUAUAUUGUUAGGAAUUGGCUCGUCAAUGGUUACAGGAAGCAUUCAAGCUUAAAGACAUAUCACCUCUGGCGCAUAUGGAACAUCUGGAUACCCUUCAAACAAGCAAUUUCAUCAUCGAAGGAGACACAAAUAGGUGGAAUGGCUUAGUUUGGGAAGACGAAGUUGCUCGAAAUGUUUUUCUUCCUUGUUUCAGACCCUCUAUCUGAGGGCUGAGGAGGGAUGGUUGGGGACCAGUUUGAAUAUGCCUUUUAUUCUCACUUUCUUCCAUUUGGUUUUUUGUUUAUUUUUUUCAUGCAUUUCGUGCUCGUAGUUUCAUUCUGUUAGCCUUGUGGGAUGGGGUGGAGAGAUUUUACCCGGUACACCACAUGUCAUAAUAUAAGUGGAGAGAAAUUUUUUAAAGUGUCCCUCCACUUGAAAAUAGAAUUAAGGAUAUGUUGACUCAAUGUAGAACUGUAGAAGUGUAAAAGAUGAAACAGAUGCUAGACUAAUUUCUGUAGUUUUUAAUUUUACAGCGAUGCCAAAAAAUUCAAACGUAUGAGGCACUUUCAAUUCGCAAAAUGACUACAAAAGAGAAAAAGCAGCAUCACGACACACAGGCAACAAAACUAUAUCGACAGACGAAGAUUUUGCAUUAACAUUAAGAUUCAAGCACAAACUGGGAUUUAAGGAGGAACUGCAUUUGUAUUUUUUUCAUGUACCUUUUUUAGCAGACUGAGCCCAGCUUAUGGCUGACCUAGCCAAGGCAUCUAUAGGGUCAAUGCAUUUCUUAAGAAGAGGAUCCAGGUGAAGAAGACCUCGCAUAUCAUCGGACGCAAGAAUAACAGAGUUCACAACCCUCGCCAGAAGAACCUGGAGUGCGAUCCUCAAGAGAUUUUGUGCCCCCUCUAUGUCCUUUCUGUUUAAGGCUUCAAUAGCAGGGAUUACAGAGUAUUCCAUGGUCACUUUAUCCGGCAGAACAACCUCAAAUCCCUGCAUUUAUAAUACGAAAAAUGAAUAUCAUAACAUGAUGUAGCAAUAAAAUUUUUUACAAGUAUAGUUAAGGAAUUCAUAUUUAACUGGCAGGAAAUGAAUGCUAUUUAAUGUCCUGGGGAACUUGUAAUCUGUUGAAAACAUAUUUACUAUUGCUUGUCAUACGAUACUAGACAAUUAAAACAGAAGCUGGAAAAUGGAAUUACCUCGCUCUGCAGUUUCUCCUGAUAGAAUCCUGCUGUCAAAGUUGCAUGGCUUGCAAGCACUCCAAUCCGCAAAGGACUUCCGGCUUCAAGCGGCUUCAACUUUGCUUCCUUGAGCUCCUUGACAACACACUCACCAAUAUGAAGAAAAGGAACAGAACAUCCCUUAGAAAUUUCAUCAUGCCAAGAAUGUGAUAUGUGACAAGGCAUUACAAUGCAACGAGCUCCCGAUUUUUCAAGAAAAAUCCUCUUACUCAGCAAAUUCUCCACAAUUGGAGUAGGAUCGAAUUCAGGACCAUCGCUUUUACUGCUGACAGAAGGAAAAGAACUCUCAAUUGAUAAAAGCUCCUUAUUUGAAACAUGGUCAGAACAAAGAACAAAAGGAGGGCAACUUUCUCCAUCUCUUGAACUCCAAUUGACAAGUUUUCUCAUAAAUUUAACAUUAGAAUCGACAGAUAGCCCUCCAAUUAUGCCAACUGUGUUUGGUAGACCCGGAAAUGAUUUUCUGGGAGCAGUGUUUCUUAAAGCUGCACUUGAACCAGAACCCUUCUUAAACUCUGGAAACGGGCCAGUUUCAUCUGUGUGCAAGAGAACUGGGGAUGGAGUUUUAGCUUGACCUGGAUUCAACCUCGUCAUAUAAAGGGUUUUAUGUGUAUUUACAAAUCCCAAGUUAUAGAAAUGAUAGUUCGAAGGGCGCAAAGACGUUGCUUCCAUUUAUCAAUCUACAGCAAAAACUCCAGAACCACUACUCAAACCAUAUAAUUCUGCACAGAUUUCUGAGUUGCGCAGCCUAUGACAACAACCUUCUAUACUUUGAACUUUACAUUAGGCUCCACAGAAUAAACACCCACCGUCAAAAGUUAUGAACUUCAACAGUAAAUUAACAUUUAACAAGGAAAGUACUGAAUGAGUCAAUUCAGAUACUUCAAAGUAUGCAAUUCAAAAACAAAAACCAUAUCCUCCAAGAUUGCAAUCCCCUAAGCAGAUAAUGGACUCUCUCUCUCUCUCUCUCUCUCUCUCUCUCUCUCUUCACUUGUUCUUCUUUAGUAGCUCAGUGGUAGAGCGGUUGACUGUUAACUAACAUGUCGUAAAUUUGAAUACUACUUGGGGAGGCUUGAUUCAUUCGGAAUUAAAGAACACUGAGAUCAAAAUCUAUAUUGGAAAUUUAGAUAAGUAGAGGAAACUCAGACAAGAUACAAAAUUUCCAGGAUUUGAGGAUUAUUAUCACUAUCGCUAUAAGGACCUAUAUUUUAUGGCCCUACAGAGAGAGACAUGAUUCAUCAAGGGAAUAAUAGUCAAGAAAGUGGGGACAAAUCAUUUGACAUCUGAUAACAGUGACAAAUUUGGCAUUACAUCAUGUUUCAGCAAACCAACAGAGGGCCAUGAUAAUAUAUUUGACUUGUUGAUUAGUUAAAAACCAAAAAGUUAGAUUACUUAGGAGUUAGAGGUUGGUCAUAUAGCCCUAUUUGAUAGUCAUCAUUUUUAGUAUUUAGUUUUUCAUUUUUCGUGCUAGAGAUAUGAGUAAAGUAUAUGGGGAAAAAAGGGAUGAAGAAGGCAGACGGGAGAGGGAUUUUAGCCAGAUUUUAAAUAUCUUGAUUUUCCUUAUCUCUGUUGUCUAGGGAUUUUAGUCGUUAUCUUCUGAAUUUUAUGCACAUUGUUAUUGUAAAGACAUAUUUUCAGUUUACAAGAUAUGGUGUGGCACUGCCAAUGAAUGUUGUUGAUGCACAAAAUCAGUGAGGACUUUGGUACAACAGAAAGUGUCAAGUUUGUGACCUUCGCUAGAUUGCUUCGGUCACUAGUGUGGAUAAGUAUGUAAAUGAAUAGAGACAAGGAAGCAAACACAAGAUGUACGUGGUUCACCCAGAUUGGCUACGUCCACGGAGUAGAGGAGUUCUCAUUAAUUGUGAAGGGUUUACACAAGUACAUAGGUUCAAGCUCUCCUUUAGUGAGUACUAGUGAAUGAUUUAGUACAAAUGACAUUAGGAAAAUAUUUGUGGAGAAUGAUCUCCUAUUUAUAGAAGAGAGUUUCUAGCUUUGUUCUGACAUUGACACGUGUCGUGUUGUGAUUGGCUUCUGAUGUUGACACAUGUCGCGCUAUGAUUGGCUUCUGAUGUCGACACGUGUCGCGCUGUGAUUGGCCUCCUGGUUGGAGGGAAACUCUUCUGGGUCCUUGACGGUAUAACGUUGACCCGGUGCUCAGUAGUUUCGGGAUUGGUCAAGUAUGGUACAAACAGUGCUCCCCUAAGUUCCCGAGUGAGGGAAGCUCCUCGGUUGGGGACUUGCAAGAUCCAAGCCAUUGAGUAAUCACGAAACUUCUAAGUACCGAAGUGUGGUAUCAUUUUCACUUGCCUUAUCUGUCUCAUAGGUAGAUGUGGCAUCUUCUCUGGAAGUACUUUUCCUCCAUCCAGGGGUGGUAUCUUUAACCGAUGGAGAUGCACAAGGUAAUGUAUCAAUUUCACUUGAAGCUUACUUGUAGUUUCGGGCUUGGUCAAGUGCGAUACACAAACCCAUAUAGUAGGAGUCCCCAAGUCGCCGAGCUAGGAGAUCUGCCGAAAGAGGUGACAGACAAGGUAAGCAAUCAGACUUCCAAGCAAGCAGUCCCAGGAUCAGAGGUUUGAUUUCGGCUUCCGGUUGAUUGUUCUCAUUCUCCCUAUCUUGCAGGCAGCAAGAAGGAUAAAAGAGAAGCAAAUGGAGAAGAGAUGAUAUGAGAUACUUUUGCUUUUGAAGAAGUAACUUUCCACAGGCUUAUUCUUGAACUGGGCUGGAGGGUUUUCUGGUUUCCUCAGAGUAUAAGGCCGACUCAAGAAUUUAAGGGUAAAAACAAGUCCAUCAAAUUUAAGAGUGCAUUCGACCUUGAUGAUAUGGGAUACUUUUGCUGUUGACAAAGUAAUAGAUGAAUCGGCACGUGUUCUGUUGCGCUUGUCUCCACAUGCUUCCUUGUAUCCUUCUCACUUGCCCUAUUUGUUCCUCAGGCAGAUGUGGUAUUUUUUCUGGAAGCACAAGAUGUUGAAGAUGACUACUCGAGAGUGAUGCCAUGUAAGUAAUCAGGUAAAGGGUUCCAGGCAUUCAGUUCUUGACUGGAAGCUUGAUUUCCAAGUGCUGACUGAUUGCUCUCUUUCUCCUUGUCUUGCAGGUAAGAACAAGGGCAAAGGAAAAGACAGGGAAAAAGCAUGAUAUGGGAUACUCUUGCUUUUAACCCUGAUGAUAUGAGAUAUUCUUGCUCUGGUGUAGCUUGUUUGCAGAGGUAUUAUCGGAGGGAAAAGAAGCUGAGUAUUUCGAGAUACUCUGCUUAGAGUGCCUUCUCGGAUGUGAAGAAAAGUUGAGCACUUUUUUUUAUUUGCAGGUUGCCUGUCCUUUGGAGGAUAGAGGUCGACUGUAUAUAGGGAAUUUCCCAACAACAAGUAGUAAUGUUGUUCCUUUACCCUUCUCGGUCAUAGCAAUGUAGUGAGAGCUGCAAGAUUCACGUGUUUUAACUUUGUCAGAGCACUUUGAAAAAGUGGUAUGUGGUAUCUGAAAAGCUGAUGUUGCGUGUGAAGAUUGCAAACAAAUUUUAUCCAAGGAAAUCCGGCUUUCGAAGUUCGGAAAGCGGUGCCUUUUCGAUUUUCGAACAAGCAAUCAUGUUGGGGAUCUGGCUUUUGAGAUUCGUAGAGCGUUGCCUCUUCGAUUUUUGAACAAGCAAUCCUAUUAAGGAUCUGGCUCUCAAGAUUUAGAGAGCGGUGCCUCUUCGAUUUUUGAGAAAGCAAUCCUGUUGUGAGUCUGGCUUUCAAGAUUCAGAUAGCGGUGCCUCUUUGAAUUUUGAGAAAGCAAUCAUGUUAGGAGUGUUUUCUUGAUGUAAGUAAGGUUGGGCAUUUUUGCCAGUCUGCCUUGCCACAGAGCACAAAGACUGACACACAUAGGGACUUUCCAAUUAUCAAGCAAUAGUGUUGUUCCUUUACCCUUGUGGGUAAUGGUAGGGUAGCUGGACCUUCAAAAUUUAUGUGUCUAAACUUUCUUAGAGAUCUUUGGCAAAGUUAUUUGUGGUACCCAAUGAGCUGAUGUUGUAUGUGGAGAUUGUCGACAGAUUUUACUCAGGAAAAUCCGUUUCUUGAAAUCUGAAGAGUGGUGCCUCUUCGAUUUUUGAACCAAGGGCCCUGUUGCCCUUUCUUUUAUAGGAGCACCAAUUGUGUGCAAGAAGUACGUUUAGAGAGUUAUUGCUUGUAAGAAUUUUCCCUUUAUUUUUGUACUUCAAAGAUUUAUUGGACCUCAUUUCUCCUUCAUCAUUUCUAAGAAUGUCUGGCCCAUCCGACCGUCGUUUUGACUUGAACUUUGGUGAAAAGGCAGCCAUGCCUUCUCAAGACAACAUAUGGCACCUAUCAUUCUUAUCCCCUACUGGUCAUCUUACCAUUGGGAACUUUAUGAUGAAGAAUGAUAUGACCGCUGCGGUGGUGGCCAGGAACCUUCUCACUCCCAAAGAUAACAGACUACUUUCCAAACAGUCUGAUGAGUUGGCUAUUAAGGAUUUUCUGGCUUUCAGUGUUUAGUGUGCAGGUUCUAUGUCUAAUAUGGCCCAACGCCUAUUUGCUCAGAACCCGCCAAGUUGAACCAUUGGCGGCUGAAGUGAUAAGUCUCAAACAGGAGAUCAGAGGGCUUAAGCAUGAGAAUAAACAGUUACACGAACUCGCACAUGACUAUGCUACAAACAUGAAGAGGAAGCUCGACCAGCUGCAGGAAUCUGAUAGUCAGAUUUUACUUAAUCAUCAGAGGUUUGUGAGUUUGUUCCAAAUGCAUUUAUUGCCUUCGUCUUCUAGGGCUGUACCACGUAAUGAAGCUCUAAAUGAUCAACCUUCGGUGCCUCCUCCUUCUGGGGUUUUGCCCAGUACUGAGACUCCGAAUGCUCACCCUCCGGUGCCUCCUCUUUCUGGGGCUCUGCCGACUGCUGAGACUCCUCCUGAGCAACCUUUGUGAAUGCUCCAUCUUGUUUGUUUAUUUUGAUUCAUGUAUAUAUACAUAUUUGUAACUUAUCGGAGAUAUCAAUAAAUAAGUUUUGCUUCAUUUCAAUGUAUUGUGUUAAAUACACCAAGGCUUUAUUCACUAUGUUCUUUGAAUUUUUUUCUUUUGUUGAAGCUUGUAUGUUGAAGCUUUGUGAGUGAAGCAUGUAGGUUGAGGUAGUGCUCCCUUAAUUUCUCGAGUGAGGAAAACUUCUCAGUUGGAGACUUGAAAGAUCCAAGUCACUGAGUAGUCGUGAACCUUCCAAAUACCGAGGUGUAGUAGAAUAUGGUAGGAGUCCCCCAAGUCUCCGAUCGAGGGAGUUGACGAAUGAGGUGUCUUGCUAGUAGCCAAGUUUCCAAAGUAACAAAACUUCACCGUUUUCCUUUCUAAGUGGUAGCCCAAAACUCCUCAUUCAUAUAUAUUUGUUAUGAAAGUUGUUAGGCCAAAAGAAGAAGAGGUCUACGCCCUUUUUUUUAUUGAUUUUUUUCUUUCGAAUUUCCGAAUUUCUAAAUUUUCGAAUUUCCAAAAAAAAAAAAAUAUAUAUAUAUAUAUAUUAAGCUUUAUAUGUGAAGUUUUGUAGGUGAAGCUUUGGUGUUGAAGCUUUGUAGGUAAAGCUUUGAGGUUGAAGCUGUGUUAGGUACCAUGAAUUGAUUUUGCUUCACACUAUCUUGAUCAAGAGUACUUGAAGCUUUUGGCACUUAUAGUUGAAGCUUUGUAGAUGAAGCUUUUGUGUUGAAGCUUUAUAGAUGAAGCUUUGUAGGUGAAGCUUUGGAGUUGAAGCUUUUGUAGGUGAAGCUUUAGAGUUGAAGCUUUGUGAGUGAAACUUUGGAGUUGAAGCUUUUGUAGGUGAAGCUUUGGAGUUGAAGCUUUGUAGGUGAAGCUUUGUAGGUGAAGCUUUUGUGUUGCAGCUUUGGAGUUGAAGCUUUGUAGGUGAAGCUUUUGUGUUGAAGCUUUGUAGGUGAAGCUUUGGAGUUGAAGCUUUGUAGGUGAAGCUUUUGUGUUGAAGCUUUGUAGGUGAAGCUUUGGAGUUGAAGCUUUUGUAGGUGAAGCUUUUGUGUUAAAGCUUUGUAGGUGAAGCUUUGGAGUUGAAGCUUUUGUAGGUGAAGCUUUGGAGUUGAGGAUUUGUAGGUGAAGCUUUUGUGUUGAAGUUUUGUAGGUGAAGCUUUGGAGUUGAAGCUUUUGUAGUUGAAGCUUUAAAGUUGAAGCUUUUGUAGGUAAAGCUUUGGAGUUGAAGCUUUGUAUGUGAAGCUUUUAUGUUGAAGCUUUGUAGGUGAAGCUUUGGAGUUAAAGCUUUUGUAGGUGAAGCUUUAAAGUUGAAGCUUUUGAAGGUGGAGCUUUGGAGUUGAAGCUUUGUAGGUGAAGCUUUAUAGGUGAAGCUUUGUAGGUGAAGCUUUUGUGUUGAAGCUUUUGAGAAUUGUAGUUGAACUCCUUUGAUGAAGCUUUUGUUGGCACCAUAAAUUGGUUUUGCUUCACACUAUCUUGAUCAAGAGUAUGUGAAGCUUUUGAGAAUUGUAGUUGCCCUCCAUUGAUGAAGCUUUUGUUGGCACCAUAAAUUGGUUUUGCUUUACAUUAUCUUGAUCAAGAGUGUGUAAAGCUUUUGAGUAUUGUUGUUGAACUCCUUUGAUGAAGCUCUUGUUGGCACCAUAAAUUGGUUUUGCUUCACACUAUUUUGAUCAAGAGUGUGUGAAGCUUUUGAGAGUUUGUAGUUGUCCUCCAUUGAUAAAGCUUUGUUGAAUUUCCCAAUUUCCCUUUUUCGAUUUUUUUUUUUUUUUUUUUUUUUUUUUUUUUUUUUUUGAGAACUAGAAAUUUGAAAAUGUAGGAAAGACAACAUAUACAAGCCACACCUUGUAGUAGUCGAAGGUUAGGAUGAACCAUAUAAAUUGAAUUUGCUUCGAACAGUUUUGAUGAAUAGUGUGUGAAGCUUUCUACGAGUUGUAGUGUUUGCAUUGUUACAGAGAAGAAUGUCUGAAGCAGAUGCAAGAGGGCUAAAUAGCUUGAUCUUCGUAUACCAUGCACUGAAGUUGUUGUUGGCUUGCAAUAAGACUUUGUUGGUGACUAUAACUCUUGUUAGGCAUAAGUGCUCCCCUAGUUGAGUUGUAAAGCUUAAGGGUUUUUUUAUUAUUUGUGAAUGCUAGGAGUUCACAUGUACAAGUUGUACCAUUCAUCUUCUAGUUGGUGGAAUGAAUGGUGAGUUGCUUUCAUCACCUGGUUGGUGGUACGAAGGUGAGUUCCUUCAUCACAUUUCAUCACCUGGUUGGUGGCACGAAGAUCAAUUCCUUCUUCACCUAGUUGGUGAUAAGAGUGGCAAGUUGCCAAAUAAUAUUAGAGUACGAGUUGUACAUUUCAUCACUUGGUUGGUGGCACGAAGGUAAGUUCCUUCAUCAUCUAGUUGGUGAGAAUAAAGGCAAGGUGUCGAGGCACAUUGUAGCAGGUGUCGAAUGACACAAAGUAUUUUGAACCUUUUUGAAUCACAGUUGGCUCAUGUAUGAAUGUGUUGUAAUGUAUGAUUGAACGAAUAUAUUGUGAAGCUGUUCCUUUAUUUGUAUAGUCUUGUUGACAUAUACUUAGACUUUGUUUCAUGUUGGAAGCAUUCAUGUUGAAGCUUUGAAUCCGAGUGUUUCAUUGCUAGGAAUGUAAGAAGAUUAGGACCUCGUUGUCUAAAUCACCUCUUUAUUGAAUUCAUGCCAAAUGGUCUUCGUUACAUAGGAUGUCGAAUUGCUGAAGCUUAACAAUUGUACAAUGUGAGUUUACUUGUAAUAGUACUUUUAGUGAUCAACGUUCCAUAGAUGGCCAAAGGUCUUGCCAUCGGAGAUUCUAAGCUUGUAGGAGCCAGAGCGACUGAUGCCAACAACUUCAAACGGUUCAUCCUAAUUUGGACUACGUGUUCCUUCACUUGAGACUGUGUCGCAGAGUAAUCUUUUCUUCAAUACCUAGUCCCCCCACUUUGAAAGAGAGGUUUGACCCUUGAGUCAUAGUAGUUGGAGAUGCGCUGCUUGUAAGCGACAUUCCUCAAGUGAGCCUGGUUUCUGUGUUCCUCGACUAGAUCUAAGUUGAGGGUAAGUUGUUUGUCAUUUUCGCUUUGCACGUAGUUCUGGACUCAAAACGUUGCUUGCUCAAGCUGAACUGAGACAACUGCCUAUGUACCAAAAGCAAGUGAGAAUGGAGUUUCUCCUGUUGAAGUCUAAUACGAAGUGCGGUAUGACCAAAGAACUUGGGGUACAAAUUCUAGCCAACAGCCUUUAGCCUUAUCCAAGUUGGUUUUUAAAGUGCGCUUGAUUAUUUUGUUGAUAGCUUCAACUUGUCCAUUAGACUGGGGAUGAGCUGGUGAGGCGAAACAUAAGUUGAUGUUGAACUUAUAGCAUAACAUCCUGAACUUAUUGUUGUCGAACUAUCACCCGUUGUUAGUGACUAUCGCAUUGAGAAUGCCGAAAAUGAUGUUCUUCCAUACGAAGUCUUCUAUUUUUGCCUCAGUAAUGGUUGCCAAGGGUUCUACUUCGGCCCACUUUGGGAAGUAAUCAACUGUAACGAUUGCAUAGCUGACCUUGCCCUUCCCUGCAUGCAUUGGGCCAAUUAAAUCAAGUCCCCAUUGGGCCAAGGGCCAAGGGCUGAUCAUAGAUGUGAGCGGCUCGGAAGGGGAGUAAGGAAUAGUUACGUAACGUUGACACUUAUCACAUGAGCGAGAUAUUCUGAUGGCAUCUUGGUGGAGUGUUGGCCAGAAAUAUCCUUGGCAAAAAGCCUUGUAUGCUAGGGAUCGAGAUCCAGCAUGUUUUCCGCAGACUCCUUCAUGUAUUUCCCGAAGGAUAAUUUUUGCCUCCGCGGGCGUAAGGCAUCUUAGGUAUGGUAGGUUAAAACCCCGCUUGUAAAGUUGGUCAUUAAUGAUCAAGUAACGGGUAGCCUUGUAUCGAAUCUGCUUAGCUUGGACUUUAUCAUUUGGGAGGGUGCCAUGCGCAAGGAAUUUAUAAAUCGGGGUAAUCCAACUAUCCCCCUGUUGUAAGUUGCACACUUCCGCGGCCAUGGUGCUGGUGCUGCCAACAAUUCGACCUGAAUUUUUCUCCCAAUUUUGUCUUCCACUACUGAGGUGAGAUGAGCCAAAGCGUCAACAUGACUAUUUGUCGCUCGAGGAAUUUGGGUGAUCUGGUAGUGAAAGUGCUUGAGCAACAAUUGUGUUUGUGCCAGAUAUGCUGCCAUGGAGCUAUCCUUAGCGUCAAAGUUGUUGGUGACCUGGUUAACCACCAAUUGGAAGUCACUAAAGAUAUUAAUUCGUUUAACCCCAAGGUGUUUGGCCAAACGUAAGCCUGUUAUGAAGGCUUCUUAUUCGGCCUCAUUAUUCGACGCCUUGAAUUUGAAACGAAGAGCAUACUUCAUCGCCACUUUGUCAGAGGUCAUAAAGACUAGUCCUGCUCCACGACCAUGUUGGUUGGACAAGCCAUCAACAUAUAGACUCCAUGCUGGGGUUGUUGGUUCUAUUUUCUAAGCUUCCGAGGGUAAUGAAACCACUUCUUUAGGCGUAGAAACAAUGUCAACAUGAUAUGUAAAGUUGACGAUGAAGUCUGCCACUGCUUGGCCUUUCUCAGCUGGCUUUGGUUGGUAGGAGAUGUCAAACUCACCCAAUGAUAUCACCCAUUUAAUCAUUUGCCCCGAAGUUUCAGGACUUUGAAGUAUCUGUUGAAGAGGAUGAUUGGUAAGCACGAUGAUGGAGUGUAAUUGGAAGUAAGGGCGAAGUUUUCGAGUAGACAUGACCAAUGCUAGAGCCAAUUUGUCAAUGUUGGAGUAUCGUGUCUCCGCAUCUUGUAAGGCUUUGUUAGCGUAGUAGACAGGCCGUUGGACUUUACCAUCCUUUCGAAUGAGAACGAAACUUACUGCUGAAGCCGAUACCGAUAGAUAGAUAAUGAGAAUGUCACCAACCUCAAGUUUGGAGAGCAUAAGGGCUUUACUCAUGUAGUCCUUGAGGUUCUUGAAUGCCCCGGCACAUUCAUUAGUCCAUGUAAUGUACUUCUUACUUCCCUUAAGUACUUUGAAGAAAUGAGCACAUAUGUCUGUGACCUUAGAGAUGAACCUAGUUAAGGCUACCACCUUACCAGUAAAGCUCUGGAUAUCUUUUGAAGUUACCAGUUCCUUCAUGUCGAGGAUUGCUUUGAUCUUCUCGGGAUUAGCCUCAAUGCCUCGUUGGCUUAUCAUGAAGCCUAAGAAUUUGCCAUAGCCUACACCGAAGGCACAUUUGUUGGGGUUCAACCUUAUUCGAUACCUCUUCAGAAUUGUGAAAGUUUCAGAUAGGUUGGUGAUGUGUUGGUCAGCAUGUUUACUCUUGACUAGCAUAUCAUCAAUGUAAACUUCCAUGCUCUUCCUAAUCUGUUCGGUGAACAUUGAAUUGACUAGUCUCUGAUAAGUCGUUCCUGCAUUCUUUAGGCCGAAGGGCAUGACUUUAUAGCAAUAUAGUCCCUUGUCAGUAAUGAAGGCUGUGUGUUCUUGGUCUGGAGGGUUCAUGAGGAUUUGGUUGUAUCUUGAGUAAGCAUCCAUGAAGCUCAUGAGUUCACACCCUGCCAUAGAAUCUAUAAAUCUGUCAAUGAGAGGAAGAGGAAAGCUAUUCUUUGGGCAUCCUUUGUUUAGGUCGGUGUAGUCGACACACAUUCUCCACAAAACUUUUUAGAGCAUAAGACUUUCUUUGGUCGGAUUUUUCUUAACAAUGACCAUAUUUGCUACCCAUGUUGGGUAAUUGAAUUCACGGACGAAGCCUAUGCCUUUGAGUUUUUCAACUUCUGCCUUCAUUGCUUCGUAUCGUUCAGCGUCAUAAGAUUUUCGCUUCUGUCUCACCAUCUUGGUCUUGGAGUGAAUACCCAAGUGAUAACAUAUGAUAUCGGGAGAGAUGCCUGGCAUGUCCUCGUAUGACCAGGCGAAAACCUCAGUGUUCUUUUGCAAAAAAGAGAUUAAUGUCAACCGAAUGGGUGGUGACAAGGUGGUGUCAAUCUUCACCAUGCGAUCUGGAUAAUCUUUUGAGAUAGAAACCUUUUCCAACUCUUCGGCGGGUUGUGCUUGCUGGGUGAAAGAGUCAUCUCGAGGAUCGUUGGGUUGACUGUUACCACCGUGAAGAUCCAAGUUGGCUUCGUCUGGCCUGGUUUUUAUGACUUGGUCAUGUAUAGAAAAGGUUUCCUUGGGCACAAGCAGGUGUUAUUGCUUAACCGAAGUGUUGUAACAUGAUCGUGCACUAAGUUGAUCUCCUCUGAUGUAACCAUUGUCAUAGGGGGUUGGAAAUUUCAUCAACAACAUAUGUGUGGAUACCAUGGCCUUGAGAUCAUUAAUGCUUGUGCGUCCGAAGAUGACAUUGUAUGCCGUUGGGUAAUCAACCACCAAGACGUUAGUGGUAAUGGUAGCUGUGUAAGGGCAUGUACCAAUGGUGAAAGGUAAGUGUAUGCUCCCUAAAGGUUGCAUGACAUCACCAGAGAAGCUUAUCAAAGGAGAAAUCGAGCAAUCGAGUAAGUGUUUAGCUACAUUAAGUGCCUUAAAAGCUUCAGCAAACAUGAUAUUGACCGAAGCCCCCGUGUCUACCAGGAUUCGUCGUACUUCAAAGUUGGCUAUGUGAGCUUCCACGAUCAGUAGGUCGUUGUAAGGGUAGAUAAUACCUCUUUCUUCCUCAGGGUAGAAACAUAUUGGAUCCCAAUUUGGCUUUUGAUACUUGCCUCCCCUAAUGUCUUCCACGUGAAACACUUGGUGGCCAAGCCUUAAAGCCCGUUCACUAUUUUUCAUGGCCCUGUUGGAAGAUUUAGAUAUGGGUGUGCCGCCACUUAUGGAAUAUAUCACAUUCACCUGGUGUUGGUUACGGUUACCCCUUGGAGGGUGAAGGAGGAAUUGAUCAAUUUUUCCUUCUCGUGUCAAAGCUUCAAUAUGAUCACGAAAGGUGAUACACUUCUCGCCGUCAUGGCUGUUAUGCUCGUGGUAACAGCAAAACGUGCCCAUGUUCUUCGUGGGCUUGUAAUCUGGGUGCCUCGGCUUUGGCUUCGGUAUCAGGUGUGCUAUGCUAGGGUAAAUGGCCACACAUGUGGCAUUUAAAGGUGUGUAUGCCACAUACUUGAUGUGAAAAAUAAGUUAACACACAAAAUUAAACCCUCUUUUUAUCAAUUGUAGUAAAGUAUGUAAGUAGGGAUCGUUCUAGGCCGGGGAUUAGGAGGGAUUGCUAAUCUAUUCUAAAUUAAUUUAAAAAUAUUAAACAAGACUCAAGGACACAAAACUAGGCUAAAAACUCUAAUAACUCGAAACACACUUAGAAUGACUCAAAAUAAUGAAAACAAUCAAAUUAGACACUAGGAACUGAAAUGGACGGAAAUUGAAUUAAAAGACUAACAACAAUGAAAACUAACUAAAUAAUAUAAUUUAAUAAUGGAGGGGGUUUGGUUUUGACGAGAAGUAAAUUAAACUUAAAUAAAUUACAGAAUUGACAAAAGCAUGAAAUUAAGGUGAAAUGAUAGGUGACGGACUAGCUAGAGGGUUCUUCUCCACACAUGACACAUAUGCAACCUAAAUUGAUUUUCAGUUGUUCUUUCAAUAAAUUGUAAAUCUCAAUACUUCAGAUUAACAGUGAACAGCACUUUUUUAAUCUUCAAGUUUUCCUUAAGUUAUUGAAUUGGACGGAAAACACAUACAACAAUUCAAAACAUUCUUCAAAAGUCCCCUAUGUGAAAAGCACAAUAGAGAUACAAUCAAAGAUCAUUAAACUUUGUGAAAACUAUAACCAUUGACGAGGCAUUCGUAACUAUGAUUUGCAUGAAACUUAUGCCAAGAAUUUACUUAACGUGAUUGUGACUAGCAACCUUCACUACUUGUGAAUAUAAGUUCAUAACGAUUAGGUGAAACUCCCUUAUAUUCUAGCGUCAAAUUCAUGCAUGUAAAUUAAGUAUGCAUUCUUAAUCGACAUACAAAAAUAAGCUAUCAAUCAAGCAGUUAAGCAAAUUAAAUCACAACUCAGAAAUCACAACUGAAGGUAAUCAAUUCAUAUUACAAAUAUAUAUUCAUGGCUUUGAAUUAACCUCUAGCCAAAAUAAAUUUAGUUACACAUUAUUUUCAAAUUAAACCAAAAGUAAAACAUAGGUUUGAGAAGAUAAAACCAAGAAAAGAAGAUCUGCCGUGCUUCUGUGCUUCUGCCCUCCUGCUCAGUGUCUAUCUCCCCUGCUUCUUCUCGUCACCCUGCUGCGUCUCUCUGCCCUCUGACCUGCUCUCCCCCUGCUGUCCGUCUCUUCUUCUCAGCACAGUUUUCUGUGCUUCUAUAUGCUCUCCCCGUGUCUCUAUCUCUUAUUCUUCUUUCAUAAUCUUUUUUUAUUCCUUCUUUUCUUUUUCUUGUCUGCCAUCCUCUUUGCUUUUAUCAUUUUCUGUUUUUCUUUCCGCCACCUUUCUUCUUUCUUUCCUCCACCAUUCCUUUCUUUAUGUUUCUUUUAUUCCUCAAUCAUUCCAUGUCUCCCCUCUUAUUUAUUUUCUUAUUCUUCAUUCUUCUUUCUCCACACAAUCCGCAAGUCUCUCCCUUUCCUCUUUUAUUAUUCAAUUUCUUGAUAGUCCACUUCCUUCCUUUGUUUAAUGCCGUGUUGCACUCUGUCCUUUCUCUAUUCUUUUCUGCCCAUUUUGUUUGAAAUUAAUCCUACAACAAAAUUAACUGUAUAUUAACACAAGGUAAGGUAAAAUGCCACAAUUUUAACACAAAAAACAUCCAAAGACUUUAGAAAUGAAUGGUAUAAAUGCAUGAAAUAUAUGAGUGAUCACUUCAGGGUAGGGCCUGUCUUGACACGUGCUUGACCCACUGUGUUGACUGCCUGGGGUCGGGGAUUAUCAUGGCGAUACCCUUGGUUAUAGUGGUUGUGUCCCUUACUCCUUUUACCAAAAUAAGACUGGUGAGGAUGGAAAUAUUUCCUUUUGCCCUAAGAUUGAUAUGUCUGUUGACUUGUCAAAGUAUUAAGUAAGCCAGGGAGAGGCACCGUUACCGUUUGGAAGGUUGAGGUCUUCUCAUUUGGGUAGGUCUGGCUUCCACUCCCCACUUACUAAUAAAGGGUGGCUAUGGGGGGUUUCCCUUGAUAUGUCCUUGCUUCGGUAGAGGCGUGGUUGUAAGCAUGUGCCAUCACCUCAAAGUAAGUCUUCCAAGUGUUGGCAUUGAUCAUGUACUUAAAGAAACAAUCAUGUAGGCCUGCCGUGAAGGCCUUGAGGGCGGUCUUGUCAUAUGCCUCAGCGCAGCGAGAAUACUCAUGGUUGAAGCGAUCAGCAUACUCUCGUAGUGACUCGUCCGGCUUCUGGAGAAUCGUAUACAAGUCAUCUGCAGAAUGUAAGUGAUCGGUCUAGAAGAUGUGUUGAGAAACAAACAGUUUCCUCAGUUCCUCAAAUGAGUCUACUGUCUCAGGUGGAAGACGACAAUACCAGUUUAGAGCUCUGCCAGAGAGGAUGGAAGGGAAGAGAAGACAUCAUUCUUCGUCGGUGUGCAUCUAAUAUGCCAUGGUGGACUCAAAGAGUUUAAGGUGUUCAAUCGGGUCCUCCCUUCCAGUAUAAAGUUGUAAACCAAGCUUUUGUUUUGUCUUCGCUUGAAAAUGGAUGUCGAGAAUCCUCCUUGUGAGAGGGCCAAACCUGGGUUGGUUCCAGUUAGGUAUCUCAGCCUGAUGUUCGACCUUCAACUUGUUUACUUCCUCAAUGAGCUGUAGGAUAAUGGGGUCCUAAGUAGAGUCAUGUACCAUUGGAAUUUUCUUUCGUAAGUCUCCAUUGCCUCUUGGAAGUAGGAAAGUUUAAGCAAGAUCGUGUGGUUUUUCCUUGGACUCGAUGUACUGACUUCUAGGGAGAGUUUGUCGGAAUACCUUCGAGUCCCCUGUACCUUCAUGUUCCUCUGGGACCUGUCGUUCAUUCCCUAGAUUGGCAACUGGGCUGGGUCGUGGGAGGGGAUGGAGUCUUUCAGAAACCCUUGGGUCAUUGAUAUUCGAGCAUAUGUGGAAGGGAUUAUCUCGACGUUGCUUUAGAAAGUCUCGACAGUCACGAUAAACGGCUUUCAAUCCUUCCAACCCUUCUGCAAGGAGGUGUCUUCCUUCACUUCUCCUGCUUCAGCAGCUGGGUUGAGAGAAGUCUCAUGUUGAUCAAUGUUUUAAUGAUCAGCUCGCUCCUUAUCAGGGAUACCCAUGUCGAAGGAAAGUGACCCUCCGUGUUGGGGGGCAUCUAGAUGAUGGUUGAUGUCCACAGGGGUAACGAGCUCGUAUGUUUGAGUACGCCUAGUUUCAUGGAGCGUCUCAAAGAGCUUCUCAUACUGCUGCUGGAAGACCUCAUUCUUCAUUGUUAUCUUAUUGUUCUGAGCUUCUAGCUCAUAGACUUUAGCUUGAAGAGCAACCAUCUUUCCUUCAUUCUUUCGUUGUUUCGCACUAGGUGCAAAAAGGGUGUCAUUAUGUGUGAUGUGGCUUCCUUCGUUCCCCAUGUUGGAGAGGGAUGCCUGGUCAAAAGAGAGUCUACGAAUGGUGGAAACCAGCUUGACAAAGCUGAAAAGAGUGGGAAUAAGUGUCAUUCCCACAGACGGCACCAAAUGUUGAUGCACAAAAUCAGUGAGGACUUUGGUACAACAGAAAGUGUCAAGUUUGUGACCUUCGCUAGAUUGCUCCGGUCACUAGUGUGGAUAAGUAUGUAAAUGGAUAGAGACAGGGAAGCAAACACAAGAUGUACGUGGUUCACCCAGAUUGGCUACAUCCGUGGAGUAGAGGAGUUCUCAUUAAUUGUGAAGGGUUUAUACAAGUGCAUAAGUUCAAGCCCUCGUGAAUGAUUUAGUACAAAUGACAUUAGGAAAUAUUGUGGUAGAAUGAUCUCCUUUUAUAGAAUAAAGUUUCUAGCUUUGUUUUGACAUUGACACGUGUCAUGUUGUGAUUGGCUUCUAAUGUUGACACAUGUCGCGCUAGGAUUAGCUUCUGAUGUUAACAUGUGUCGCGCUAUGAUUGGCCUCCUGGUUGGAAGGAAACUCUUCUGAGUCCUUGACGGUAUAACGUUGACCGGUACUCGGUAGUUUGGGGAUUGGUUAAGUAUGGUACAAACAAAUGUAACUGGCAAAAACUAGUUUGGCUAGUGUGAACCGUGUUAAAAUCUUAUUUUCAAGUGUAAAUAACCUCAGAAAAUUCUCCUUUGGCUAUUUAUGUUCUUGGUUCUCACACGUGUGCGUCUGUUUACGAGCAUGAAUUUACAGUCUUCUUGCAAACUAAAACUAUAGUGGCACGACAGGGACGUAAACCUUUGUCGUGUUUGGGGCCAGGAUGGCCCCUUCUGGAUACAUUUGGUUUCAGAUUUAGUACAAUAGGUCUUAAUCUUCACAUGAAGAAACAGUAAAAGAAAUACAGACUUACUUUAAGAUUGGAUGGACAUCUGAAUAUACAACGGUAGGCCAGUAGCCAUGCUAUUGGUAACAGGUACUCCUGGCGUUGGUAAAGCUCCAGAGGAAUUUCUGUCUUUACGCUUUUGAUGACCUGCUCUGUCUUUACGCUUUUGAUGACCUGCACUUGAACUCUACACCUCUAAGAUGGAAAGAAUCACUCAGAUGUUGUAGAUAUAUCAUCUCUGAAGAAUAUGAAACAUGUUCAUAUCCUUCACAUUGUGGAAUAUCCUAAUUUGGACGAAUUUGAAAUUUAUUGUGCAGAACGAGCACGUAAAGAUCCUCGGAUGUCAAGGAUGACGAAUUAGGGCUGGGUUCGGUUUGAAACGGUUUGGUUUUUUGCCAAAACCGAAACCGAACCGAAAUUUCGGUUUGUUUCGGUUCGAUUCAAUUUUUUGUUCGGUUUUUUUCGGUUUCGAUUUGGUUUCGGUCCGAUUCGGUUUUUUUCAUUAUUAUUUUUUUUUUUAAGAUCUGGAUAUUGAUAAACUAACCCAAAAGAGAACCUGCCAAAGUAGCCCAAUAGAUCCAACAAACAGUACAGGCCCAAGCCAUAAAAUACAACAUAAGAAAACCUAGGGUUCUACUGCAGCACUCGCCGUUGAGCAUCCUUACUAGCUCAAACCCUCGCACCAACCAACCGACGCCUCGCCGAUUGUAACAUCCGGCCACGAGCACCUGUCAGAACACAGCCAAACAGACGAGAUCCAAGGGUUUAAUAAAGAGUAUAGAUCCAAAGACCAAAGAUCUCUACCACAUAGGUCUCCACAAAGACAAAUCCAAGAACAACAUCAACCAAUUUUUGUUCAAAAAUUCACAAAGCAUAGUCAACAAAUAAAUUCACAUAGCAUAGUCAACAAACCAAAGAAAUAAAAACUAUUAAUCAAUACAUAAAAAAUAAAUUAAAAAAAAUUAAAAAAAAAAAAAAAAAACUACCAUUUUCAGCACUCAAAGAAUUAAACAAGAAACAGAAGAAGAAAAAAAGGGAGAAAUUGAAUACUUACUGUUAAAGAAAUCCGGAGGAACAAAGAUGGAUGUCUGGACCGUGCGACCUCCAUAUGAAUCCCAGAUUAAAAAACUAUUUGGCUUGUAUUUGAAAAGCAUAGAUCGAAAGUUUAUGGAAAAAGCAAGGAAUAUUAGACGAGGAGCAGAGAGACAAGAGGCAUACGAUUUGGAGAGGGAAAAAAUGGGGAUUGUCAAAUAAAUUCAUCACAAACCCUACGCCUCUUGUGGUAAUCCUUUCAAAAAGUAAGAUCCAUGUUACAACCAUGGACUUGGCAGGUUGGAGAGAGGAAGAGAGGAAGGAGAGUUGAAGGGAGGAAGAGAAGAAGAAGGGAGAGAUAGACUGAGGAAGUAGAGAGGAAGAGCAGCGGAUGGGAGAGAGAGAGAGUGUGUGAGUGUUUGAGAAUGAAAAGGUAAAGGAGUGACGGCUGCUAGGGUUUGUAAGAUUUAUAAAUUUUAUAAAACAUUAAAGAUUAGAAUACCUAUAAAUAUUAUGCUGGUACAAUUAUAGCAAUACAAAGCCUACUAUCAAGUUGGCUUGAAUAAGCUAUCCCCAACCUGGACGAAAGGGGUUCAAAUCUUCAUUCCAAUAGGUUUUGAAUAUUUAUAUUUGAUUUUCAUAUUUCGGUUCGGUUCGGUUCGGUCCGGUCCGAUUUUCAUACCUCAAAAAUCAAAACUGAACCAACCAAAUUCAGUUCGGCUAUCGAUUUUUUUUGGUUUUCGAUUUUUCCAACCCACCCCUAUGACGAAUCACGUGUGCUUCCUUGGCCUUCAGUUUGUACAAGAUGCCGAAAUCUUGGGAGAAAAAUGUCCAGCGCUGAAGAAGCUGCCACUUAAAAGAGGACAGAAGCAUUCUACAUCUUUUGACCGACAAUGGUGACCGGAGAGUCUGCUGUGAAUUGUAUAAAAGUAGUAGAAUGCAUGAUUUUCUUAGAACCCAAUGUGAGGUUCAACAAUAACAAUAUACACAAAGCUCAUAAUAUAUAGAAGCGUAGAGUGAAUGAGAAGAAUCACAGAAUAUGGAAUUUAGAGGCUUUGAAUAUCCAAACAACAGCACAAUAUUGAAUAUAUUAUGGUAUGCACCUAUAUACAAGCAGAACCAUCCUCUUUGUUCUUACAUAAGGCCCUCUCGCUGCCUCACUUAGUUGUCGUGUUUUGGAAGCAGGGAAGAAAAACUUUUCUAGCAUCUUCGUCCUCCCACUCUAAGAAAGACCACUAGUACUCAUGUCCUCUAAUUACAAUAUUGCUCCCCUCAGCACUUCUGGAGUUGAAUGGAAGCUUUCUCAGCACUGUACAUGCAGUUACCUUGAUUUCUUUCAGGUACGGAAAGGGCAGGGCACUAUCAUAUACGCUUCUCAGCUGUGGAAGUGAACUCAAAAUCAGAAAGGUAAGUUUUCCAAAAGGGUUCUGAAAGUUCUAAGAUGGGUACUAGUUUAACCUAGAGGAGGUGAAUAGGUUCCAAUUUAAAAAUCCAAUUCAAUUUUCAAUUUAAUUUUCAGUUCUCAAAUUAAAUCCACAUUCACAUCACAUAUCAAACUAUCAUACUCAUAUACAAUUAAACCAAUAAAUAAAAAGUGCACACAUGAUGUAGGAUUUAAUGAGGCAAAACCCACCACUGGGAAAAUUCUCGGGCUCCCAAGCCAGGACAAACACUAGAGAAAUAAGUAGAGAAAGACUUACAAAACUCAUCAACUAGACACGCAUACUAGUAGGCAGUUUUGUCUCCGCGCUUUGCUACUCGAUCUCUCUUCAGUCUUCAAGUUGAAGUGGCACAACACUAACGCGAUCGUCAAUCACCUUUUCCUCGAACUUUGUAAGAUACUAACUCGAUCAUACAAAAUGUUUAUAUGAUGAAGUGUUUAUUUGAAAAACAAUCAAUUACGAAAAUCACAAGGCAUUUUUUCAUAAUUGACAUUCAAUUAAAACCUUAAAUGAAAACAGCAUGAAAAUAAUAUUUUCUCUUUAAAAACGCAUGUUGUUGAAACCACAAGAUAGCAGCAAUAAAAAUAAUUCUUUCUGCUAAAAAAAAAAAACCAAGGCUGCUGCCUUUAGAUGCUUUAUCUAAGAACCCCAAUAUUCAUGCAUAUGCGGCUCAUGAAAUUUUCUAUCUGUUUAAUGCAUUGCAGCUAGUGUUUAUACCAUACGGAAAAGCCUAAAUGCAUAUGCAGCAGCAGCAAGAAAAACCCUAAACUGAUCUAAAGCAUGCGGCAACCAAAACAUAAAAACAUAUUCUGAUGCACUCGGUGCUAAUGCUCUGUUAAUCUAGCGGCAGCCACUGAACCAGGUAACUAAGACUUCUAUUUAUCUGUGCAACAGCUAGACUCUCUUAUCCCUAUCAUAUACGCGUGAGCCACAAGCCUAAUAAGACCUAAUCACUUAUCAGUUAAGAUAUAAUGAGAUAACUAGGUGAAGAGAUAUAGAUGCAAAACCAGAGACAUUAACAGCAAGUUAAAUCUUAAAAGCAAAACAAGGUCAUGCGGCAAGACUAGGAUCCUGAAGGUACAUAUGUAUAUAUAUGCUAGGGUUUUAAGCUGACUUAAAAUGAUGGGCUUUAGCAUGCUUAAUUAUACAAACAAACCCAAUACUCUUUUAUUAAUGAACAAUACGAUUCAACAUUUUAGCCAAAAUUAAAUAGCCCACUGAACAUAAAUCUAGACUGUAUGAAUGCAUAUGUAUGCCGAACUUACUUUAGUGAUAUCUCUGAAACGCUUGUCAUUUUGUGAUUGAGAGCACUGAGAGAAACUUAAACUAAAAUAAUUACAACGAAAAACAUGACAUUACAAACUCAGGCGUUUUGUUUAGGAAUAGCCAAUUUUACCCUAACAGGUUCAGUUCUUGUACCACAUUUCCAACUCCACCCAGUCUUUCUAAAUUGAUUAUUUUCUCAAUAUCAUUGCAGGCAUCUACACGUAAAUGGCUGAGAUUUGGGGAAAAAAUGAGCCAAGUCAAGUCCGUGAGAUUUGGGCAUCGUGAUACGUCUAUGCACUGAAGG
RNAcentral lists this long non-coding RNA (123062 nucleotides) under Malus domestica (apple). RNAcentral describes it as "long non-coding RNA (MDOM_LNC017630)". The stretch from base 103788 to 103859 matches the Rfam family "tRNA". Lineage: Eukaryota; Viridiplantae; Streptophyta; Magnoliopsida; Rosales; Rosaceae. The record is from RNAcentral.